GCAGCAGACCCUUUUCUCACAUUAGUUUCUUCCACUCCCCACUUCCCCCUCACGGCCGCCGGCGGAGGCUAAUCGAGGAGAAACAAUGGUGAGACUUACUAAUUUGAGCUUCUUUAUAUAUUCCGUGCUGCAUUUUUUGGUUUUGUUUUACACUUUCCGAAGCUUUGUUGUUGUUGUUUAGUAGUCGAUAGUUGGAAUAGAAAGAGCAGAGAGUGCUACAUUUUGGUUAUACAACUUUUUCAACGUUUAUGCUGAAGCUUUUUCCUGGUUCUAAGAGUGAUCGUGUCACAGUGUUUGAUUUUUUUGGAGGAUUAUAAGUCUCUGUUUGUGGUGUUUACUGUUUAUAACUACAUACAUUGAGUUUUCUUUUCUGCUCCAUCAGUUCUAAAAAGAUCUGUUCCUUUCUCUUUGGACUCCGGUUUAUCAAUGUUCGGUACGAAUAUUUAGAGAUUUACCAGAUUUUGCUCGUAUGAAUUAUGUCUACAGUUGUACACAAAUCUCUUGGAAUCCUGUCUAAUCUGUUAGGAUUGGACUAUAUGUGUAACUAUUUUGGUAUAGUCUUUAGAUAUUGUGCAAAAAUCUCUACUUUCUUUUAUAUGCUAGGUUAAUUUGACAACAUAGAAAUAAUAAGUUAUCUAUUUCAAAAAAAAUAAUUUGACAACAUAGAAAUAAUUUUUUUUGGUUGUUGCAUAGGGAUGCUUUACUAUUAUUCAACUAUAUUACCUAGAAAAAGUAGACAGGUUAAUAAAAAUAUCAAAUGUACCUUGAUCCAAAACUUGUUGAGAUUUAGGAAAGAAUUAUCAUACUUUUCCGUUCUAUCUUGACUCAUGCUUCAUUUAGUUUUUGCCUUACAAAACCAUAUAGUGUUUCUAUUAUAUGGGAAGAUUUCUGCAUUUUCUACCAACAAAUAAAUUGUACACAAACUAAAAGAUUUUUAGGAAAAACUGUCCCUAACGUGAAUGUACCAGCACAACUAACCUUUGUGAUGCAUGUUCUUCUGCUUGACACUGUGAACAAAUUAUGUUGCAGGCCUUCAUCAAAGUCCAGAAGACAAGGGCUUAUUUUAAGCGUUUCCAGGUCAAAUUCAAGAGAAGGAGAGGUAUAGCUUGUAUUCUUAUAAUUCCUUUUUUUUGUUCUCAACCUAGGCAGUUCACUAUCUGAUUGUUUUCAAAUUUUUACUAUCUUGCAGAGGGGAAAACAGACUAUAGAGCCAGGAAUCGUUUGAUCAAUCAGGACAAAAAUAAGUACAACACUCCAAAAUAUCGUUUGGUUGUCCGAUUUGUAUCCUAAUACUUUUGUUUUACUGUAAAAUAUUAUGUACAUGGUAUGGUUUCCUCUUGGGAUUUUGUUUAUUGAUUUGACAUGUAUCAUUCCUUUUAAUAUUACAUAGACGGUUCAUGAAAUUGUCAUAGUGAACUUGUGUCACAUGAUUGAUAGUGGCAAUUAGGAUCACCAUUAAUCUAUGUUGUGGGUCUGGUCGAUCUGUAAUAUUGAAAUUAUGGGCACAAUAGCUGCACUGGUCCUUCACUUUGCUUCCUUAACAUUUUUUCUAGACUAACAAGGACAUAAUUGCACAAGUUGUGUCUGCUAGUAUUGCUGGUGACAUGAUUCUUGCUUCUGCUUAUGCUAACGAGCUGCCUCGUUAUGGCCUCAAAGUUGGACUGACUAAUUAUGCUGCUGGUACUUUCACACAAGCUAUUCUAAUUGUUUGGUUAUCUCACUUGAAGUUCUGUAGUUCUUAUUGAACUGUCAUUUACAUUCAAAUUUAGCCUACUGCACUGGACUUCUUUUGGCACGGAGAGUUCUCAAAAAGCUUGAAAUGGAUGAGGAGUAUGAAGGAAACCUUGAGGUAAUUGCAGAUGUGCUCAAUUUUAUGGGUGUUUUGUCCUGUCUGGUAGUUGUAGCUUCUAUUUGCCAGCUGAUUAUUCAAAUCUUUACAGGUCAAUGGGGAGGAUUACUCCGUUGAACCUGCUGAAAACAGAAGGCCUUUCCGUGCUCUCUUGGAUGUUGGCCUUUUGAGGACUACUACAGGAAAUCGUGUUUUUGGUGCUCUCAAGGUAUAAACCUGCUUUUGGUAUUGGUGCUGCAUCUCAUUUUUUAUGUCAAUGCUUGAUUGUGCAUGGAGUUCUAAGAAAUAAAUAAUUUUGACACUUGAGCAGAUGAUACAUAGCAUGUGAAAGUAUCUUUAAUAAUCUUUUGGUAUGCGAAAUGCCUUAUCUCUCCUAUGAGAUCAUGCCAUUAAGGGUAAAAUGAGAAAUUUAGGUUAAAGAGUUCCUAAAUAUCAGAAGGGUGUCAAAUCUUUUUGGAAUGAACCAAGAAGGAAAGAUUGCCAUAUCAAUAGAAGGUAGGGAAUAAUAUUAUCUGAGGAUUAAAGAUAUAAACAAAUGCUUUGAUGGCUUUUGUGAACAUUUUAAUGAAUAGUAGCCACUUGCUUACACCUAAAAAAUAUGGCCUUACGAGACCCUGAUUGCAAUUGUCCAAGGGGGUAUUAAUGUCUGGUGUGCUUUCUGAUUUUUAGAAUGUGGACUUUUCUAAGUUAACAGGAGUCUGCUCUGCUGUCCAAAACCCUUUCUUUUAUCUUUUGAGAUCUGAGAUGGUUUCUUUCGUGCCAUGUUACUGUUCAUAUUUACAAUGGAUAAUAUGUGCCAUAUGACCUUCAAUAUGUUUUAAAAUCAAAUGCAAUUCUUUGCUUGGUUGGAUUCAGGGUGCGUUGGAUGGUGGACUUGAUAUUCCUCACAGUGAGAAGAGGUUCGCUGGAUUCAGCAAGGAUUCCAAGCAACUUGAUGCUGAAGUUCACCGCAAGUACAUAUAUGGUGGCCACGUUGCUACAUAUAUGAAGGUAAAUAGAAUGGUUAUAUGGAAUCCUUUUAUAGUUUACUAUCAUCAUCAAAUUCAUAGAAAUGCAUAAUUGAGUAUUAUCUAUGUUAUUUCUUCAUCUAGGUACACCCCAAUGUCUAUUAUGCUAAACCUCUUCCUUCUUUUUGCAGACUCUGAUUGAAGAUGAACCAGAGAAAUAUCAGACACACUUUAGUGAGUACAUCAAAAAGGGUCUUGAAGCUGAUGGCCUUGAGGAGAUGUACAAGAAGGUUCAUGCUGCCAUUCGUGCUGAUCCAUGCCCAAAGAAAUCUGAGAAGCAGCCUCCUAAACAGCACAAGAGGUAUAAAACUUGUCUUUAGAUUGAUUAUCUCGUUCGCAUUUUUAUUUAAAAAAAAUUCUUUGCAUUGGGAUGUAUUGAAGUUAUCAAGCAUUUUACUUAAUGGGUUGGGUGGUGGAUUUUCAAUUCCCAUUUGUCAUUGAAUAUGAAAUAUGCAGUUGAUGCUCAUCUUGGUUCUUCAUCUCUAGAAUGUCAUGUGGGACAAACUAUAGUAUAGCAUGUCUUCUGUCUGCAGCAAUUAGUAUGCUAAUAUUGUCUGUUUUACUGUAACCCUAUAACUAUUCAAGGUUAUAGGAAAAAUUUAUUCUCUUUUCCUGUCUAUGCUUCUUUUUCUGCAUAUUCAUUUUUUGAUACUUUUGCAGGUAUAAUCUGAAGAAGCUAACAUACGAGGAAAGGAAAGCUAAGUUGAUUGAGAGACUGAAUGCUUUGAAUUCAGCUGCUGGAAAUGAUGAUGAUGAUGAGGAUGACGAGUAAACAGCAGUGCAAGAGUCUUGAAAUAUUAUUGUUGCUUGUGUUCUUUUUAUACUCUGUUUUUGCUUCCUUGUUGAGUUCUCAGUUUUGCAUGCUCUUUAGAAUGAUAAUUUACCAAUUUGAGAAUGUACUAAAUUUCUAUACUCACUCAGCCUUAUAAAUCUGGCAUGGAAUGUUGCAUGUGGAUGAAUUAUGUCGCUUGCAAGGUAAUCUUGCCUACUUAUUAUUGCCUUGGCAAUGAGUUGUUGGAUUAAUCCAGGCAAUUUCUUCACAAAUUAUUUGUGUUGAAUGUUGUCUCAUUGUCUAGUUUAGUUGUGUGCUGUUUUCUCCUAGUUCUUUUUGAUAUUUUGCCUAAUUUAACCUCAAUUUAUCUUUUGUUUUGCUUUGAGAAUACGUCUCUUAUUUGUCCUUUAAUAUGUUAUAUUUUAGCUUUCUUCUGGUGGAUACUACGAUCACUAAUUAAAACUCAUUUUGUGUUCACAAACUUGUCGAUGAGUCUUGUAUGGGAUUCCAUGUCCAAAUGCCAAAUAUUAACUAUGGAAAAUCGUCAGAUAUCUCUUUACUAUCAGUAAUAGUUUAAAUUUAUACAAACACGCGGUGAAUUUAGUUAAUAACCCCAUCUCCAAUUUUAAAUUCUCAAUCCACUUUACAAACUCACCCAUAUAACCCAACCCCAGAUCCCUAAUAAAUCAUUUAACUAAAUACCGUGUGGCGACUUACAGAUUUGUUUGAUGACAAUUUUACUAAUGCAUAUAACGUUUAGUUUAUCUACCGUCCAAAUAACAAGUAUAGAGAAAAAUAUCAAUGGCGACACCAACUUUUGUUGUAAAAUUAGACUUUUGGUGAUUAGGCAAUGAUUUUAACCUAUAAUCCUUGUCGUAUGAAGCUGGAACACCCGCCAAAGCAUGAUUUUAAAAGUUGAUGGCUUGUCUCCUCCUUCACCAGCAUUUAACGACUCAAUUUCGUGCUGUUUCAUCAACACUUGGAUAUAAAUGGAUGGAACAUUUCCCUGGACGAUUUACAACACUUGCAGCAGCAAACCAAAUGCACCCAAACAACUACAGGAAAACUUUUUCCCAUUUAUACCAAGAAUGUGCAAAACACUGCAUCCAGGAACCAGGCAGGCAAGCCCAUGCUCGGAUGAUAAUUUCUGGGUUUCAACCCACUGUUUUUGUCACUAAUUGUUUGAUUCAAAUGUACAUAAAAUGCUCCAACUUGGGUUAUGCUGAUAAAGUGUUUGAUAAAAUGCCUCUAAGAGAUACGGUUUCUUGGAAUGCUAUGAUUUUUGGGUAUUCCAUGGUAAGUGAAUUGGAGAAGGCACAAUUAAUGUUUGAUUUGAUGCCUGAAAGAGAUGCAAUUUCAUGGAAUUCUUUGAUUUCCGGGUAUAUGCAAAAUGGUAAUUAUGGGAAAUCUAUUCAAACUUUUCUGGAAAUGGGAAGAGAUGGUAUUGCUUUUGACAGAACAACUUUUGCUGUUAUUUUGAAAGCUUGUUCGGGUAUUGAAGAUUCUUGGUUAGGGGUGCAGGUGCAUGGGUUGGUCGUCAAAUUAGGUCUUGCUACUGAUGUGGUGACAGGGAGUGCAAUGGUGGAUAUGUAUUCGAAAUGCAAGAGAUUGAAUGAGUCAAUAUGUUUCUUCAAUGAGAUGCCUGAAAAGAACUGGGUUUCUUGGAGUGCUCUGAUAGCAGGUUGCGUUCAAAAUAACAAGUUUGCCAAUGGAUUACACCUCUUCAAGAAUAUGCAAAAAGGAGGAGUAGGGGUGAGUCAAUCUACUUAUGCUAGUGUCUUCAGGUCUUGUGCCGGGUUAUCAGACUUAAAAUUGGGUUCUCAAUUGCACGGUCAUGCACUGAAAACUGAUUUUGGUUCUGAUGUCAUUGUAGCUACUGCCACUUUGGACAUGUAUGCCAAAUGUAACAGUUUGUCUGAUGCUAGGAAGGUAUUCAACUUGUUGCCAAACCAUAAUUUGCAAUCCUAUAAUGCCUUGAUUGUUGGGUUUGCUCGAGGUGAUCAAGGAUAUGAAGCUGUAAUACUAUUCCGGCUUUUGCUGAAGUCUUAUCUUGGGUUUGAUGAAAUAAGCCUAUCUGGUGCAUUUAGCGCAUGUGCAGUAUUCAAAGGGCAUUUAGAGGGAAUGCAACUACAUGGUGUAGCUUGUAAGACCCCCUUUUUGUCCAAUGUUUGUGUUGCAAAUGCCAUUAUGGACAUGUAUGGCAAAUGUGAAGCACCACAAGAAGCUCUACGUUUGUUUGACGAAAUGGAAAUAAGAGAUGCAGUGUCUUGGAAUGCAAUAAUUGCAGCUUAUGAGCAGAAUGGACACGAGGAUGAAACUUUGAUACUAUUUUUUCGGAUGCUUAAGUCAAGGAUGGAACCAGAUGAAUUCACUUAUGGUAGCGUUUUAAAGGCCUGUGCAGCUCGUCAAGAUUUUAACACUGGCAUGGUGAUCCACAAUAGGAUCAUAAAAUCAGGGAUGGGUUUGGAGUGCUUCAUUGGGAGUGCUGUAAUAGAUAUGUACUGCAAAUGUGAAAAGGUAGAAGAGGCAGAGAAACUCCAUGAGAGAAUGAAGGAACAAACAAUCGUUUCUUGGAAUGCAAUCAUAUCGGGCUUCUCAUUGCGUGAACAAAGUGAGGAAGCUCAGAAAUUCUUCUCUAGAAUGCUGGAAGAGGGAAUAAAACCUGAUAACUUUACCUUUGCAACAGUUCUUGAUACCUGUGCCAAUCUAGCUACUGUUGGGCUGGGAAAGCAAAUUCAUGCUCAAAUUAUAAAGCAAGAAUUGCAAUCAGAUGUGUUUAUAACUAGCACUCUUGUUGACAUGUACUCAAAAUGUGGAAACAUGCAGGAUUCUAGGUUGAUGUUUGAAAAAGCACCAAAAAAGGAUUUUGUCACAUGGAAUGCUCUGGUUUGUGGCUAUGCACAACAUGGUCUUGGAGAAGAGGCUUUGCAGAUCUUUGAAAAGAUGCAGCUCGAGGAUGUAAGACCAAAUCAUGCAGCUUUUCUUGCAGUCUUAAGAGCUUGUGCACAUAUAGGGCUUGUUGAAAUAGGACUGCAACACUUCAAUUCAAUGUCGAAUAACUAUGGAUUAGAUCCUCAAUUAGAACAUUACUCAUGUAUGGUAGACAUAUUAGGGAGAGCGGGGCAAAUUAGUGAUGCACUGAAGCUUAUUCAAGACAUGCCUCUUGAGGCUGAUGAUGUGAUUUGGAGAACUCUGCUUAGUAUGUGUAAGAUGCACAGGAAUGUGGAGGUAGCAGAAAAAGCAGCAAAGUGUCUCUUGGAAUUGGACCCUGAGGACUCGUCUUCUCAUAUACUUUUGUCAAAUAUUUAUGCUGAUGCAGGAAUGUGGAAAGAAGUUGCUGAAAUGAGGAAAGCGAUGAGGUAUGGCGGGCUCAAGAAGGAGCCAGGUUGUAGCUGGAUUGAGAUAAAGUCUGUGCUACACAUGUUUCUUGUUGGUGAUAAAGCCCAUCCAAGAUGCAACGAGAUAUAUGAAAACCUUGACACAUUGAUAUCUGAAAUGAAGCGAGUGUCACAUAUACUAGAUAAUGAAUUUUUGCUCAGCUGUGAGGCUACAGAAGAUGAACAUCAACAUCCAUUUCCCGAAUGCAGAGUUUCUUCAUUUUAGACCAAUUCAGUUGGAACCUAUCUCUGGUUGUGAUGGAGGUAUGCAAGGGAAAGAACCUUUGCUUCACGUUGACCCAAGGAAAAGCUUGGGGGAUAUUGACUUGUAUGUGUUGGCUGCUCCCUGGACUUCAUUUGAAUAUCUCGAGUCUACCAAAUGAUAUGCACACUCCGUGGAGAACACUGAGUAUAUUUAGUGACAACAGUACUGUUUGACAAAAUGCACUUGUGCUGGCAAAGAGGAAAUGAAAUGAUUGAGAAAAUUGUCCUCCAGAUUUCUUGGCGCAAAAGAAUUGCUUCAAAAGGACAAUGGUUGGACCGUAGUCUUGGGCUUUCAACUACAUGAUUUAUCUGAGAGAUUUCAGUCUCCUGAUUCUUGGGAAUCUUAAACAUGGAUGAAGCAACUAUUUGGCUGAAUGAAGAGAUGUCUUUUGAUGCUUGACAUGGAGUUGUUUACCAUACUUUUCUGGAGUUCCAUCUAAUUUUAUGUAAUUUCUACCCUUUGGGGGGGUUUUCGACCAGAUUCAAUUCUUUCUGAUAACAUAUUGAUAAAAGGUCCCUCUUUUCCCAAUAAUGAACAGCAUUACAACAAUCGUUUAGUUGGUUUGCAUUUUGCAGGUAGAACACUUAAGUUUCAUAGAAAGGAAACAUACAAUAAAGCCACAAAUUAAAUAAAAUCCUCGUUGAGAUGCUAUUUCGAUAAGACCAGUAACUUACACCAACAUCAUCUCAUAAUCUUUACAAGAAGAAUGUAUAGCUUAUAAAUACCAAGCUGAACACUAAACAUCUUCACAAAGCAAUAAGGAUCUGAUCUUAUAACCCUUGUCAAAUUUACCUGAUCAAAUUGACUUAGACCAUGGGGAACUGCUGUAAGACUAGACUAUCGCUCAGAUAAAAAAUCUGCCGUUGUGUUGUCAAGCCCUGUGAAACCAAAAGAUAAAAAUUCAAGAAACUUUCAAGUGCUGAACCCAAAAGGGAAAAAUUUAUGCCCCUUUUUUUGAGCAAAUAUGUGCUUUCAUACUCCUAAUCUGAUCUUGAUAAUUAUACACUUUCUAGGGUCGACAGAUAACUCGUGGGGUUUAACUUUGAGUUGGGAGUCCAGCUACCUUCUCAGAUAAAUGCAAAAAUCAAUAGUAAGUGAACUGCAAAGCAAAGCUUGAGACCGAACCCAGCCACUUGUUUGUUACCUUCAGAGAACCAAGAGUAAGCUUCUUAAAAAGAUGAAAAAUCUCAUGAAAAAUAGCCAAUGGAAGGGAGUGUUCAAGAGGAGAUUAGGAAAACAAGGGAUGAAACAAGAAAAUACACACAUAUUCUCCUCUUUACUAUGUUAACAGAUAAAAUUAAUAUAUUCCAAUACAUUUUCUUGGAUAUGACAAGUAGUAGGUCAAAUUCAUAGUUUUCUUUGUAUUUGUUUGAUAGGUCAACAUGUAAACUCAUAACGAAGUGAAAUAUUUAUACAAAAUAAGGAGAUUUAGAAAAGCAAUGAUGCUUAGACCAUUUGUAGGCUAGGCUAAUCAGGCAUAGACAAUUUUUAGAUGCUUUGGUUUUGAUCAAGGAGUUACUGUGACCACAAAAAUAGUCAUUUCGUGCUCGUUUGUGUGUACAAGGCUACAGAACUACAUACUGGUGGGCUAAUCAUCUUACAAAAUAGAGCAUUGUGCGAAUCAACAGAACAUGAUGACAUUUGACAUCCAAAAAUGUCAUUAGUUGAUCGGAUCGCAAACUGAUCGAUCUUUAAUUCAUCCAGUUGAACUAAUCUUAUUAGAUAAAGAUGGCCACCCAGAUUGUGUGGAAGUGAACUUACCCCCUGAUCCAUUUACUGGCAAGCUGACAUACUGAGGACAUGACCCAGAAGAGACUCUACCACUUUUAAUGAUAGAUCCACUUGCACAAUCACGAGGCUGUAAAAGAGACAGGAAUUGAGAACCAUAUUCACAUUAAUGAUAGAAAUUGGAGCUUUGGGGGUGGUAGUCUGACAUUAUACAAUCAGACAUGUUUUGGUAUUAAAUUAAGCAAUAGACAGUCAGACAUAAAAUUAACCAAGCAGAGAGUAAAAAAAAAGAAUUAAGGAGUCCUUUUAUCUGCUAGCGUUAAGAUAAAAGAAAUCGGAAUGGAAGAAUUGAAUAGUCCACCUCUAUAUUGUAGACUCAUCACAUUUAAUAGUUAGAUCUGGACAAGGAAAGAAGUUAACUGCAAAUACUGGUUGCACUAUUGGAGUAUACAUUAAUUCUUGUCAUGAACUAACAAUGGCAGAAAUCUUAAAUGAGGCCAUAAAUAGGGAAAUUUGGGGAUGAAAACCUGACAAUUUACAAUAAGACAUGUUUUUUUAGUAACUUAAGCAAUAUACAAUUAUAUAUAAGAUUAUCCAAGCAGAUAUUUAGAACUAAGAAGUUUGUCUUAUCUGCUAACAUGUAAGAUGCAUGAAUUCAGAAUGAAGGAGUGAAUCAUCCACCUCUAGAUUCUAUACUCGUGAUAUCUACUGGUUAAAUUUGGACAAGGAAAGAAGUUAACACCAGACACGCAGUGCAACAUUGAAGGACAUACUAAUUUAUGUCCUACACUACACAAUGUCACAAUGUCAGACACCUUAAACGAGGUCAUCUACAAAAUGGAAGUUUUGGGGAUGAUAAUCUGACAAUAUAUAACUAGACACGUUUUGAUAUCAAAUUAAGCAAAAGAAUAUUAGACAUAAGAUUAACUAAGCAGAGAUUUAGAAUUAACAUGUCCGCUUUAUUUGCUAACAUGUAAUGUAAGAAUUAAGAUAAAUGAACUUGGAAAGUAAGUACAGAAUCACCCAUCUUUAAAUUGCACACUCAUGAUAUCUACAUGAUAGAUUUGUACAAAGAAAGGAAGUUAACAACAAACAAGGAGUGCACUAUUGAAAGAUAUAAUAAUUGAUCUCGUAGCCUAAACAACGACAAACAUCUUAAAUGAGGCCAUCCACAUGACCUUAUAUAAACAAAUAAUUUUGCAAUAAGCAACUCUUGCAAUUAUUCAUUUAGAGGAUUAGAGAGAACCAACCUGUAAAUCCUUAUAGAAGCAUAUUCUUAGUUCCUCCACCGCAUCGCCUGAGCAUAUCAACUCUGGAGUUGCAUGAAAGGCAUUUUGAAUGGCUGAAAUGAUGCCUCCCAGUGGAUAUUUCUCAGAAUUUGAGGGUACAUACCCAGCUUCAAACAGAACUCCCUGGUUAAUUUCAAUUUUUGAGUACAUCAGUAGUGGACUCAACUACCAGGCAACCACACUAUGUAAUUAUAGGAGUAAGAGGAACAACAUAUAAGUUUUCAACCAAAUGAAAUGAAGCUGUAGUGACAUUUCAAAAAUAAAAAAAACAUCUUAACAUGGAAUGCUAAAAGAAUGUUAAGUGAUUCAAUGCUUGACAUAUCCAGAAAGUUAUGAUGCAGUUAAUUAAGAAAAAAUUCAGCACAAAUGAGAGGAAGUGUUCACUUUUUCAGUAUAAUAAGUCCAACUGCUAACCCUCUUGGUAUAUGUUGCAUCUUGACAAAGGAUACUCUAAUGAGUAGUAAGUUAUUGCAAUGAAAUAAAUCCCAGAAGGCUGUUGUAAAUGCAACCACAAUCUUGUAUAUCUGAUAUUGUCGACGAUCAUCCAUUUAAAAGUUUACAUUGACCAAGGGGAAUUUUCUUAGGAAAGAUAUCGAUAACAUACGUGAUUUUAAGUUUUGACAUAAAAUAAUAACCAAGAUAUUCAAGAUGAGCUAUUAAGCUGCUGUUGUAUCUGAUACAUCAAACAAUUUCUUUGCCCCAGUACUGAAUAUAUGCAAAUAAGUACCAACAACAACAUACCCAGUGAAAUCCCACUAGGUGGGGUUUUGGGAUGCAAAUAAGUACCAACUCAAAGUUUAAAUCUUAUAGAAAAUACACAAGGCAAAGUUUAUUGGAGUAAAUAAAUAGAAUAACAAUCAACUUACAGUGACGUUAUAUUUGAAGUAAACAUUCAAAGUCAUCAGGAAGUACUCAUACUCAUCAUGGACAACUGGAUAAGAACAUGUCCCGUGUUUUUCUGCGAACAAUGACAGAAAAUUAUGAAAGAUCACACUACAUACAAAAUAAACAUCUACUAGUCUGACUUUCGUCUCUAUCAGAUAUUUACAAGUGUAACAAACACAAAACUUUGAAUUUUAGGUUGCAGUUGGUAGGUUGGUAACGUUGGAAAAUAGGGGAGGAGGAGCACUCUCAGUGACUCAUUUUCUCUUGAAGACAAGUGAAGGAAAUGGUUCUCCUUUAAUUCAUUCUACUUGCUUUCUCAAUAAAUAAUGCUCUUUGAAGACAAGUGGACUUUUACCAACUUGACUUCAUUUUGGCUUAUCAAAAAUAGCUAUAAAGCCUUCGGGGUGGCCCAGUGGUUUGGGCUUGGGACUUCCAUGUUGGAGGUCUCAAGUUCAAAACCCCUUGCCAGCGAAAGCAAGGGUUUGCCUUCUGGGUGGAGCUCGUCGCACCGGGCUUGACUAGUGCGGAUUACCUCUCCUAUGUGGUUUGCGAGCUAUUGCAUAGGAGCGGGGGUUUUACCCUGUGCGCACCCAAAAGGGUAGCGGCUGCGGGUUUCCCUUGUCAUAAAAAAAAAAUAGCUAUAAUAUCUGAAUAUUUUUGUAGGACUAUCCUAGCAUGUACCUAUUAUUUUUUUGGUCAAAUGUACCUAGUUCAGUACAUGUACCAUCAUUUAUUCAAUUCAUUCCCAUUUUUCUCAAAUACAUGUAUUCAACCAUACAUAUGUCCUAACAUUAAUAUCCUAAGUACAUGAACUAACAAAAUUUAUGUUUCACACAAAUCAAAAACUCCUCUCUUUCAAGACCUAAGUUGCUCGGACUCUCCAAAAAUGUUGCCACACCCGUGUUGGAUCCUUCAAAAAUACACUAUUUUUGGAGGAUCCGACACGCACCCUGCGGGUUUCCCUUGUCAUAAAAAAAAAAUAGCUAUAAUAUCUGAAUAUUUUUGUAGGACUAUCCUAGCAUGUACCUAUUAUUUUUUUGGUCAAAUGUACCUAGUUCAGUACAUGUACCAUCAUUUAUUCAAUUCAUUCCCAUUUUUCUCAAAUACAUGUAUUCAACCAUACAUAUGUCCUAACAUUAAUAUCCUAAGUACAUGAACUAACAAAAUUUAUGUUUCACACAAAUCAAAAACUCCUCUCUUUCAAGACCUAAGUUGCUCGGACUCUCCAAAAAUGUUGCCACACCCGUGUUGGAUCCUUCAAAAAUACACUAUUUUUGGAGGAUCCGACACACACCCGUCGAUAUUUUUGAAGAGUCCAAGCAACAUAGUUCAAGACAAUGUUCACAUUUCAACAUGUAGGACCCCUAUUUUAUCCUAUCUAUAUCCUCCAUAUUAACGGUUAGGUGCUUGCUUCAAAAGUAAAAUGACAGUUUUAUCCAUCUGAAGUAUUUUAAGGGUUCUAUUUCCUGCCAGACAAGAGAUAGGGUAAAGGGCAAAUAAAGUUAUCCCACAUUUAGUAGAAAAUAACAUUCCAGACUGGCCUUAACUUCAGCUUAGUUAUCCGCAAACUUUCAUAUGAUAUUGCUUUUAUUUUUUACUUGUAAAAAAUAAAAAAAAUAAUGUAAAAUGAGAAUGCACAAGGACUAUAAAAUGUGAAUGUAAUUAUAUCCAGGAGAAGAAGGAACCAAUAAUGUUAGAAGAUGUCAGCAAUAAGGUACUUCCUAUUUUAUACACCCUUCUGGUAAGUAAAGAAUCUUGCUUCUCAUUUCAAUCAAAGAUCUUGAUCAAAGCCAUCAAGUCAUCUUGCAAGAUAUAUAUAAACUGAAUAUAAAAUAAGGUAAAGAGAGAUUACCCCACUGAAAAUGAAUAUCUCCAGAGUCAGCAUAAAAGAAAUGCAAGAAGGACAUGUUAGUUCCUUGAAUUGUAUCGAAUUCUUUAUCAAUCAUUAGUACAAGUAACAAUGAAAAACCACCUCAUGAGCCCAAAAUGAUCCUUUUUCAUGGUGACAAGUUGAGGUGGCCUCGCAACUAAAAGAAGGCCAGUACUUCUUCAUAGGCCUACGCAGUGUUGAAAUCUACAGAAUGAAUGGAUAUGUAAGCUCAAAAGACAAAAUGUUUCAAACUCGGUGCUGGUGAAUAUUUAUAUAAAUAUGCAGUAGGAAAUGGAUGUCCCUUAGAGUUGAAGAAAUAUAAGCUUCUUUAUUCAGUCUCAUCUGCUGAAUUCUCAAUAUUCAAAAUUAUCACAGAUCCUUCUGUAAAGAACUUCCAGAUGCUCAUAUUAAAUAUAUUACUAAGCAACUUGCCAGCAAAGAUAUUGAUAGGCUUAACAUUCUAACUGUAUCUGCAUACUUAAGCCAGAACUGUGAUACCAUUUCCCAGCAAAAAUCCAAGGCAAGGACCUUAAAUCAGUAUCGUGAAAGGAGAAAGGCAUAUAAAAGCUCCAUAGCCCGCUAGUGUCAAGCACAAAGCUCUAUUAAACUGUCCAUUUUAGUGAAGAAAGUGCAGAUGAAAAAGGUACCGAAAUAAUAUAAAUGUAAUUAUGUAAUGCAAUAAAAAUAACAAUAACGGCAACCAACAGUUAUAGAGUUUUACUGGCAUAUAUAGUUAUUGUUUAACGAUGUCUGGUUUGUAAUAGAACCCAUUGCUUUUGAGGAACAUAUCUUAGCACUUUGGUGCUGCAUUGAACACCAGUUAAGCGGGGUGCAGCACCUAGGCCAACCAUACACUCAGCUUCAGGGCUUAAACACGCGUUUACAACACUGUUUUUUUUUUAAUAUGAAAAGCCUUUACCACACUGUCUUAUAUCUAACAACAAAGGGAAGUCCAAAAUCACGAACAAGAGCACAUUAACUUUAAGGGUUAUCCCAUUCAUACAAUUCAAAAAGUUAGACACUUGUUUGGAUGAAGAAUAUCCUUCUAUUGAAAUUAUAUUUUAUAUCUCUGAAUAAUCACAAGUUAAUACAAAAUACAUUGCAAAUCAACUGUUACAAAUAAUGCAUGCCAUACACUUAAAAUUUUUGAUAAUUAAAUUCAGAAAAGACAUCCUUCUAUAUUAAGGCAAAAUUCAGGAUUGAUCAAAGGUGACUGAAAAAAGAAGAAGUAGCACUUUAAACUAAUAGCCAGUAGAAUGAAAUGAAUGUUCAAACAAAACAGAUUGUACACCAUGAAAGGCAAACUUAUAUGCAAUUUAAGACUCUUCAACUAAAACCAAAAAUAGGAAUGAAUGAUCUGUCAUAAAAGUGCAAGUAAGAUGCUAGUAGUGCAUCAUGUUACUUUGCCAAAUCCUAAUUUCCAGAGUUAUAAGCUUUGGGAACCUCCUUACGAAUGGAUAAUAACAUUUGCAAAUCCAAACAUUUCACAUUUGCCUUGAAAUCCUUCAUUUGUUCAAAGCUUAUUCUCAGUGACAAGCGUUUCUGGAUUUGGAGUCAACAUGUUUUGACAAACAAUAUAAACAGAUCUUCAGUCACAUAAUACCCUAUUAAAUCCCACAACUUGCAGGGUGCAUUAUGGGUAUGAAUUAUUUGUAGCCUUCACAGCCAAUAAACUGAUUUACCGUCAAAAUACAUGAAUAUUUUGGGAACGAAAGCACGCGCCCAUCUUCCAUGAAAGAGCGUGCUUCAGGUCUUUAACUAAACAUUAACAGUUCUACCAAUCAAUUCUCCCUUCAAACAGGUCUUUAUCUAAGCAACAACAGUUCCACCAGUUAACUUUCUCUUCAAACAGUCCUCGCGGAAUAAAAAGUUGGUCCGGGGAAAAGGGUUAGCAAUAUACCUGCUCCUUAUCAAAUUGGGGGCCAGAACAACAUGCAGGCCAAGUUCCGUCAUUGUAAUCAGCCCAAAGUCCAUCUGAAGCACGAGAAACCUUAUUCAAUUCUACCUCUCACAUUGCACAACAUGAAAACAAAAUAUAAAAACAUCCUUCCCAAUCGGAAUAACUUACGAAUAGUGAAUAUUGAUGGUGAGUUCGAGCUGAAAAAAACACACAAAAAAGGUAAGCCUCUGCUUUCAAAUGUCAUGAAAUCCUUACAAAACAGACAACUAGCUUAAUUUAAUAAAAUUCCUUCGACAUGAUAUAAUUUUACAAUCUGAGAAUAAAUAGGCAAAAUGAAGAAAUCAAUCGACAAUUAGUCUAAUUUUACAAUCUAUCAAUCAGCUGAAUGACUAAGUUUUACGAAAAAUCAUUUGAGAUAUGAAAGAAAAAAGAGAAGUACCGGCAACAGGCAUUGGAAGAGCAGCAUUUGGUGGUAUUCCGGCAAGCUGAGCCAGGCCAUAAGAGAGAUAGCUUGAAGUAAUCAAACUCUCUCUGGUGUCCGGUUUGCCUUCGUAGCAAUCCUUCUUCCACAUCCCAACUACUGUUGAUUCGGAUAACGGAAAAGGCUCCGAUGAGCAAAGGUAGCAAUUGCAUACAGAAAAUCGCUUUGAUUGUAAGGGAAGCCAUUGCUCUGGACACUUAUUAUCUGUAAAAACUUCCAAGUUCUCUCUUUUUUCUAGUACGGAGAAGAUACAGUCUCCGAGAUUGCCCGCUUCGAAGAUCAGCGGCGGAAGACGGCGGAGUUGGGAUCGUUCACGGAGGAAGAUAAUUUCGCGGUUAAAUUCUAGAUUCUUUCGUACUAUGCAUCUUUCUAAGUUAUUGUUUAAUUAAUUAAACUGAUAAUUAUAGUAUACUAAUCCAGGUUUAUAGUAAAAUAAACCUUCCGUUCUUUUUUACUUAUUCCGAUCGUAUUUGGCACCACCCAUUAAAAAUAAUGAUUGACAUUACUAUUUAUCACACUCCUAUAAUAAAUUCAUGUUUAGAUUAAUUUUUGAGAAAUGAUUUGAAAAUGAGUAAUUAAUGUUAAUGAUAAAACAUGUAAGAAAAAUAAUAAUAGUCCUGAAACGUUGAAAGUAACAAGUGAAAGCAAAAAUUUAUUUUAAAAAUAACGGACAACUAUUGGAGUAAAAGUAAACGAAGGAACUAAGAAGUGAUUAUUGUAAAGAGGAACUUUCGCUAAUAGCCACUAUAAUAAACUUAAUUAUGUUCUAUAGCUAUAAUUUGCAUAUUUAUGGGCUGUAGCUAUAAUUUAAGCUAUCUCGUUUGUAUAAUUCGCAAAUUUAUAUAAAUUCGCAGGUUUGUAUAUUUCGCGGGUACAUUUAUAUGAUUCAGAUAUUUUUGUAUAAACUUGAAAUAACUAAUUUAUACAAUUACAAACAUCAGAAGUGUAAACAGUUAUACAAAAUAUAUUAUACAAAUUAUGAUCUAUACAAAAGUUAUACAAAUUAUAUUAUACAAAAUCCGAAUUAUACAAACUUGCGAAUUAUACAAAACUAAAAAGCUGAGUUGCGUAAUUAUGACUAAAAGUAGGCCGCGAAUUGUAAUUAAGGCAAACUAUAGCUAUGCUAUCUAAUUAACAAGUAUAUAUUUAUUUAUACGUGUAAUUUUCCCUUCAAAAAUUUAGAUUCAAAGUCUCUGCUUGCCUUAAACAUCUAUUGUAUAUGUACAAAUUAGGAGUAACUUAGAAUAGGGAUAAGGGUCUGGAAAAUACCUCAAUUUUGGUCGAAUUUGUUGUUGCGAUACUAAACUAUUUUAAAUAGUGUCUGAAUUAAGAUGAGUAAUUUUACGUAAUUGAUGUGUUAGAGACUUAGAGCUAAACACUCUUAAAAUGUCGCCAAUCUACUAAUCUUGCAUGAUUGGAUCAACAGUUUAUCUGUCUAUGUAUUUGAAUUAUAGAAUCAACCGUUGAUGCUUAAGAUAGAUGGCUUGCGUAAUAUUAUUGGGCGUGGUCCUUUCAACAUUCUUUUUAAUGGAGAAUCUUGAUACAAUAAUAAAGUUUAUGUUUGUGUGACUAACAUGCCACUUGCUGGAAUUAAUUGUCUAGUCUUUACUAAGGGUUGUAUACAAAUUUAUGAGAUCUAUGUCGUUUUUUGGAAUCAAAUGAAGGUCAAAGGACCAUUUGAUUGAUUAAGGGACAUAACGACAUCUUCGCUUGAUGCUAUUUUUAGAUGUAGCAGUAAACGAGUGGGUCGUGCCUGAUUUCAGACCAAACCAGACUCUUAUUUGUGUGAGUUACUUUCGGACACGUAUAUUGAAGAUCUCAUUUGUCUUUGAUUAGGGAUUUUCGUUAGAUUAUAAAUGAAGUCUUAUUCGAUCUUUUCUAUGAUUAUAAUUUAUAUGAGAGAGGAGAGAGGAAAUUGAUUAUUUAAAUCGUAUCUAAAUUAAGAGAAAGUAAUUUUUAUGUAAUUUAUAAUUAAAAAUUUGAAUCAUAAAAUUAAAUAUUCAAAAUACUUUUAGAGUAUGGUCAAUUUGCAAAAUUUGCAUAAUCUGAAGCAACUAUUUAUUUAUUUAUACUUCAAAUUUUAGUUAUGAAGUAGUCUUUGGCGUUUAAAAUAGAUUGCUUACGUAACAAUCCUUGAAUGACAUUAUUUAGUUAUACUGGUUGCUACCAAUAACCAAUGCCAUUUUUCAUACUUUUUGUUAACUUAUGUAAAAUCACAUUAUAUAUUUUUAGUAUUCUCACAUUAUUUAAAAAAUAUGUAUAUUAGUGGAUUUUUUGAGUCACAGCUUUUAAAAAAAACAUAUUAGUGGAUUUUAUUUGAAGCAAAAAAUAAAAUAAUUUGAGUCGAAAUUACAAUAAACUCCUUCAGAAACCAGGUCAGACGGGCAAUUAUUGUCAACAUGACACAAAUAGGAAACAGAGUCGCGACAUCGCCAGUAAAAUAAAUAUAAAUAUUACGAUGUCGCAAUAAUAAUAAUAAUAAUACGCCGUAAUUGGUGCCAAUAUUUUUUCAACCCUGCGAAAUUGCAAAAUUAGGGUUUCUCUUGGUUCAAUUAUACGAAGCUUACGGUGAAUUUGCAAACCCUAAGCCCUCAAUUUCGAUUAUUUUGCUUCAGGAGAACCGUCAAUUGGAGAACAAACGAGCUUCGUUCUUCAAUUGGAUUGGAUAUCCCUCAGUUUGAUCGAGUAAGCUCUUUUUCGUAGUUGGAGAUUUGAAUUCUCUAUGUACUGAUGUUAGAUUGUGAAAGGGAUAGUCUUUAUCAUCAAAGAUCAAUGUGUUUCUUCAUUGAUAUGCGGAUGUGUGAAAUUAUGAAAAUUUGAAACUCAAAUUGUAAUGGAAUCAACUUUUAAUAAGUUUUUUUUUUCUCUAUUGCAAGUUGAGGUACUCCAACAGAAAGAGGUAAGUUGAGCUAAGUGUAGUUCUCUCCUCUUUCUGUUGGAGCAGUAAGUUAAGUUUUUUUUUUCUUUUUCAUUUUUAUUGUUCAGUCUUGUCAAGGAUCAAAGUGUUAAUUUGAGUUGCAUUCGUUGAGUAAAUUAUUGAAAAAAACUAAUCUUUAGGUUGAAAAAACUGGUUUGAGUUGCAUUUGUCAAGUAACUGUUGGGAAAAAACCAAUCUUUAGGCUGAAAAAACUGUUUGAGUUGCAUUUGUGAAGUAACUGUUUGAAAAAACUAAUCUUUAGGCUGAUUAUACACAAUUUAGUGAGAGGUUGGACUUAGUGCAGUAGAUAACACUGGCCGUCAUUAUAGACAAUUUCUUGGGACACUAUGCACUCUAAAUAACAUACACUCCAUUGUACACGGGAGACACUAUUCUUAGGACCAAUCUGAGUCCUUGUUCUUUUUCCUUAAUAUUUACUUCAAUUUUCUUUUUGUUGUAUCUAUGCUUGAUCAAAUAAGACCUCCCUAUCCACUUGAGAGUAGAGGUAUAGAAAUUGCAUAUGAAUGAUCUCUCUUCCAGCUCAUAUAUAAGUUUUCUCCUUAGUUGUACAGAUAAAAGCUGUUUUUCUUUCUGUUAGUGUCGCUUUUAGCCCCCUUUAUCUUUACUCUUGGUAUUCUGCUUUGAACAUAGGCGGUAGUAGCCCCUGCCAAAUCCAUGGCAUUAAGGCAGUAUUUAUUUGAAAAUGAUACUGACAAGGUUUAUGAGCUCUUUCAUUUUGCACUACGGUUGUAUUAUGGUUACAUUCUCCCAAUUGUCCUCCUCCAAUGCCAUUUUGUUUGCAUUCUAGUCAUAUGAGUAGAUUGACCUUUGCUGCACUAGAUAUUUCUGGAUUGUCUUACCUACUGAUACUUUCCAGGAAAUAAUGCUCUACUUAUAUACUUGGUGCUGAUUGAUGGAUCCAGAUAGCAAGAAUUUUGGAAGAGGUAAGACUUUUACAUGUUUACCUUUCCCCUCAAAAAAUAAAAAUAGGGACAUACAGUCUCCUUGCUUGUUACACAUGUUGACUACUGCAUGUCUUUUUUUUUUUUGAAACUGGUAAAUGUGGUUGACUACUGCAUGCCUACUCAUGUGAUUAGUAUGCAAUUGAUGAAUAAUGCUUGUUAUUGCAUCCCUAGGCUUAGAAUCAAGGUGAAUGUGAGACAUUGAUUGAUAUUCUUGCUCAGACUGCUAAUGGCGAAUUUAUUUGCUGCUGAAAUUUUGUUUUAUAGUCCUAUUGCUCUUGCUCUUACUUGCAGGAAAUAAAGUUAUUGUUUUAUUGCCAACCCAUUUAUGCCGACUUCUUCUGCUUACAAAGAUACCAAUGGCAUGACCAGAAAUUUUAUGAAGGGUGGUCAAGCUAUAAGUAAAUCUUUUUGGAAAAUGGACGCACCAUCAUAUUUAAUUUAAUAUGAAGUGAACUGAUAGAGCAAAAAGAAAAAGGAGAGAGAGAAUAGAGUUCAAUCUAGAAAGAAAUCACUUUCAAGUUUUUAAGAUUUUAAGCCAUAGGUUACUGAGAGACCCGCGGAAUGUGGAAGAGCUUAUAGCUAAGCUUCUGAAAACCAAAAAAUAAAGAAGAAGAGAAACACUCGGCAUUAGUUAAGUUUCUUAAGGUGUUAAAUGAACAUAAUUUGGAUAGCAGAGGAAUUCGUAGUGGCAAAUGAAUAUAGAGGUGUUGUGGCAGGCUUACCAUUUUAUCACCAACUGACUGCAGAUUGCAUCUGUGGCUUUUACCAUUUUUUGUAUUGCAUAUUCCUUCACAAAUAUAGUUUUGUUUGUAAAAUUCCUUAGAUCAAUAUCUUGAUAUUUUGUUAUUGACUAAAUAACUGUCAAUUUUGUUCUCCUCUUUAGAAUGUGUUCAUGUUUGAUAAAGAUAUACUCAUAUACAUAGUUUAUAACUGUUGUUGAUUUGGUCCAAAUAUAUUGUUAGGGCCAAGAGAACUCACAGGUGCUCGUGAUCUUAUUAGUCACUUCAAAUUGUUGCCUCAUUAUGAGUUCUUUGGUAAGAGGUCGCUUCCAUUAUCAAUUUCCGAUACACAUUAUCUUCAUAAUGUGGUUGGAGACACAGAAAUUAGGAAAGGUGAGAAGAUGCAGUUGGAUCAGCUCACACAGGAUACUUCCUUUUCAAGAGAGACAAGUUCAUGUAUCCGGCCGUUUGACUUAGAUGUCCUUAGAGAAGCCUUCCAACUACGUGAAACGGCUCCAGUCAAUUUGUCUCCUGUAAGAUAGCUGCUUUUGAAUUUGGAUGAUUUAACUCCAUUUGUUCACCUGCUUCUAAGCAACACUCUUAUCCUUUAUGAUUUCUGAAGUUGGAGCUUUUGAAUUGGGUUUCCUCAUAUUAUGUGCUGAAACAUAAAAUGGUUUUUCCUGUUAUCAUAGUUGCUGAUCAGUCGGUCUUUUCAUGGUGUUUGAUAGUCUGACAAAGGCACCCCCACUAUAGCUGGAAAAUCUAAGAGCGAGAUGAAAGACAAGGAGAAGAAGGAGAAGAAGCAUAAAAAACACAAGGAUAAAGACAAGGAGAAGGACAAAGAGCAUAAGAAGCACAAACAUCGUCAUAAAGAUCGGAGUAAAGACAAGGACAAAGAGAAAAAGAAAGAUAAAAGUGGCCACAAUGAUCCUGGUGCUGAGCAUUCAAAGAAACAUGAAAAGGUCUGCUGUCAUCUAAACUCAAAUGAUUUUGUUUCAAAAAUGAUGAUUCUCAUGGUAUGUUGUUACUUUGAAUAUAGUCCUAGGUUCAUGUUCAGAAGUUUAGAAGAUGGUUCAACAUUAUCUUAACUAAAUAGAAUCUUUUAAAGUGGAUGAAACUACAAAUUUCACAACAGGUCUCAGUACCAUCGUGCUGACUGUUGCACUUGCUUUCCUGAAUUUGUACUUUAUAAUUUAAUCCAUUUGUACAUUAUCCUUUUUUGUUACAAGUUGCCUCUGUACGAUCAAGUGGGAACAAUAUUGAGAUUAAUUAAGGUUCAGCUUCCUAGGCAUCGAACAUGAGGUCUUUGAAAUGAACUGCCACUUGACUUUUUAAGUUAUUGAGGUGAAAAGUUGUUGAGUCCGGCCCUAUUCGGUUUAGUUUAGUGAUACAUAUAUUUUAAGUUGGUAAAAUUCUGAUCCACUCCUUUACUCUAAGAAUAACCUCAUGUUUGAAUUUUGUGUAAUCUACUUAAUGCGGUGUUGACUUUAUAGUUUUCCUCUCUGAUAGUUUGAUACUUCCUUUUUUGUUUUAAGUUCUUUCCGGGUGGGACCUAUUAAAAAAAGUUCUUGCCAGGUGGUACUUAACUAUUGAGUUGCUUUGUGGAAAAUUCACCCUUGCUGACUUCGACCCUGAUUUGCAACAUCUUGGAAUUUGGCAAUCAAAAAGUCAUACUUCAUGGUAAUAAAAGGGAUAAAAGAACUCAUUGAUUUUGAUCGUUUUUCUUAAACUGAUUUCAGAAAAGGAAGCACGACGAGGAGGAUCUCAACGGUAUCCACAAACACAAGAAAAGCAAGGUAACUAAAAAAUGUUGGAUUCAUAUAAUAUUUUUCUUUACUAUAUUUUGAACCUUCUUUGUUGAGGAAAAUUAUAUAUUUGCAAACGUUAGUUUUGUGAUAUAAAUUUAUUGUACGCAAUCUAAUCCCUACACUUAGUAUACAUUCACCUUUUACUAAUUGUCCCUUCAUCUUACCUGCUAAAAUGUUGCAGCACAGGAGCUCAAAGAUUGAUGAGAUUGGUUCAAUAAAGGUAGCCGGCUGAAUUGUGCGUGUGGUUGUAUAAUUUAUGUUGUCCCAGAUUUUGCAGUUGAGAAUUUGGAGGGUUCCUUUAGUUAGAAUUGUGAAAUAUCAGAAGUUCAUGUCCUGAUCAAUUCAUUAAUUGAAGAACUUUAUGGCAUGCGCCGGUGUUGACAUCUGUAUCUUUAUUUGAGCAAGACUAUUCCUUGGAAGACAUUACUGGUCAGAUGCAUCAAACUUUUUUGCGUAUUCAUGAGUGCAAUCUGGCGUUUUGAUUUAUAUACUUCAAUUUUCCCCCUUUUCUAAAUAACCACCUUGAAAAAGUAGGCAUGCAUCUAGUCUGGCCUCUACAGUGAUAAAGGAGGCAUCUGCAUGUCUGACAAAAUGUUUUCCUGCCUGUUUUGGAUAUCAAAUAAAAAAUUUCUCCUCAUGGAAGUCAGGUGGAACUAUCUUAUACUUCUUUGUCCUUUUUAUCUAUCGUUUAAAGUUUUGGCACACGCAUUGAGAAAACCAUUUGCUAUCUUUAACAUAAAGAUAAGGGGUAUUUGACUAAGUUACCCGUAGUUCUUAAAUGAUUAGUUAUUGACUAUAUCCGCCCUCUUAGAGUAGUAAAGGUGGAAUUGGAAAAAGGAAUUAACCGUUUCUUGGUUUCUGAAAUGAUAAUAUUUUAGAACAAAUUUUUUUAUUAAAGUGAUAGAUACAAAAGUUCACAAAAGAAUAAGGAACAAGAAAGCAUAUCUUAGAAAAUUUUGAACAUUCAUGAAAAAGUUUGCUGUUAGAGAUUCAAUUUCAUCUUGCAAAGAGAUGGAGGAAAAAUGUGUUAUUGGUGCAUGGGUGCAGCCUCAAACUCGUUAUGGUAAGGUGGAUAUGUGAUCAUGGAAGUGUCUGAGAUGCACUGUCCUUGAGCAUAAAAGAUGUAAACUUUUGUCUAUGCUGUCCUGAAUGUGCUGGUGGAGAUAUAAGGUGAAACUGGUCAAGGCUAGUUGGAAAAGGAUGGAAGUUUCUAAACCUUACUGGAGUACUGCUUACAUCAAUAAAGAAAAGCAACAGAAGUAAUCAAAUGAUAUGCCAAACUCCAAGGUAUUUUUGUAUCUUCUAUUUAUUUAUUAUUAUUUUGGCUCAUUGGAAUCAAAUAAUAAUCAUGUAUACUUCUUUUGGGAUGAUUUUUUGUCUCCAGUCUACAUAUGUAUGUGUGUGCAUAUUACUAAACAUUCUCAGUUGUGUGUCGUUGAGAAUUGAUCCCCUGAUCAAGAUGUCAUCAAGCAAGUAAAUGAACUGGACCAACUGAGCAAGCAUAUCUUUUUUGCAAGUAACUGAGUAUCUCAUUGAAGGAGGACCCUCUCCAACUUAGAUGAUGAAUAUGAGUUGGAACUUGGAAAUUUGGCUACUUUAAAAUGGAUUUAUGUGCAAGUCUCAUGCACAGAAAGGAAGUUGUAACAAGUUCCCUGUCCCCCCUGGUGUUUCAGCAACUUUGCUAUUGGGAUAAUGGUGGAAAAAUUUACUGAAUAGCCGGUGGAAUUAUGAGAAAGAGAAAUUGUAAGGUUUAUAUAUGUGUGUGUAGAAAGGCAAAAAAGGACAUGUUUGACGAGUAUGCAAUAGUUGAAUUUAGAACAACUUGCAGUGGAUGAAAGAUAAAACUUUUAUUCAAAUAAGUGUCCUGUUCAAUCACUGCACCAUUCCGAGUUUCACCUUAAACCGGUUUCUAUAAUGAUCAUCUGUUUACGUGCAACUAAUGAUUUUAGAGUUUAUUUUGUUCAUGACAUAUGCUGCUUAACAUUGAACACAUGUUUUGCUUCAUUUGAAAUUGAAAAGCUAUUAGGUUUUUCUAUAUUAGGAAUUACGUCAAGUGCUUUGAUCUUUUUAUGCUUAUUCAAUACUUUUUCUGUUGUGGAUUGAAGGUCCCUGUGGCCUGAUGUUCUUCACAAGGUAACUUUUCAAUCCCUAAUUUGGAGUGAAAUGAAACAAAACAUUGGCACUGUGUGGAAUUUUCGUCACAAGCAAAGCAUUUGAAGAAGUAAUAAGAAAAGGGUAGUGUCAAUAAUCUUUUGUAUUGGGCGUUUUGUGAUUUUCCCUUCUUUUUUUCUUCAUGUAUAAUCUGCCAAGUUUACUUGAUGUAGUGUUCUUGAUAUCAACUUGAGUUCUUUACUAAGAGCAGAGGUUGAUCAUAGUACUUUCUAUAUGUAGCAUAAUAUUUCAUGCCUUCCUGCAUGCAGAAUAGCCUCGGAAUGGAUUUAGUUCAAGGUACUCCCUUGUGUCAUAUAUUAAGGGCUCCCAUUAGUUGGCAGUGAUGGUGAGGAACUUGAUCCAUCUUCAGGUUUAGCAAGUUGCUGCAUGCUGUUGUAUGAUUCUAUGUUUCCCUCUUUUGAGGGUUCUAAUCUCAAGGUUCAGUCUUAACCAUUUGGAGCUUUGGGUAAUAAAAUGAGAAGGUUGAGAUGAAUGUUGGUCUGCUCUUCUGUCAUUUGUCUUCUCCAUUGAGUUUGAAGGUUAACUUCUCAACAGCAUUAAGCAUCUGCAGAGAAUUUUAAAAAAAGGUGUCGCUAUAUGGUCAUGAAUAGAAUCACUUCUUGUAUAUACUAGGAUAGAAUGAGAUACAUAACUCCUUUCUUGAUGAAAACAAGAUUUAUUUUGUGUGUGUUUGGCCAAUUUUAUCUGCAUUGGACUUGGCUAAGCUAAUUGUUAGAUGUUCCUAGUGAUCAACAUGUAAAUUUUUGGCUUUACUAUUCGAAUCCUGGACUAAAAUGUAGCCCUACUGCAAAUAUGAGAAGUUUAUAUAAAUAGGCAAUGAAGAUGAUUUGUACUUAACUUUAGGCACUUUAGCCCUAUCUGCAUUUGGUUUCGUUAUUUGAUCAAGGUCAUGUUUGAAUGCUUCUUUUGCUAGUCCGGUUGUAUGACCCAAGAAGCAUGACAGUUCUAGUUCAUUAGUGAUCUUUGACAAGAAAAGGGAGAGUAUUUGCUAGGUUCCUAGUGAUAGCUGUAGUAUAUAUUGCUUGAACUCUCCAAAAAUGAUGUUAUACUCGUGUCAAAUCCUCAAAAAUUACACUAUUCCUUUCAACUUUGCUAGAGUCUGAGUUCUCACUUCUCAUGACUGAAUGAGCAUUGGUCUGGAAUUCAACUUUGCAUUACACUUGUUAUGAUUAUGAUGAUAAUGAAAAAUUGGAGCAGUUGUCUUGUUGUAUGAACAAUAAUGAAGGGAACAGUAGUCUUUGUUGCUAUAGAUGCAUUGCAUGUAAUUUGUUAUGUGUGCAGUUUAAGUAGGAAGCAAAAGCAGCUGUUAUUAGGCUGGAAGAACAUGUGUAUUGACAAGUCACAUCUGGAUUUCAAAUUUUUGUUUAUAACUGCCGUCACAUUGCAUACAUGGAGGAAUCUUUCGCAAUGUUGCAUAUAAAAAAUAAGGAUUAAAGUUAUAUACACUGAUAAUUUAUACUAGUGGUGUAAAUUUCAUAUUUACCAAGUUAUUAAUUAUUGAUAAUCAUAGUGAUUAACUUGUAAUUAUCUUACAAGUGACAUUUUAAAGCAUCUUAAACUUUUUUUCCUCUUUUCUGGUAUAAGAAUCUUUCAUCCCUUUGUAGUCAGUUAGCUCCAUCAAAUCAAGAAAAGACAAACUAAUCAACUAAGAUAUAGUCAUGACAUGAGUCUUAUAUUAGUAUUACUAGUAUCUAAAAAGAAGGAAGUUACGUAGACUUUGUGAUACUUAUAUUAGUGCGAGCCAUUUGGGGAAAAAAUGUGCGAACUUGAUUCAAAGCGGAUUGAGUAAAAUUUAAAAUGUGUUUUAAGCACUUAUUUUUAAGUUUAAAAAGACAAAAAAAAACAAUCAAAAAUCACAAGUUAAAAUUUCUGCCUUUAAAAUCAAAAGUUAUAAGGCCAUCCAAACAGUCUCUAAAUAUUUACUCAUUUUGUUUUCCUGCUUCGAGUUUGCCUUAUCCCUUAAGAACUCUAUUGAGCUUUUUGUUAGAGCUAAAUUGGAGAAAAAUGAAAUGUUUCCACUCCCAAUGCCACAAAAUGAUUGAGGAUUACGAUAGAGUUAAAAUAAAUUUUGUUGUUUAUUAUAUUUAAUAAGUAUUACAUAAUCAAAUAACUAAAGAAAGGAUAGACUGCGGGAGAAUCUUAUUAAGUAGAUUAAUGACUCGUCGGAGCAGGACUUUAACUCCUUUUCUAUCAUGAACAAUAUAUCAGUUUUAAUUUCGACGUAUUUUGGAUGCUUAAAGGCAUCGCUUGACACAAAGUAGCAUUAAGCUAUGUAGGCUCUUCUUCGUCAAAUAAAUAAUUAAAUUCACCACUUUGGUCUUAUUAAUAAAUCGUUAUUAAUUCCAUAUAAAAUAUACUACUAAUAUUAAUUGAGUGCGAUGCUGAAUAGGUGCAAUAAUGAUGGAAAAUUUUCUUUUAAAAAUGAUUUAAAGUACGGACAAAUUUUAGAUCAUACAAAGGGGGAAAAUGAUGGAAGAUAAAAAAGUAAUUAUAUAAAGAGAGAUUCUCCACUAAAGCUUUUUUUGGUGUUUUAGGACUUUUUUCUUUAUCUUUUGGUAUACUAAUUGUAAAACUACUUUCAACUUUAUGCAACGAUAAUGUAAAUAAUUAUUGCACUCAAUGUCAAAAAGAAAAAAAAAAGUUUGAUACACUAAGCUUUCGUUAGGUGUGGAAUUAAGAAAAAUAAAUUAGAUCACAAGAAUCUAUUUUUAUGAGUACGAUUUGGAAAAGAUAAGGUACACUGUGCACAUAAAUUUUAUCCUUACUUUAAUAGAGUAAAGAAAUUGUUUUUGAUAAACUAUCGACUCAAGAAAAUUAUUUUCCCGAUUGUUUUUGGGACAAACUUUUCCAAGAUGUUUACAAAACGAAACGGCUAGUAGAUUCUUGAAACUUUUUUACUCAUGUCAUUGAGAUAUCAUUUUUAUCUUUUUUGUUACUUUAAUACUUUAUCAUUUGUAAUAAAUCUUUACAAUUAGUGACAAAUAGUAAUUAUUAUUGUGCUUAAAUGAUUAAUUGUAUUAUUUCAUGUCUCUUACAAUUAUUUUGUUUAGUAAAGAAAUAGGAGCCUAUAUGUGUCCAUGCAUGGAGCUCUACAUUAUUGGGAAAGUAUUUGUCCUAAAGUUUAAAGACGUUUUUUUUAAAAGUUUGGUCCCAAAAUGAUAAUAUUGACAAACUUUAUAUUAUAAGAAACAAAGAUUAUUAUAAUGGGAAACUUGUCCAAAAUUUUAUUAUAUAGUUUAUCCUUAUUUUUCUGAAAGGCCUUUUGCAUGUUUGUGAGUGUCCAAAAUGGUUACUUCUUCCAAUUCCAUGAACUGAUGAACUGCUUCAGUUUCACAUGAUAAUUGGACUCAUUUGUCAAUUGUUUUUAUGUAUCGUAUUUUUUCUGUCUCAAUUUAUAUAGACAUCAUUUUAUAUGAUAUAGAUAAUUUUUUUAUAAUUUAUUUAAAUAAAAUAUAUGAUAGAUGUUUUGUGUCUAUUCUAAUAUCUUAUUUAUUGUGUUUUGAUUAUUAUAUUAUUUUAUUAUUAUUUUUAACUCUUUUUUAGUAAGGUUUGCAUUGAUACCUUGUUACUUGCUAUAUUCUCUUUACUAUAUCCUUCUUCUUUGUAUUUGGAUUUAUUACGAGGGUCUUUCAGAAACAAAAUAUCUACUUCCACGAAGUAGUGAUAAAAUCUAUGUACAUUCUAUCCUCUCCAGACAACACUUAUGGGUUUAAUCAUCGGAUAUGUAGUUGUUGCUGAUGAAUAACUUGUGUGAUUAUAAAUUAUUUUAUUAAUACAAAAUUAUAUCAUUUAAAAUAUAAAAUUGCGUCAUUUUCUUUUGGACGAAAACUAAAAAUGAUAAAAGUGUGAUUGAGUACUAGAUUAUUACUUUAUUCGGUCCCAAAUAUUACUAGUUGUUUUGGACUUUUAGCAAAAGAUAAAUUUGUUCUAAAAUCUCUAAAAGAUUUUUUUUUCUUACAAAAAAUCACUACUAUAACUUCAAUAAGUGAAGUAUUAGUUAAAUUAAUGAGAAAUAUUAUACGGAUAGAAGAUAAUAAAUGCAUUAAGAAUUUUUGACAGAAAUAAUCCAUUAUGUAAAAUAUUUUAUCAAAAUAAUACAUUUUUCUGAAAUUUUACCAAAAUAGAUUAAAUGUAUUUGUCAGUAACGUUUUAUAAAUUAUUAUAUUAAAAAAUUUCAACGGACAAAAUUAACGGUAGACAGAUUUUAACAGAAGCAUAAAACGUUACCAUGAGUAACAAUUUAAUCUUAAAACGUUAUCACGAGGUAACGAUUUUCUGGUACAACCAUGAGUUUAAUCAAUCUCUCAGAUAAAUCUUCAUUCAUCUCCUCUUUCCUUCAUCCUAAUUCUACAGCACCAUCGCAUCUUUUCAGUUUUACCGAAAAAGUUCAAAAAUUCAUUUUUCAUAAUAUCAUAAUAAUAUUUGAAUCUCAUGUUUUCAAAUUCAAUACCUAUUUACAGCAAAACACAUUUUCAAAAUUAACACGACCUCAAAUUUCAACAACAUUCAACCAAAAAUGUAAUACCAACAUUUAAAAUAAAAACCAAAAAAUAAAUUGUAUUACACAGUAAAUCAAAAUUGCAAAUUACAAAAUUUUGAUUAUAUGUUCACAAUCAGCAAUUGCAAAAUUUAAAAUACAAUAGAAUAGAAAAAAAAAUUAAAUCACGAAACUCUAAUCGGAGUUGGACAUUUUCGAAAAGUCUCAACAUCAAUUUGAUAAUAUACAAAAAAAAAGAAAAAAAAGAAAGAAAGAAAGAAUAGAUUUAAACCUUGCACUAAUAAGUUAAUAACUCAUGAGAAAGGGGAUCACUCUUUAAGGAAAUUCUUAAAUUACAUCAAUUUUUUCAGUUGUUUCUUGGAUUCGUUGCAAGUAUGUAAGUUGCAACUGAAAUUUGAGAAAUUGAAAUAAUCUCAGUUUUCAAACAACAAGAUCUCACUCAAAUUAAGAUUUUUGAUGUUUCACAGAUGGUGAAAUUGGAAAUGAAGAAUCGCCAAAAUGGCAUUUUUCCUGUCACAGUCCAUAAAACUUAUUCCCCUGUUGCCUCCCCAAGAUUGAAAGGACACUUGUCUUUUUAUCGUUAAUUAAAACGUUACUCCGAAAUAUGUACUAUCUCAUGUCGUAACUGUUGAUCACAAAAUACUUCUUUAAUGCCGUUUAUAAUUAAAUAUUGUUUGCUUAUUCUUUAAAAUAAUUUUUUUAUAAAACCUUACUCAAAAGUACGUUUAUUCUAUUUUGGUAAAAUUUCAAAAAAUUAUACUACUUUUAUUAAAUACUUUAAAUAAUGGGUUAGUUAAGUCAAAACUUCAUGCAUUAAAGAAAUGGAUCUACCUAUCAUCGGAAACAUCUAAUUUAUUUGUUACUUUUGUUUUGUCCGUUACACAAAAGUUUUCUCUAAAGUUACAAUUUGCAACUUUUUUACUUUUAAAUUAAGAAUUGUUUAGAUACUACUAAUGGGACACUCUCAGCGAUCGUUUGGUAGGGUGUAAUAAAUUAAUAUAUAAAAUAAUUUCACAUAUAUAUAUAUAUAUAUAUUUGAUGUGUGUUACUUGAGUCAAGGAUCUCUUAAAUAUAUCUUUUUUAUCUCUCUAAAAUGAGUAAAAUUUGUGUAAUCUUUUUUAAACUUUGUUUAUAAAAUUACAUUGUUAAAGUUUUGUAUAGAUAAUGCAUAUAAAAAACUUAAAUCUAUAAAAAGAAAGUGGAUUAUUUCUCUUUGUUUACCUUGGUUUUGAUGACUCAUUUUGAAACAUAAUAUAAUGUGCAUUAUUACUAGUUUAUAUACCUAAUGUAUGUGGGAGGUGAUUUUAUGUCGAUUUAAAUAUUGGAUAAGGAGAAUACUAAUGUCUAUGAAGUUUUAAAAAAUAUAUUUUUUGGUUAUAUAAAAUAUUAUUUGUAAAUCAAUGUCGGCCACAUUCUUCUGUAUAGUCAAAUUACGCUGCUCUUUUUAAAAAUGUAUAUUACUAUUGGUGUCUUCUAGGAAUAUAAAUUUACUACUUUAAUUUAUUUAUAAUAAAAUAAUAACAAUGCAAUGUAAGUAUGAACCAUGCAGCGCAGCAUCCAAAAUCCACUACUAAUUAAUUAAUAAAUAAAUCACAUUGCCCUUUCUGUUCUUUCAAGAAAAUUAAUCAAGUUUAAAUUAUUGUCAUCUACAAUAUAAUGUCAUCAUGUAUUUAAGAAAAUAAUUUUUUAUUCGAACUCUAAUUUCACGGGUGGUACUACUAGCUUGCUUGUAUAACAACACAAGAGCACUCCUUCCUAUACUCCUCAUAGGUGUACCGUUAACUAUACCUAAUUUUUGUCAAUUUCUCAAAAUAGAUAUACAUAUAUAUACAUGAUUUUUUCUGAAGUUAAUGGGUGCAUGUGCAUCCCCUUGUAUGACUUUGGGUCUACCUCCGCUUAUAUGAUCGAGUAACACAUCCAAAUCUAUUAAAAUUAUAUUGGAGUGAUAAACACUCCUUCAUUCUUAAUCAGAGGUUCGAGUUGCUCUGAAUAUAGUUCCCUUUGUCCAAUGUUAGUUAAAAGAAUUUAUUUUUGAUUGAUAGUUUAUUAUGUAUAAAAUUCUAAAUCAUUUUCAAACAUUAAUACACUAAUAAAAAAUUAGUAAUUUAUUAGUACUUUUUAAAUUUUAAUGGAGAAAAAAAUAAACUAAAAAAGGGGCCACUUAUGACUUAUGAGAUACGGCGUUAUAACUCAACUUGUAUAGUUGCAUGAAUCAUCACUUCACAACAACUGGUAGCACCGUCUUUUUCUUCCUUUUUUUUCUCGAUGUUCGUUAUUUAUAUUAAAACUACACAAUCAUUUUAGAUAUAAUAUUUUUUAAUAUAAUUUGAAAUUGAUAAAUCAGUUUCACUACUGCAUCACAAUGGUACAACAGGCAGCAUUGUCACUCACCAGCUGAGAAUAUAAUUAGCUGGAUUUGCACCAUCCAAAAUCUGUCUUCCAUGAAUAUACUUUUUAAUACAAUAAUUACUCCAUAAUCUUCCCCAAUUUUCUACCUUUUCACACACACAGAAACUUUUUCUCCCCUUAGAUUUUUCUCCCUCUGCUUUCUGUCACUCUCUUGGUUUCUUCUCUUUCCUCUCUUCAAAUUUCUGUCUUUUUUCCUCACUGUAAACACAGACAACUCCCCCGCCCCUAUGCUUUCAGCAAUUUGUCUUCUAUUACCAUUUCUCAUUUGACCAAAUUCCAAAAAAGGAAUCUUGCUGAACAUUCACAAAGAACAGAGCAGAUUGAUUAUUCACAAAAAAAAUUAAAUAAUGUAAGCUAAAUAAAAUAAAAUAUAUGCUCAAUAGUAAGGAACUUCUUCUUGAUUCUUGAUUCAGUACAAAAAGUGUUUCUUAAAGUUCUCAUCUUUUUUUUCUAAAGAAAGAAUCUGUUAACGAUGGUGGUUUCCUUUUUCUUCAUUUUCUUCCUCUGUUUUUCACCUCAGUACUAUUACUUAUCAUUUGCCACCACCGCCGCCGCCGUCUUCUCCGGAAACAACCGCCGUGUUCUCCAUGAACCCUUUUUCCCAUUAGACUCACCACCACCAUCUUCUCAACCACCCAUACCUUCUCCUCCAGCCCCUACAGAGUACCCAUUUCAAGGCUCUACUACUACUCCUGAUAACAGUGAUAAUAACCCCUUUUUCCCUACUUACCCUUCUCCUCCACUUCCCCCUGAUUCACCUGCUGAUUUUGUUCCUGCAAAUGUUUCUUCUAUUAUCCUUCCAAAUACCUCCAAAUCUAACCCUGUUUCAAAUAAACUUAUUGUCACUGCUAUUAUCUCUGUUCUUGCUGCUGUCAUUGUUCUAUCUAUUGCUAUCUUUUUACAUAUACGAAAGCGAAGGAAACAGAGUGACCGGAAAACUCAAAGAUCUGAUAGUAAUAGCAAUGGGUUGAGUCGGGAUGGUGCUAGGAGUGAUGGUAAUAAUGGUGUUCCUAAGCUUCAAAGACCGUCUCAAACUAGUUCGGAGUUUCUCUAUUUGGGUACUCUUGCUAGCUCACAUGGCGGAGUUGAAACACAUAAUGCUCAGAAUCGUAAUGGUAGUAACACUAGCUCUACUCCUUCUUCGAGAAAAAUGGACUCGCCGGAGCUCCGUCCAUUGCCGCCGUUGCAUGGACGGAAUUUGAGACAGAGUUAUGGGAAUACCAGGUUUUUCUCCGGUACUGCUGAAAAUGAUGUAGAUUUUUACUCUUCUGCGGGAUCUAUGGGUGGUAGAGAGAGUUCAAUCGGAGGUGACUCACUGUCCCGGAGAGAUUUUUCUGCUGUUGAAGUUGAGAAAUUUGUUGGCUGUAGCUCAUCUUCUUCGAGUUCGUCCUCGAGUUCCGGGUCCGGUUCGCCGGUCCGGUCUGUAUCGCUGAGCAUUUCGCCGCCGGCGAGUUUGAGUCCGGAAAGGAAAAGUGUAAGACCCAAGUCACCGGAACUGGUCGCUGUUGACACCGCUCCACCACCUCAGUAUCCACCUCCUCCUCCACCGCCACCGGCGACUAUUGUGCCACCAUUUGCAGAAUCUCCAUCUCCAUCACCAUCACCUCCAUGCCCAUUAUCACCAGAGAGAUAUUCAACCAGAAGUAUGGACUCAUCUCCGGGAAUUUUCAAUCUUUUGGAUCAGGAUGUUCAGUUUCCGGCGAGAAUCAGAAAUCACAUUCAGCAAGCCACACCAGCUUUUGGACCACCACCGCCACGUCCGCCACCACCUCCACCACCUCGGUCUAAGAAUAUGGAAAGCCCCAAAACACCCUCACCUCCAUUUUCAAAGCCAGCAUUUAACCCUCCAGUUCUUGAAUCUCCUUUAAAACCCAUAGGAAUUGAGAGUCCAGUAUUGGUUUCUCCAAUGGAGUUGCCUUCUAUUUCGGAACAUAUUGAGAAGAAUGAUGAGAAAACUGAGGAACCCAAACCAAAGCUGAAAACUUUGCAUUGGGAUAAAGUGAGAGCAAGUUCGGAUCGCGAAAUGGUUUGGGAUCAACUGAAAUCAAGCUCAUUUAAGUAUGAUAAUCUGUAACUAUUGCCUUUUGUUUGUAUAAGUUGAAUAGAGCUGAUACUGAUUUAUUUGCAGGUUGAAUGAAGAGAUGAUAGAAACACUGUUUGUUGUAAAGACUCCAACUUUGAAUGCAAAUGACACAGCUAGACGUCUUGUUCCCUCACCGAGCCAAGAGAAUAGGGUACUUGAUCCAAAGAAGGCACAGAACAUUGCAAUUUUGCUGAGGGCCAUAAAUGUAACCACAGAGGAAAUAUGUGAAGCCCUUUUAGAAGGUAUUCGCAGUUCUUUGAAGAGUUUAACUUAAAUACAUCGAUAUUUAUGCUAUUAGGCUGACGUAAAAGAUAACUACGGUAAUCAUUGGGAUUUGUAGGCUGGAAAAUAAGAAAGGUUACCUAGUACAGUGGGUUAAAAUGCUUGGUAUUGUAGGAAUUCUUUACAUUUGGUGGUUUAUAUAAGUUAAAUCUCUCUCUGAAUUGAAAAUUAAGAGCUGAAAAAUGGAAUGAUGGAAGUGUCUGUUAGUAUUGAUCGAGGCAAAAUCAUGUAGUUUAUCGUGCUAAAAGUUAUGCUCCUUUGCUCCCAAGAAUUUCAGUACAUGGAUUUUGAAAUCAUGUAAAAAGUUUACCUUCACUCAAUGUUCUUUGUUGGUUUCAUCAAUAGGCAGAAGUUCAAGUGUAUGUAGAAGUUGUAAAGUGUUUGGAUUUAGGAGAAUAGACAGCAGUAACAAGUUACAUCUUCUAUUCAGGAAAUGCUGAAACUAUUGGAACUGAGCUCCUUGAGAUUUUAUUGAAGAUGGCUCCAUCCAAAGAGGAAGAACGUAAACUAAAAGAAUACAAAGAUGAUUCUCCGGUCAAGCUCGGACCAGCAGAGAAGUUUCUGAAAGCAGUGCUUGAUGUACCUUUUGCAUUCAAAAGGGUAGACGCUAUGCUGUAUAUAUCAAAUUUUGAUUAUGAGGUCGACUACCUCAGAAAGUCAUUUGAAACUCUAGAGGUAACUAUUUUAAGUCAUCGUCAACUCCUACUUGUUAUUGAUGAUCCAUUCACUAAAAAAGAAUUUUGAUUUAGAUCAGAAGUAAACUUGUGAAUUAUGUCUUUAAAAUGCUUUCCUACUACAGGCAGCAUGUGAAGAGUUGAGAAGUAGCAGAAUGUUCUUAAAGCUUCUGGAAGCCGUGUUGAAGACGGGUAACCGCAUGAAUGUUGGGACAAACAGGGGAGAUGCUCAUGCCUUCAAACUUGACACACUGCUAAAGCUUGUAGAUGUAAAGGGAGCAGAUGGGAAAACAACCCUUUUGCAUUUUGUGGUUCAGGAGAUUAUAAAAGGUGAAGGUACUCGUCUUUCCGGAGGAGAUCAGAACGAACAGUGUACCACUAAUGAUGACGCUAAGUACCGGAAACUUGGCCUUCAAGUUGUUUCCAACAUUACUUCAGAGCUUAUACAUGUUAAAAAUGCUGCUGCUAUGGAUUCAGAAGUGCUCCACAGCGAUGUUUUAAAGCUUUCUAAGGGGAUUGGAAACAUUACUGAGGUUGCAGGAUACAUUGAAGCCGUUGGAUCAGAGGAAAGCAGUACUAAAAAAUUCUCUGAGUCCAUGAACAGGUUUAUGGAAAUAGCAGAAGAGAAGAUCAUAAGGCUCCAAGCUCAAGAAGCAUUGGCCAUGUCACUGGUGAAGGAAAUAACCGAGUAUUUCCAUGGAGAUUCAGCUAGAGAAGAGGCUCACCCUUUCAGAACCUUCAUGGUGGUCAAAGACUUCCUAAUGAUUCUUGAUCGCGUUUGCAAGGAAGUUGGAAUGAUAAAUGAGAGAACAGUAGUUAGCUCCGCGCAUAAAUUUCCAGUUCCUGUUAAUCCAAAUCUACAACCUGUCACUAGCAGUUACACAGCUAAACGGCAGCAUAGUUCCUCUGAUGAUGAAUAUUUAUCUUCUUAGUAGUGUUAGUUGGUCAUAACAGGCAACUCCCUAGUUUUUUGCUUCUGGCCAAAACCAAUGUAAUCUACUAUAAAGGCCUUAUAGGAGUUUGCCUGAGACUGUACCACGAAUUUUCGAGUAUAAGUAACUCUAAGUUGUAUUUAUUAGAUCAUUUUGUAUAAGAUCUUGGAAAUUCUUUAUCCUUUUCAUAUAUAUAUAGCAAGAUUUAUCAUCACAUCCAAAAUAAUAGGAAGGUUCAAACCUACAUUGAUGGAUACAAUAACAACAUACACGAGGUCUGGGAGGGUAGAGUGUAUGCGGAUAUUAUAGAGAGGCUCAAGUAUUCUUUGUACUAAUCUAACUAUAUGGAAUAUAAAAUACAAAGUCUUCAAAUGUUUGGAACAUUUUACAGUCAGCUUUGAGUGAUGGAUUUUUUCCAACUUUGCAUUUUAUAAUUACUGGAAGAUGAGACUACACUGUUCAAGCAGUAAAUCUGAAAAGAGGAAAAAUACUGACUAACACCAAUCUGUAGAAAUCUCUUCACCAUUAAAAAUACAGAAAAAGAAGCACAAAUUACAUAGUUGGGUAGCUAUGAAUAAGGGACUUACAGUAGAAAUAGAAUGAUAUUAUAUAGAUAGUGAACCGUGGUAUUUGUACAGGAUAGAAAAUGAUCUAGUAAUUAUUGUAUCUUACUCGACCAUUAUCGAAGGGCUUCAUUUACUUAUUGAGCAACAAUGAGCUCGUCCAUUUGGAAUCCGCUAUCACUCUCAGGCAUCAUAAUGUCAUCAUCAGUUGUGAAAUGAUAUCGUUCUCCGAUGGCUCUCAGAAGCUGGUACAGUUCAAACAUUGUUGGCCUCUCCUUAGGAGCAGCAGCCAACACACAUCGACAAGCAACUUUAAGGACCUGGAAGAUCUCACUGUCAUAACCUUUACUAGACAAUGAAUGGUCAAUCGCAUCUUGAAGUUUAGAUUCACCAGAGAGUUGUGUGAUCCAUUCCACCAAAUUCCCCUUAAAGGUCUCGGGAGCUUUGGCGACAGAAGUUGGUGUCUCACCUGUAACUAACUCGAGAAGUACAACACCGAAACUGUACACAUCACCUUUUGGUGUAGCCAUGAGAGUUCGCGCGUACUCAGGUGCAACAUAACCAAAGUCCCCGAAUUCCCCAUUUACAAAGGUACUCAAAUGAGUGUCAACUGGAUUCAUGAGCCUAGCAAGUCCAAAAUCCGAUAUUUUAGGUUCAUAUUCCACAUCCAGCAAGAUGCAUUUAGAACUAAUAUUUCUGUGGAUGAUACGAGGAUUGCAGUUGUGGUGAAGCCAUGCAAAUCCUUUGGCUGCUCCAAUAGCGAUUUUCAUUCUCAUAGGCCACUCAAGAGUUUUUUCCCCUUCACUCACCGAAUGCAACCUAUCAUGCAAGGUGCCAUUUGGCAUAUCUUUGUAGACCAACAGCCUUUCUUUUUUCGCCAUGCAGAAACCUAAAAGAGGCACCAGGUUACGGUGCUUUACAUUUCCCAACGUAGCCAUCUCGGAUGUAAACUCUUUCUCUGAGUGUUGAGUAUUCUGCAACCUCUUAACCAUAAGUGAAGUGCCAUCAUCAAGUACUGCUUUGUAGAAUGUCCCGGUUCUUCCUGACCCAACAAUAUUGUUCUUGCUGAAGUUGUUGGUGGCCUUCAUGAGAUCACUUAGUCUCAUUUUUGAAGUAGAUUUCUCAAACAUUGAAAGCUGAAAAUAAGGCACUUUAAGUCAAUUAAGAAUGCUUGAGCAAGAGAAAACUCACACGAGCUUAUGGUGAAAAAUUCAUUAGUUAAAUGCUUAUAUUAAAACACGAAUUUAUGGUUCUAAAUAUGAUCGCAAUGCCACAGUAGAACCCGUAAACACAAACCACAACCCACUAGAAUUGAUUUAUGACCUAUCAACAAAGCACGAACAGAAUUCUCACCUGGAUUGCCUUGGAACCCUUGAUACUCUUCGCCCAUUUAUUCCCUUCAGGAUCAUCUUCCUUUUUCCUCUUCCUGGAUAUCUUUCUCAUAUAGAAGAACAUACCGAUGGUCAAUAAUACAGCGCCUAAAGUCACCCCACCAACAGCAGCACCGACAAUGAUUCCAGUAGGGGAUUUCUUAGCAUAACCCUCACAAAGAGCUAAUGGUGGUCCACACAGUCCGGCAUUAUUGGCAUAGCUCUCUGGGGGAAAAGUUGAAUUUAUGAAACGUGGAACUGGUCCAGUCAAUCGAUUGUUUGCUACAUUAAAAUUCUUGAGCCGACCAAGCAGGGCAAUUUCUGGAGGAAUUUGACCCGUAAACUGGUUGUUGUCAAGUCUAAGGCUAUUCAAAAAAGAGCAGUUUGCAAGAUUAACUGGGAUAUCCCCUGAUAGAUUGUUGGAUGAGAGAUCCAGCGUUACCAUAAAACCUAUAAUUUUGGAGAUAUCAUUUGGAAUACUUCCAUGGAGUUUGUUGCUCGAAAGAUCUAAUGAUGUAAUAGAGGUGCAAUUCUUAAGACCACGUGGAAACUUGCCCUUGAGACCCAUGUCAGGAAGACUGAUACUCAGAACCCUGGUUUCAUCAGGAUGCCAGCACUGAAUCCCAGCAAACUUGCAGAUGAAACCUUCGGUCUGAUUAUCGAACUUCCAUGUUGUGUUCAAGAACUUCAAUGGAUCUUCAAAUGAAUCUUUUAUAGAUUUCAGACAGUCAAUGUCGCUUUGAAGAGCAGAGCAAACAGCACAGCUCAAGACCAAGUAGAUCAAAAUAGCAGCAAAGGUAGUAAGAGCUCUGUUAUCCAAAGCCAUCUUGGUGAGAGGCCCAGUCAUAACCGCAACAAUCGAAGGUCCUAAUUAAGUAGUUGACUGAAACAUUUAAGAUCUCUAUAGACUAGUUUGCAACCCCGAAAAAUCCAUUGCAAGAACAAAUCCAAUUUCUCCCGAGUUAAGAAGCAAAAUGUAAGGCUGCAAGAAAAAAAUAAGAUGAUGAAUCAGUUUUAUCAAUCAGUCAAUGCUGCCUCACUUCCAAACUAGUAAAAAAAAAACUAUAUGAAUCUACGUUUCAUCCGCUCUAUUCGGACUCAUUUCAUAUCAACAUUAGAUAACUUUUCUUCUUAAGCGAACUAGUGAUUCUCCAGAAGUAGAGGUACUCAAAUCCCACAGUUACAGGACAACCAAAAUAAAGAUUGAAGGACAAGUCAGAUACAAGCAGAAAACUGUUCCUCACAGAUUUUAAUGGGAAAAACGGCAAACAAGGAAGCAAAAGAGACUUGGGAAGAGAAAAAAGCACAAUAACAGCAAUCCAAGAGAUGCACUUCCAUAAAACUAUCGUCAACAAAAGUAAAACUUCAUUCAAAAGAUGAUUUCACCUUAUCAUCUACAUUGACAACCAUAAAAGUUCACGCCUUUUACGUGGAAGUUGAAAAAAAAGAACACCCCUACUUGAUAUAAACAAAACACACGAUGGAAGUUGGUUUUAUCUGAACUUACAAAGCCACAAGCACAAACUUCACACCUCCAAGAAGGAAGCUGAUAAAAGCCCCCUUACUUGAUAUACAGGGAAUCCCAACAAGCAAGUCUAAUAGAACCCAGAAAAGGUUCUGAAAAUCAAACAACAAGAGAGCAAAUUCCUAUCCCAAAAAAAAUUAAUUGAAGUUGAGAGCUUUUUGACCAUGACCUUCAAAUUUUCAACAAAUAAUAAACCACUGUCCUUGUUCAAAGUACUCAAGAAGGCAGCCAAUGUAUUAAAGAAAUGGUUAGUAAUAAUUAGUUAAUCACUAAGGUCAACAACAACAACAACAACGGCAACAACAAACCUAGUGUAAUCCCACAGGUCGGGUCUAGGGAGGGUACUGCACAAACCUUACCCCUACCUUGAGAUGGUAGAGAGAUUGUUUCCGAGAUACAGAAUUUACUUGAUCUUCCACAUCCACAAGCACAAAAGUUCAGACCUUCAAAAGGAAAGUUCAAAAAAGAAAAAAGACCUCUACUUGAUAUAAGACACAAACCCCAUCUCACACAAUCCACAAAACCCAAAAAGGGUUCUUAAGAUCAAACAACAAAAGGCCAAAUUCAACUUCAAUUUCCAGAAAUACAAGUCCAGAGCUUUUCUAUGCAACUUUCAAAAUUAAACAAAUUUACAAAGUCCAUAUUCAAAGCAGCUACCAACACAAUUAAAAAAAAAUCAAUCUUUUUAUAGCAACUAGGCAAAAAUACCAAAAAAACUUCAAUUUCCAUAAAUUAAGUCCAGACCCUUUCUACACAACUUUCAAAAUUCAACAAAUUACCAAGUCCUUAGUCAAAGGCAAGCAACAACAUAAUAAAGAAACAAUUUUUAAUAAGAAAUUCUACCAAUAAACAAAUUGAGCAUAAAAAAUACCAAAAGAAGACCAAGAAAUUAUAGAUGCAAGAUACUUACAGCCCAGUUGAGGAUAUCAAAUGCUGGAUCUUGAUGGUCAAUUACAAAGAAGAAAAGGGGCAAAAAAAGAGAGUAUUUUUUUGAUGAUACAGUUUUUCUUUGGUCAAAGAAAGAAGGCUAACAGUGAGAACUAAAACUGAAAACUUGCAAAGAAAUUGAAAAAAAGAAAAAGAGUGUUAAACGGGGACAGGCGACGACCAGUUGCUUGACUUGAUAUUUCAUUUGUUAUUGGAAAAGUUUUUAGCUAGUGUGAAACCCAUCAUUAUUCUUUGAACCAAAAUAUAAUUCACUGAAAUACUGAAAUGGAUCACAUGAAUUGUGGUGCAUUGGUGAGAUUAUUUUAUUUUAAUUAGAACUUUUACAUUCGAGAUUUAAAUAUGAAGAAAAUCUUGUUAGGAGCAUCUUUUCGAAUGAAUCUUGCCGGGUAUUAAAAUUUCAAUAUAAACUUUCGACCCGCUAUAAUUUUUUUUUUUAAAAAGCAAGUACUGAAAUGAAAAUAUUGAAAGUGAAGAAAAAAACUUUAGAUGACUUGUGACUUUUAGACUCUUUUUUCCCCUUUUCACACCUCAAGCUAAUUGAUCGAGUUUACCUGACACAUUUUCUUUUUCAAUUUAUCUUAAGAUAAAAUAUUAUUGUGUUCGUUUUAGUUUGUUUGUUUUGUUUAAAUUCGACAUAAAUUUUAAGAUAGUUAGAAACUUUUUGAAUUUUAUCAUCUUAAAUUAAAAAAAAUAUGUUAAAUAUAUCAAAAAAAUAAUUUUAUGAUAUUAAACAUGUCACCUAGAAUGUUGAAAUUAAAGAGCUAAUAAAAAUAUAAUAAUUAUACUUUCUUUUUUAAAUGAACUAAAAAGAUAAGUAUGAUAAACAAAUUGAAAUGAUUCUAUAAUUGGAAAAUUUUAACUUUAUUAUUUUAUCUUAAUAAAAUGAUGAAUAAUAAUACAAAUAUGCAUUUUUUAUUUUAAUCAAUAAUUUUUUAAAUAAAAACUAUCUUGUUUAAACUUUGUAUUAAGUCGAUUAUAUAAAUUGAACUGAGGGAUUAUACACUUUUUUUGGUCCAUUCUCCAUUAUUUUGUUUCUUCGAUUGUUCUAUUUUUAUUUUUAUUUUUGUUUAUUUUAGUGACAUUCAUUUUUCUUCUGAGAUUCAUAAUGAAGAAAAACAUUAUUAAAGGGUCAAACACUGUAAUUAAAAAGCUUUAAAAUUUGCCCCCUUUUUCAGAUUAACAUUUGCAAUGAAAUGUUUAAAAUAUUCCCACUUAGAUUGAUCAAACUAUUACAAGUGAAGUUUCUAUCCUACAUUUUAUAUACAUAUAUAGGAGUCAAUGACUAAUAUAUUCAGAUGAGACGAUUUAGAAUGAUGACAAUUAUAAUUCAAGAAUGAGCUUUGAUUCAAUAGUCUUACGCAAUCUAAACACGCAUACAUUAAGUGAGAAAAAAAAUAGAGAUAAAAAGAUGAAUAGUUAUUAAAAAACCUUUAAUACGCUUCAUAUUUAAAUAAAAACAUUUGAGCAAAUACAAAAUUUAAAUAUUUAUCUAUAAAAAGUAUAAAUUAAUAGUAACAACGUAAAAUCGUUUAUUAUUUUCAUUAGGGCAGUGGAAAUAAAUAGAUAAUGAAGUAAUUAAUACAUGCUGUGUUGCACGAGUAAGACGGAAAGUUUGAUCCAAACCUAUAAUCAACUUUGAAAAUAGAUGAUUUGCUCUUAACAUGUUUUUCUCACUAUAAUUAAUGGAAUGACCUUCAAAUGCGGACAAAAAUAAUAAAUAAACCAUAUAUUUUAUCAUAAUAUUUGUAUUAACUGGUGUUUACUAGUUUUUAAUGAACUUGAAAAAUAAUAAUUCGAAUGAGUAGUUAUCAAAAAUUCUCAUGGAUCAUUUUAGGUUAUAUAUCAACAUAAUUUUUAAAAUAAGUUGAAUCAAACGAAUCAAAAUAAAUUGAAUUAAUAAAAUAAAUGAGUCAUUAAUCUGGUGAAACCAAACGAAUCGAACAAAUCAUAAUUUGAUUUAGCCAUCCAAAUUUUUUUUUUGCACGAAUUAAAAUAUAUUAUUGAGAAUAAGUUAAAAGCACCUAAAAGACUAAAGCAAACAAUUUUGAAAUAGUAAUGAUUCGUUAAUUUGCUAACAUGGGAUUUUUUUUCUUAAAGUAGAUCAAUCUUUAACUUUAAAAAAGGGUUUGAUUUUGCAGUGAAUAGAUAGGAACAUUUAAUCAAAUCUCGGUUUUAUUUUCACAAUUAUUGAAAUUAAGCUAUAGUUGACCUUUCCACAAAUCAAAUUGCACAUUUAUGAACCAAACAAAAAAUAAAUAAAUAGAUUUUUAAUUAUAAAUUAUUUUAAUUCACAACUAUAUUAUCAGUGGCAAUGAAUGCGAGGCUCCACAAUUGGGCUGUUUAAGAUCGUAGAUACCUUUAGAACAUGUUAACGAACAUUCAAAAUAAUUCGAAGCUAAUUAAUAAUCUGUUCAAUCAAAUUUUUAGUAUUUAAAAACGUUCUUUUUAAUUUAUUUUUUUGAUGAGAAGUAAUUAUAUUUGGUCAAUAAAUUUUAAAUAUAUAUUUGAAUUGGUAUUUGACCAACCUUUUAAAAAAUUGUUUCUAGUAUAGUUUUCUCAAAAAGUAUUUUAUAAGAAAAAUAUUUUUAGGAAAACAUUAAGAGCUCUCACAUUUUUUAACCGUUGAUAAUCAAACUUUCAAUCUUAAGACUGGAAUGUUAUAUUAUAUGAUCAGGACCAAGAACAUCUUUUUUUCGUUUGCUAAAGUUUGGUGGAUAGGAUUAUACAUUAUUUGUGCAUGUGAGAGUUAGUUAAAAUAUAUAGCAAAUGAAUAGUGGAAGCCUAUGUAAAUUAAUGUAGUAUAAAAAAUUAUGUGACACUAAUUAACUUUUAACGGUUAAAUUUUUAGUUUUGAUUAUAGAUAUGUAUAUGAAACUCAAAAAAGAGUGAAAUAAAAGUUACCUAUUUGAAGUAACAAUAACAACAUAUCUAAUGUACUUUUGAAAAGGAUAGACAGUAGGCGAAUUUUGCCAAUUACCCCUAUUGAUAUAGGUAAAGAGAUUAUUUUUGAUAGAUCCUAAAAUGUCUAAUGCAGUUAAAAAAAAGGUAACAAACGUAAAAAUAUAAUAAAAUAUUUUGAACUGUAAUUACACACAAUAAAAUAAUAUAAAAAUCAGAGUAAAAGAAACAAUCAAUAGUAGCAUAAACAGAAGGACAAAAAAUAACAAAAGUAAUAUUAUGACCACUAGUAUGAACGAACAACGAUACAACACAUUACUACAUACUAACCUCUAUCCUAAUCUGUGUCCUUCACGGUCUCUUAUCUAAGGUCUUGUUACCGAUAGGCUGAAAUCGAGGGCCUGUUUUGCCACAAAUAUAUUUGAGAACUAGUGUUUGGUCAUAUAAUUUGACAUUGCUUGACCAGGGUCGUAUACAGGAGGGGGUAACCGGGUUCACGUGAACCCAUGGUCCCCUCCUGAAAUCAUAUAUAGUAGUGUUAUAUUUUUAAAACAUAAUUAAAUAUAGAUGCGUGAACCCAGACUCGAAGUAUCAUAUAAUGUAGUACGAUGAUAAUUGGGUGCACCUCUCUAGGUGAGGUUAGAAAUUUGAAUCUUUUAUCUAUCUUGUUUUAGUUUUCUUUCUAAGAUUUUGUAUAUGGUUUGGAUAAAUAAAAGUUAAUUUUGGACCUAUGAUUUUAAAAUUUUAAUGCUUUUCAGUAAAAAGAAUCUAACCGAUCAAAUUUAUGUCUUAGAUCCACCUUUUUGUAAUAGUGCACCCAUUAUCUAUAAAUCCUGAAUACGCCUCUGUGCUUGACAAAUAUAUUUGGCAAACAUCUCAAGUUUCAUAGAGUAGAAAGGAGGAUCAUAGAACGAAUAAAUGGUGGAGACAAGGGGUGACGUAUAUUCAUGAUGCAUUUUCUUUUCUUCAUCCGCUCUACUUCCCCAAACAUAAUUAUAGUUUUUGAGCCAAAUUUUAUUUUUUUUAAAAAUUGCCUCAAUUUUUUAUAUUUUAUAAAAAAACACCCAUUAUUUAUGAUUUUUGACUAAAUUUCAUUCAUGGUUUGUUGUACAAAAUUUAUACUAAUAUGUACAUAUUAUAUACAAUUUUAUCCGAACUUGCUUUUUGAAGUCAUUUUCCGUUGGUGUAAUAUAUCACAAAUACAAUAAAUUACAGUUGAAAAUAAAAUGAACAAAAGUGAAUAAACCAAUCAUUUAGGUUGAGGUGCAAAUAUCUCGUUCUCUAUAAGGAAACAAGUCUACUAUAGUAUAAUUUACAUUGAUCCAGUAAUAUCAAUCUUGACUUGGCCUUUCAGGAUACAACAAUCCAAUAUCAUCGCACAACUCAAACAACUCCAGGAUUUUGUUGAAGAUUCCAAAGCUCCACAAAAAAAAAACACAUUCCUUCAACAUAUAAUUACUCUCUUUUGUAUAGUGAAUACAGUUGAAGACUUGGAAUAUUUUCUUUGUCGCAACUCUCUCUUUCAUUACUACACACUAAAAUAUUAUUUCGCACUUCUCAUCUUUCUUGGGAUUAUAUCUUCUCUCCCCAAUACAAAGUAAGAUCACAUUAUUUAUAGGUGAUAAAUUCUUCUUUACAAUGAAUAUGAAGAUAAUGAGUAGUAAAUUGAGUCAACGAAUAACCCAAAUGUUACAUAAGUUACAAGGUAUAAUGAGAUAGAAUAAUUGGUGGAAUCAGUGGUAGAUCAUGACAAUAGUGAUUACAAGAGUUACAUCACUAAUAUGUCUUGUAAUCACUAUAAAGAGUUACAUUCUUGUCAAAUUAUACCCACUAAUAUAUGCACUUAAUAUUUUAAUUUUAAUAUCAAAAUGCUUAAAUACCAACACUUCCAAUUACAAGUAGUAACAAUAGUUUUUCAUAUAUAAAUCAAUGAUAUUUCCUUUUGUUUUCUUCCUUUUUUUUCAAAUUCAUACCAAUUAUGUUCGUUGUCAUAGCUUUCCAUGAAACAUUUUCAUUAUAAAAUGAUAAUACAAGCUUAUGACUAUUUUUAUUAAGUUUUAGAACUUAUAGGUAUAAAACAUAUAUUUUUUUGGGAAAAGGGUCAAAAAUAUCCUUCAACUUUGGUUUAUUGUUUGACUUUACCCUCGCUGUUAAAAUGAAGUUAAAUUUACCCUCGCCAUUACUAAUUUCACCAAAAGUACCCCUCAAAUGGAUGGAAAGCCCCAAAUCAACUAAAAUUACCCAAUUUUGAUUAAAAUGACCAGAUUUCUCUUACCCGACCCACGAAUUCAUACCAAAUUAAAACCCUAAAUCCAUUUCUCUAAUCUUCCUCUCCUUCCUCAGUUGAAACACCCUAUUAUCAGUUAACACCCAUAACUUAGAGGCAAAAAAGCUCAACUACAAUAUCAUUCUCCUUCUUCUCACAAGGUAAGUCAUUAUCUAUUGAGUUAAUUUCAUUUUAUUAUGCUAAUGGAUAUUUAACAAUGAUAGUUGCUAGCAUAUCACAUUAGCGGGAAAUUGAAAAUAAAUAAUUUGUAAUUUCGAUCGGUAAUUUUAGAGAAACUUUUGUGUUUUUUUUUUCAUUUCAGAAAUAGAGUUGAUUGAUCAAUGAUGAAGAUUGAGGUGGGAAAAUCGACAAUGGUGUAGCCGGUGACUGAGACGCCGCAACUAAGGUUGUGGAACUCUAUGGGAAAAACAACGAUGGUGUAGCCGGUGACAGAAACUCCGCAACUGAGGUUGUGGAACUCUAAUGUGGAUUUGGUGGUGCCUAAUUUCCACACACCAGUGUUUGUUUCUAUAGGCCAACAGGAUCCCUAAAUUUUUUGACCGAAAGGUGCUUAAGGAGGUAUUAAGCAAAUCCCUACUGCCGUUUUAUCCGAUGGGUGAGAGGCUGUGCAGGGACGAAGAUGGCCAUAUUGAGAUUGAUGGUAAAGGCCAAGGUGUGUUGUUUUGCAGAAGUUGAGUGAUGGUGUGGUGGAUGAUUUUGGUGAUUUUGCGCCGACGUUCGAGGCUUAUUCCGGUAGUUGAUGGAAUGGAAUCUUAUGCUCUCUUAGUGUAAUGGGUAAAAGAGAUUGGGUUUUAGGUUAGAGGGGUCGGGGCAUUGGUUUUAAAAUGGGGAAUGGGUCUUUUUUUAAAAUUCGGGUUAAUUUGGGUCAAUUUUGGGGAUUUCGUCUAAUGAGGGGUAAUUUUGGUGAAAAAACUAACAGGAGGAGUAAAUUUAACUUCAUUUUAACGGCGAGGGUAAAGUCAAACAAUAAACCAAAGUUGAGGGGUAUUUUUGACCCUUUUCCCUAUUUUUUUAAAAGUGAAAUAUUUCUAUGAAAUUCUAUGCCAAAUGCAUGUAAAAUUUUACCCAAAAAUGACUUGCUAAAAAUAUUUAAAAAUUUAUGGCCAACCGCUAGCUAGCUGAGUCAUGUCCUCAUCUAAUCACGAUACCACAUAAAUUGAGAUAGAAGAAAUAAAAAAAUAAAUUAAUUGGUGUUAUUUUUUAUUUUUUUAAAAAAAAGCUGUAAAGGAGGGAGUACUGUAGUAGAAAGCUCUUUAUUCAUUGUGGCUUGUGCGCUGUCUGCGUGAGUGAGUGGUCUCUGUCGGGUAGCUGUAUAAUAAAUUGUACUCUCCAUUUCACUUUCCUCUUUUUUCUCCCUCAAAUCCCUACACCCCUAACCCUCCCCAACCCAAAAUGGCCUGAAUUCUCCGGCGUGAUUUGCCGCCGACACCUCUUCUUCGCCUAUCGCCGCCUCCGCCGCCUCCGCCGAUCGUGUAAGUUCACUCUGAAAUUCUGUUUAAUUAGCUUUGUUGCCUUCGUUACUGUCACUCAGUACCUUCAGAUCAAGUGUUUAUCGUCUACAAUUAACUAGUAGAGUUUUACUUUUUAUCAGUAGUUGUGAAGUUUGCUUUUUUGAAUGCUCGUUGGAGCUGAGUUUUUUUUUGGAUUUUAGUAGUUGAUCUUUUUAUUUUGUCAGUGUAUUUUGUCGAUCGUCAGUAUAACUACUGGCGUUUACUUGAGCUUCAGUGAAAUUAUACUCCGUCUAUUGACGAGUAUGUUGCUGCCGGCUCUGUUUCGCCGGCUCUCUAAUUUUUUUUAUUUUUAUUAAUAAAUAAAUUAUUUGAGAAUUGAUGCAAGUAUUUUGUGUUUUUAUAUACUCGUAGCUCUUUUAGUAACGUGACAUUUUUUUUGAGAAAGUUAUAAAUUUUUUUUUUUGAGAAAAGUAACGUGACAUUUUGACAAUGCAUUCUAUGGAGUAUUAUUUUUCUACAUCUGUUGAUCCUGAAUUUCGAGUUACCUGUUGUUUCUACGGGUAAAUGGCACAUUUACGUUUACUUAGUAGUUGUUGGCCUAAUUUAGGAGUUUUACUGAAUUAGGACGUCAAAGAAAUGAUCAUUAUGUUUCUUCUCAUACCAAAUGGAUAGGAAAAAUAAUCAAAUGUGGCAAGAUUUACAGUGUUUGGCAUAGUUUUUGCUUUUCUACUGCAUGCAUGCCUUUAGUGAACAAGCAAUAAGAUUUUAAAAAAAAAUAUCAAGUACAAUGAGCUAAGUGAAUUAGUCUUUUAUGAUAACUUUGACAUGGUCAUAUAAGAUACAAAAGAGAUCACAACUUACUAGUAUUAUCAGUCGCAACUACGGGAUUGACCAGCUUAACCUUAACACAGUAUGUUAUAAUUCACUAAUCACUAUAUACAGAUUGAAAAUAAUGAGGUCCUGGGUUGCAAAGUCUUGCAAGUAAUCAAAAUUAAACCGCUUUCUGUUUUAAUCGCCAAAUACUCUCACCCCUUACCCCAAAAUAACUUUUUUCCCUCUCUGUUUUUGGGUCUGCCAUUUUCUCUCUUUUUGGCUAUAGGUGAAGAACCUGUAACUAUGAUCUAUUUUGGGUUCUCAGCAACUCUUUCAAAAAGAGUAGCAGGUAUUUUGUACUGGGAAAGGCUUUAUUAGCAUUGGUAAUGUGAAAUUAGUUUAGGAGCAUUUAUGACCAACUCUGACAUACUUUAUAAAAAGAGAAGUUGAAGGAUUAGAAGAAAAAUUUAGGUAUUCAGAUUCUUAAAACAAAUUUUAAUUAGGCUUGUCUUCGAACUAGUAGCUGUGUAAUAUGUAUGACCUCUUUCAAUAAUCUGUCUACAAAUAAUUAUGUAACAUCAUAAAUAUCUAACAUUAAAACUUCUGAAUUUUAUUUGACAAAGGUAUGAGCAUUUUGUUGCUUUAUCACAAUUAUCUCAAAAGCAUUUAUUGAAAUUUCAAUAGUUUAUCAGGGAAUUUCGCCAUGGAAGAUACACAAUCAGUUGCAACAUUGAUGGACUCCACAACAUCUAAGAUACAGCAACUACAGAAAGCAUUCGCUGAGUUGGAAAGUCACCGUGCUGUUACUCUCAACCUGCAGUGGAAGCAACUUGAAGAGCACUUUAAUGGGCUUCAGAAGUCCUUGAAGAGGCGUUUCACUGAACUGGAAGACCAAGAGAAGGAGUUUGAGACAAAAAUUGUUCAAUCUACAGAGAUAUUGGAGAAGCGUCAAGCAGCUGUUAUUGCUACAGAGCAAGCUUCUCUUCAGAGGCUCCAGGAGAAAAGAGAUGCAGCAGUUUCUGCCAUUUCAAUUGCUUUGGAGAAGCAUAGGAACCCUUGUUCUGUGGAACCAACUGUCAUUAAUUGUGAAGUUCAAGACGAGCCAUCUGUUCUGGAAGAGAAACCCGAUAAUGUAACAGAGAUUGGGCAUGUUACAGGGGAUACAUGGAAAUCUUUUCAGGAUGGUGUUGUGGAAGUUAAGUCUUAUCCAGAGCUAGUGAAUCUAUGCCGAAAUAUGGAUUCUGAAGGUCUGCACAAAUUCAUAUCAGACAACCGUAAAAACCUGGCAGCACUCAGGGAGGAGAUUCCAUUUGCUUUAAGAGCAUCAACCAAUCCUGCCUCUCUGGUUCUGGAUUCACUGAAUGGGUUUUACAACUCUGAUGUGUCUAUUUCUGAUGCUAAAAAAGAUGCUAAUCUUUUGGGACUGCGACGAACUUGUAUUAUGUUGCUGGAAUGCCUCAGUACUUUAUUGAACACCCUGGAUAUAGAUUCCAUUUUAAGUAUAAUAUCAGAAAAUAUAAGAGGACGUGCAAAAGCUAUUGCUGAAGAGUGGAAUCCGAAGUUGGAUGAACUUGACGUUGAUGCAAAUAAUGGAAAUUCUUUGGAGGCUCAUGCAUUCUUACAGCUACUUGCUACUUUUAGUAUUAGUUCCAACUUUAACCAGGAGAACUUAUCCAAGCUGAUACCCAUGGUUUCACGUCGUCGCCAAACAGCUGAUCUCUGUCGUUCCCUUGGAUUAUCUGACAGAAUGCCAGGUUGGUUUCCAUAACUUGUAGAAUUAACUGUUCAAGGUUUUUUUCUACAUUUUCUAUUUUUUACAAGUUCUUAAGGCCUCUUUAUUGUUUCUCCCCUUGAUUUUUCAAAGAGUAAUCUUAUGAUGGUUCAAAAAUAGUUAUAUCAUGGUAAAAAUUACAGAAUGCAGUGUUCUCAUCUAGCUUGUUGAAAGUCUUAAUUCAUUUGGAGUCUAGAUAUUUAAUAACUUAAUUUGAUACGAAUGGAGAACUUUAAAAAUAGGAAGUAACAUAUAAUGCUAGAACGAUAAAGCGAUUUGAAGCACAUAAGCAAAUUCACCAGACACUUGACUGCAAAGGAAUACAUCACAUCUUUGAUAUUUCCCUUUUUUUGUGCUUUUUACUUAUAUACAUUGACGGUGUAAAACAUUUUAAACUUGUUAGCUAGUUGCUUACCUUCUUUUCUAGGUUACUGAUCCAUACUUAAGUAUAAAUGGUUGCACAUAAUUGUUUUUUUAGAGAACUGACAUUGUGAAGAUACUUUACUUGUCAGUGCAGUCUUACUUAUCAAAAAAAUAAGCUAAAGCUUCAUUUCUCUUAUCUGCUUGAAUGGUUUGCUGCUUGCUCUAUACAGGUGUUAUUGAUGUGUUGAUAAACAAUGGAAGACAUAUAGAUGCUGUUAAUCUAGCUUUUGCAUUUGAGCUGACAGAGCAGUUUCCGCCUGUUUCUCUAUUGAAAUCCUACUUGAAUGAAGCUAGCAAAGCAUCUACACUUCUCAAUUCUGGAAAUGCAUCACCUACUGUGCAGGUUUGUUCCUUGUGCGUUGGUAUAAUUUGGACUUGACAUUUUUCUUUUUAUCAUAUUGCUUUCCAAAUGAAGCCUGUUCAGUGUUUACUGUUGUGUCAUGGUCCAUAUAUAAAAACCUCUUUUUCCUCCUGUUCCUUUGGGGCGUGCAAUUGUGUAUGUAGAACUUUUCAUUAGCGGUGUCACAAUUUAAAAAGUGAACAUAUUGUAAAAAUAUCAUUUCGGAAACACAAAAAUGUGCAUAAUUUGCACCUUAUCAGAGGAGGAUGAGUACAUUUUUUUAAAAAUUACUAUCAUUUUAAGUUUGUUGAAACUAUUUUUUUGCAUAUCAUAUGAGAAUGAUUUUUCAUUCAAGGGAUCGUUAAUAAUUAGAUCUCAUGGAUUUACUCAAGUCUUUACAGUAUAAAAGGCCAGGGGUUUAAUACCUCCCGACUCUAUUUCCUCUAUUGCCAAAAAGGCACAAAAUUUAGGGCAUUACACUACAUGAGGAUCGAAUACUCGACCUCGGUCGAACAAGGAAGCACCUAAAUACUAAUCCAUUCCAGGCUUGCUGUAAAGGGGUGUAAUUUUUAUUUUAUCUAGUCAUUUGGAAUAAUUAAUUGUUUUUUCUCCAGAAUGAUGUCAAUGAGAAAGAGUUGUCUGCACUAAAGGCUGUAUUAAAAUGCAUUGAAGACCAUAAGCUUGAGGAGCAAUACCUUGUGGAUCCCCUUCAGAAAAGGGUUCAUCAGCUGGAGAAAGUGAAGGCCGACAAGAAAAAGGCAACUGAAGUUGCAAAACCUCAAUCCAAAAGACCUCGUCCCAAUGGUGUCGGAAAUGGCCCCCGAGUAAAUAAUGUCGUCACUGAGAAGAACUUCUAUCCAAGAAUGACUGAUAGGUACCCGCAGCCCGUUUAUGACAGACCAUAUGCUUACCCUGGACCGACCAGCACCCACGUUCCAUCAUUCAUGGGUGCUCCUGCUUACAACUUCUCUCCUGGCCACGACUUUUUUGGAAAUGGCUACCAUUACCAGGCUCCUUACCUGCACUGAUAAGGAAACUUUGAUGAUUAUCCCUUUUAACUAUUAGUGUUUAACCUUGGAGUUUGCUUAAUUUGCUCGUGUGGGCGAAUUUAAUACUGAAUGUAGCCUACUUGUCUGUUUCUAAUCUGGUGUAAAAGCUGAUAUUUUAAUCUUUGAAUAUAUGCACUGUGUUUCAUGUUUAUAUCCAUUAAUCUCGUGUUUAACGUUUAUUUCGUGAUGCUACUGGAAAUUAUAUAUAAAUUAGUUUGUCUACUUGCUAGUGUGUACCAAUUCAGGGAAACAAAGAAAUGUCGAACUUGUUCUCGUCCCGGUAAAACGAGCCACCCGUGAUAGUCAGAUCGGUUUGAUUAUCAUUAGUAAAAGCUAGCUUUGUAAGCUAAGCAAGCAGGGCGCUAUGCUUGGUCGUAGAUCGAUCAUGAUGUGAAUGACUUUUUUGUAAUGUAAUGUAAAUGUAAUAGAAGAGAUGGAAUUCAAUUAUCAAUGCCUCUCCAUUUUCAACAAAGGUGAUAUGAGUUCCCGACUUCAUUUGUUUGUGCCCUUCUGGUGCGAGGAUUAAAUUCAUUUACUAAUUAUGGGUUAUUAUUUGUAAUAAUCUUCAAGUGAUUUUGAAAUGUAAAAAUUGGAUUCUUAACAUGAAAAAUUUAAAACUUACAAAAAUGAAAAAGAAUAAAGGUCCAUAAUAAUCAUGUAGUGUUGAUCAUCCAUUCUUAACCAAUGAGGUAUGGAUAAGGGAUAACGUUUUAUUAUUUUAUAACCAAUCACAAGCUCCCACGUAAGAGUCAUCCACCUUCAGAACCACAAAUUUUGUCUGCCAGCAAAAAAUUUAAAAAAUCCUCAUGUUCAUGUUUGAAACUUAGUUAUAUUCCUGUCUGACUUAAGUGUCAAUAUUUGCAAAAUGGCUACUGCAGCUUCCACCAUGGCUAGCCAGUUGAAUAGCAGCUUUGCUUCGUCUUUAACCAGAGGUCACGGCCUUGUUACUCCUAAAGGCAUUUCUGGUGCACCUUUCAAGAUUUUCCCUUCAACAAGAAAGUCUUGCUUCACCGUUAAGGCUGUCCAAGCUGAUAAAGUAAGAUACCAAAUCACCACUUUUCUUACUAUCAUGUUCUUGAUUUUCAAUAUUUUCUUUGUGUUUUUCGAAAAUCAGAAAUUCUAACUAGGAGAUUCAGAAAAUGAUAAAAUGUCACAUAUGAAAUCCAAACAUAUACAAUUUCAGAUUUUUUUAUGCUUAAUUAUAAGUUAAAUAUCAAGUAUUCCGGCUAUAUGCACAAUAUAAUUUUUCUAUAAAGUAGAUUCAAUUGAAACCCUUUUAAACCACGUAGCUCCACCCCUUUUGCAUCUUAUAAGUUUCCUAAUUAUAAUUUUUGGUGGGAAAAAUGUUGCUAGUGAGAUUCAAACACAUGAGCACUUACGGCUCUUUCAAGACAUCUAAAAUCACUAGGCUACAACACUUUUUUUUGUCAAGGGUGUCUAAAAUAUGUUAUUUAAUCACUUCGUAUAUCAUUUUACUUAUAUAUACGGUAUUAUUUCCCGACGAAGGGUGUCAAGUAGCUACGCCCCUGCCACCAUGCAUGAUACAAUUUUUCAACAAUAGAAUUCAAUUGAACCCUCUUCGAAUCAUGUAUAUGUGCCAGACUUUGCUUAAUUGACUCCCAAUAAUUUUAACUAAUUCAUGUCCUGAUCUUCUUUGGUUCUGCAGCCUACUUUCCAAGUGAUUCAACCUCUAAAUGGUGACCCUUUCAUUGGAAGUCUUGAAACUCCAGUAACCUCAAGCCCAUUGAUUGCAUGGUACCUCUCCAACUUGCCUGCCUACCGGACCGCGGUGAACCCGCUUCUCCGGGGAGUUGAAGUGGGCCUGGCCCAUGGAUUCUUACUAGUUGGGCCUUUUGUAAAGGCUGGUCCAUUAAGAAACACAGCUUAUGCAGGUAAAGCCCAAUUCCUAGUUUCAAUUUUUACACAUAGAGUUUGAGUUCUAUAUGCUGUUAACUAACAUGUUACUACAAGUAGGGGCGGAAGGGGAUUCGUCUGAACCUCCUUUGUCGGAAAAUUACACUUUAUAUAUAAGGUCAAUUUUUUUUUAUGUAUAUAAAAUAGAUGAUGAACCCGACCCAUUGUAUGCAGGGGGAGCUGGUUCAUUGGCAGCAGCAGGACUUGUAGUGAUCCUUAGCAUGUGUUUGACAAUUUAUGGAAUUUCAUCAUUCAAAGAAGGAGAUCCAUCAACAGCACCAGCAUUAACAUUAACUGGUAGGAAAAAAGUACCAGAUCAAUUGCAAACUGCAGAUGGAUGGGCUAAAUUCACUGGUGGAUUCUUUUUUGGUGGAAUUUCUGGUGUCACCUGGGCUUAUUUCCUCCUUUAUGUCCUUGAUCUUCCUUACUUUGUUAAGUAAAUUUCUGUACUAUUAUGAAUGUUAAAUUGGAUAUAUCAAAGUUGUAUAUCGAACCGCUGAUCUCUUGGAGAAGUGUAAUGAAUGUUUACUUUAAACGCUAGCAUAUCCGCACAUUUCGUUCUUGAUUCUAAUUCUUGCCUCCGGCUCUAGUGUAGUGGUAAUCGCGCAAUGCAUAAUGUGUGUAAUGUGUUGGGUGCAUGUCACGGCUAAUCUUGAGCUAGUCUUGGUUAUAUAAAAAAGAAAAAAAAGUGAUUUCUAGUACUCAAGGGCGUGAUCUAGUGGUCAAUGAAGUGGUUGAGAGUCAUGAGGUUUCAGGUUCAAAUCUAAGGUGAUUCUUUCCAUCUAGUUGAGGUGUGCGAAAGUUCGUCCAGACAUCAUGGUUAUCAAAAAAGAAGAAGUUGGUUUCUCCAAAUCAACCAGUUCAAGUUGGAUUGUUUAAUCUAAAGACUAAAUGGGUUGCUGUUUACGAAAUACAAAUUUGGCUUGAAAUUGGUUUAUAUGCAUGUCAAAAAUGGAAUCAAAUAUAAGAAACAUGUCUUACAUAUAAAUUGUUUUAAUUUAAUCAACGGAAAAUGAUCACCUUCGAACUAUUGGAAAUAAAAUAUCAUCCAUUUGGUUUUUGGUUAAAACAUGCCUCAAAUAUUAGAAACAGAACAAAAAUGCAUUAGCAAACUGGUCCAACUAUGCUCCUAUCCCGUUAAGGGGAAGGCAUGGGAGCCAAAACGCCUUACAAGGCGUGAUUCUCACACGCGUUUCAAUAAAAAAGUUAACACCCUUUACUAUAAGGCGUGUGAGGGGUCACGCCUUUUACCUGUUUCGAUUUUGUUAGGAAUUUUUGAUGAAAAAUAUUGUCCUUCAGGCUCUGGACUCUACAAAAUUGCUAAAGUGACAACAACAUUGAUUCUCAUGUUAACAAAAAUUAUUCGACUAUCAGCUGAAUUGUGCAACUCAACUAUUAACGAUACCAAAAGUACUUAAUCCCUUUUCAAUUUAAUUUGUGUUUCUUAAUGUAAAAUUAAUUAGUCAAUUUGGUGUAAAUAGGGACUUUUUUUUAUGACAAGGAAACCCAUCGCCACAUAGGGUAAAACCCCUUACUCCUAUGCAAUAGCUCACAAACCACACACAAGAGAGGUAGCCCGCAGUAGAUAAGUCUGGUGCGACGAAUUCGAUCCAAAAGGCAAACCCCUUACUUUCGUUGGGAAGGAGUUUCGAACUUGAAACCUUCAGCAUGAAAGUUCCAAGUCCAAACCACUAGGCCAUCCCGAAGGGUGUAAACAUGGACUUUCUUUCCCUGUUCUUUUUACAAAAAUCAAGUUAGCUAUGAAUGAUCCAUUCGUGACCAAUGCAGUUCGGAUAAGAGAUAAUGUUUCAAAACUAACCAAUAAGAAGCUCCCACGUAAGAGUUUCAUCCACCCUAAGAACCACCAAUCUGUAAACCCAAAAGAUUUUCUUUGCCAGUCAUUAACAAGACUUGUCUGCAUCUUUUGUUAUAUUCUAACUAACUGAUCAAACAAACAGAGCCAAACAAUAUUUUCCAAAAUGGCUACUGCAGCAUCCACAAUGGCUAGCCCGUUGAAGAGCAGCUUUGCUUCGUCUUUAACCAGAGGUCACGGCCUUGUUACUCCCAAAGGCAUUUCUGGUGCACCUUUUAAGAUUUUCCCUUCAACAAGAAAGUCUUGCUUCACCGUCAAGGCUGUCCAAGCUGAUAAAGUAAGAUAACUAAUCACCACUUUUCUUAUUAUCAUGUUCUUGAAUUUGACAACUUUUUUUUGAGAUAAAUUAUAAUAUUCAGAUCAGUUUGUACAUGCCUCAACUAACUCAGCCGGGAGUCGAAUCAGUAAAUUUUAUAUUUGUGUCAAAUAGAUUCACUUAAUAUGUUCAAUAAUCUAUUCAGAACCUAGUAACCAAAAUACUAAGUUAUUGUUUAGAUCCCAUAAAUUUAAAAUCUGUGAUGUAUCGAGUAAUUCUGUCCACUGAGGCUAGGACAAAUGGGAAAAGAUCACCUAUAGUUUGGAUUUCUGUAUGUUUUCUUUAGAUAAGCGGCGGAGCUUAAAAUUAUUUAAAUGCCACACCUAGAUUUCAAACUAGCAAUGUAAAAUCAAGUUUCGAGAGUAUGCCUUAAUCUAAUAGGCGGCAUAGAGUUUCUAAGUGAAGGAACUAUACAUGGAACUAGCUUUUUCUAAUCACCUUUUGCCAUUACAUAAAAAGUUUCUCUUGUGUAGAGAAAAUUCAGUAAUUUAAUUCUUUGGCUAUUGACAGGGCAAGGAAUCUGAAAGGGGAUUUGAAAAAAAUACUCAAAUGCCAUACCUAAAGUUCAUCUUAUAAGAAAAAAAUUUCUAACAAAAUGUAAAUUUUGGUUUGUUGGAUCUGAUUAUUACUCAAUAACUGUCCUUUGCUUUGUGUUGUUUUUCUUGAUUCUGCAGCCAACUUUCCAAGUGAUUCAGCCCCUUAAUGGUGACCCUUUCAUUGGAAGUCUUGAAACUCCAGUCACCUCAAGUCCAUUGAUUGCAUGGUACCUCUCCAACUUGCCUGCCUACCGGACCGCGGUGAACCCACUUCUCCGGGGAGUAGAAGUGGGCCUGGCCCAUGGAUUCUUACUAGUUGGCCCAUUCGUAAAGGCUGGCCCAUUAAGAAACACAGAGUAUGCAGGUAAAGUCAGACUUUAGAAUUUUAACUUGAUGAGUUUAAUCUUUAUAACUCACGGUUGAUUCACACCAUAGAUGUCCCUAGUUUUUAAGAGUUGUGCAAAUAGACAAAACAUUAAACUGUCAUCUAAACAUCUACAAAAUUUCAGACCAUGGUCUAAAAGGGUCAUUAUUUCGAAAUGUAUGUAUCUAAGUUCUGUGACGAAAAUAUUGUUACUAUUAUUGCAGGGGGAGCUGGUUCUUUGGCAGCAGCAGGACUUGUUGUGAUCCUUAGUAUGUGUUUGACAAUUUAUGGAAUUUCAUCAUUCAAAGAAGGAGAUCCAUCAACAGCACCAGCAUUGACAUUGACUGGCAGGAAAAAAGUGCCAGAUCAAUUGCAAACUGCAGAUGGAUGGGCUAAAUUCACUGGUGGAUUCUUUUUUGGUGGAAUUUCUGGUGUCACUUGGGCUUAUUUCCUCCUAUAUGUUCUUGAUCUUCCUUACUUUGUUAAGUAAAUUUCUUUAAUUGAUGUAACUAUUUUGAAUGUUAAAUUGGAUAUGAAAGAUGUAUAUUGAACUACUAAGCUCUUGGAGGAGUGCAAUUUAACUCGUUGUAAUGAGUUACUUGUCUUAUUCUUUAUAACUUGUAGUUAUCUUUAGUGACCUUUUAAAUGACUUGACUGUAUAUAAAAUUCUUACAUUUUUCAAGUCUAUGACUCUGAGUCGAAGAAACCGAGAUGAUUGGGCACAUGCUAGAAUAAUCUUUUAAAAGGGAAUCAUAUAACUAAAAGAAUAUUUGUAAAGAACGAUUGAACUCGUAAAAAAUGCAGAUGUCUUACCUUUUCUUUAGAAUAUUAUCUUUAAUUGUAACUCACUCUAUUUAAAUUUUAUCAAAGCCUUUUUCAAGUAAGCAAAUUAAUCCAAAUACGAAAAAUGAACAGUUCAACAAAAUAUUUCUCUCUCUCUCCAUGCAAAUCAUGCAUUAAAAUACUUUACCUCCAAAUUGAGGAUACACAUAACACAUGUAUAAAACCUCAGGGCCUGUAGAUUACUUUUUUCAGUCAUUGUAAACAUUCCUAGAAAACAAAUACAUAACUACUCAUUUCAGCUUUAGAGCACAGCCAUGGCACCUUCAGGGUAUGUAGAUUACAUUUUAAAGUUAUUGUAAAGAAUAUUUAUAUGAAUUAUGUUGCUUAUAAAGCAAGUGCAAGAUAUAUUUAUGACAAAUAUUUACUGGUAAUCAAUAAAAAUCGCGAGUUUCUCACGCUAUAAUCAGUUAAAUUGGAGUGAUAGAACUGAUAGUAUAUGUAUAGUUUGAAUCCUUUGUUUUUUAGGCAUUUUAAUGUGUUAGCUUACUGGUUAUGUACAUGUUUAGAAUGGUUGGCUGGCUUUGUUUUGAAUUGUUACGAAAUUUUAUAGUUGGUAAAAGACAUAACCUAAAUGUAUAAUCCAGAGAAUUUUAGUAACUCAGUUGGUUGGCUACUUGAACUUUCACCUUGUUGGUGAGGGAAUUCCCUCCCUGAUUUCCCCUUCCGCUACCCCUAAUUUUUUGUUCAUUUUAAAAAAAAAACUAUAUGUAUAAUCUUGCUUUUGCCAUUUGCCAGAAACUCAGGCAGCAGUGGCAAGCACAGUGUAGUCGUGACAGCUCUAGACGGAGUCAUAAAUGUGAACUCACUCUUUACCAUUGCCAUUUUUGUGGGACUGUCUCUUGCAUCUCCAGGGCAAAAGAGCCUCAACAGUAGCGAACGUUGUCAGCCAGGGAUUCUAACAGUAAAGCAACUAGUAAUCUUCGAGGUGCUUUCGUUCAGUUUCUUUCUCUUCUCAUCACUAGUAGCACAGGCCAUAAAACUCUCCCUCAAUCUUCUCUAUAGCGAAGAUCUGUCUCAUGAUUUCAGUGUUAUUGUCAAUGGAACACUCCUUAGAGCAGGAAUGUUGAUGACAGCCAUUUCCUCUGUUAUGGGGUGCUUGUUUCUUAUGGUUUCUAUGUUGAAUGUGAUUGAGAUCAAGACUGGGAUGCUAAUCUGUGGAGCUAAAUCUACUAUUAUAUCAGUUACUUUCCUCAUAAUCCUCGUUUCUUCUGGUCUUUUGGUGUAUAUUUCUGCUGCAUGGUAUGCAUUUAUCCACGCAAACGUUCACCCCCAUGAAAACAGGACUUCUUGAUUUGCCAAGCUCUCUAGUUCUAUCAAAUCCUAUUUUGUUGUCCAAUAACAGCGGUGUCUGGAUUAGUUUGUGUGCACUUCAACAAUUCUAUCUAACAAACCUUUGCUACCUCACAGAGCUUCAUAUCUUGUUUUUCAUCUUUGGUCCAGUACGUCAAAUUUUCGGCUAAGUAUAGACCCUUUGUAAGGGGACCUAUUAUUUCAAUCUUUUGUAAUUGUUUAGGUGAUGGACAGGAAAGUCCACUUUCCUUCUUGUUAAGAUAUUUAAUAUAUAUAGUUAAUUUAUCACAUCAAUGUAUAGUGCAGUGAUUUUUAAGUAAUACAAUAACAACAUACCUAGUGAAAUCCCACAAGUGAGGUCUAGAGAGGCAAGCACGGUGUACCAGACCUUACCACUAAGGGUGUUCACGGUUUGGUUUGGGUCGGUUAUUGGUCAAAACCAAAACCAAACCAACUUAAUCGGUUCUAAAAUUAUCAAAACCAAACCAAACCAAACCAAAUAUAAUAUACAUUUAUCGGUUUGGUUGUUUUCGGUUUUGGUUUGGUUUGGCUCGGUUAUUCGGUUUUUUAACCAUACAUAAAAAUAAAAGAAACAAUUCAUUCAAAACGUGAAAAAAGUGACAACAAUCCAUUCAAACAAAAAAAUAGUUAGAAUGACUGGCAUUACAGAACUUUCGAUCAUUGAAUUUACUGAAUAAAACUUCAAAAUUCACUAUUUUGGCAUUGAAGGAAGAGACAAUGAUAUUUUUAGUCUCACAAAAAAUUUUCAUACACUCAUAUACAUGAAACCAAUAAGAAAAAUGUUCUCACCUUGGACAUUUUUUCUUUCAUAAGUAAAUUAUAAAUAAAUUUUGAUGAAACAUAUAUAAAAUCUUUAAAAUUGUUUAUGAAUAUAAUAUAUUAUGUAUGUAUAAUAAUAAAAUUUAUGUAUAUAGCUUGUUGGUUCGGUUCGGUUAUUUCUUCGAUUUUUUUCGAACAAAAUCAUAACCAAACCAAAUACUAUCGGUUCUUAACAAUCUAAAACCAAACCAAACCAAAACGCAAAUUAAAUCGGUUUGGUUUGAUUUUUCGAUUUGGAUUGGUUUUUAUCCAAACCAUGAACACCCCUACUUACCACUAUCUCGUGGAGUUAGAGAGGCUGUUUUAAGUAAUAAUCUUCAGAUUUUAUUUGUUGUUGCAAGUUGUGGAAAUGCAGAAUUUUAUUUUGGCAUCAUGACAUUUUUUUAUCUUUACUUUCAUGCAACCUGGUAGUGUUAGUAUACAAGACGCUGAACUAAGAAACAUAGACGGAGAACAUAGAUAUCUCAAAAUGUAUAAAUUCGGAGAAUUUUAGUAGCUCAAUUGGUUGGCUAAACUUUUAUCUUGUUGAUAUAGACGGAGAACAUAGAUAUCUCAAAAUGUAUAAAUCCGGAGAAUUUAAGUAGCUCAGUUGGUUGGGUAAACUUUCAUCUGGUUGGUCCCUCCCAGCAACUGUUGCUUAAAAAAAAAACCGCCGCUGCCGGGGAUCGAACCCGGGUCACCCGCGUGACAGGCGGGAAUACUUACCACUAUACUACAACGACUUUGUUGGCUAUAUAUUUUGUACGAUGAAAGAUAUUAUUAUUUAAUAGUAAUAGAUUGGGAAUGAAUGGUGCUGGAUUGCCCAUCCUUUUUAUUUAAAUUGGUAAGAAGAAAGGAAAACAAAUAUAGAGAAGAAGAUAUCCAGGAUGGCUGCAACUCCCAACAUUUACACCCAAAAGUUCCCAACAAUUACAACUCAAAAUUACAUAGCCUCCAAUAUAUCUUGUUUUAUAAGUUUCCGAAAACAGAGCAGAAAAUUGGUUUUAAUAGUUGGAAACUCCAGUAGCAGCGACACAGCCUCAGCAAUAGGCACAGAUGAAACCUCACCUGUUGAAAUUGCCCCUUCUAUUAUCUCUGCUCUUAAUGUUGAAAAAGCUCUUCUUGGCAUAGGUGCUUUCUUCCAUUUCAUUUAUUUUUACAAUUCACUUUUCUUAUCACUGCAAAAGUGUAUUGAAAUUAAACUUUGUUUUCGAACAUUUUAAAUUUGAUUUGUUCAUCUUAAUAACUAUGAUUUUUAUUUUAUUUUUGUCCUUCAUUUGACUAAUAAGUUACAUUUUAGAAUGCAGCAAUAACAGAUAUAGAUCACUAUGGAAUACUAGGACUUUCAAGAAAAUGUUCAUAUGCUGAGGUCCACACAAAAACAUCUCUUUAAUUUUGUUUUUCUCUCUUUUUCACCCAUUAAUUAAUCAGAUAAAAAAGAAAAGAAUAAUUUGUUCUUAAUGUUUGACUUGUAUUCGUACAAUAUAUAUAGGUUCCAGUAGCGUACAAGAAAAAAGUUGAAGAAAUUAUGAAUGAGGGAUUGGUAGAAGAAGAGCUUAACAAGAAGCUUCAACUCCUAAAAGUAUUAAUUUCAUCUCAUUUUUUCUUAUUAAUAGACAAAGUUUUAGAGAUUAAUUUUUCUUUUGACAUAUAUAGGAAUCAUAUUCAAUUUUGUCAACACCAGAGGAGAGAAGGUUGUAUGAUUGGAGUUUGGUAAGGAGUGAAGCACCGGAUGAUUACAAAUGGCCAUUUGAGGUUGAUCCAACUCCGCCCUCUACGGGGACUCCUCCUCCUCAGGUACUGCUUUUUUCCCCAUCACUUAAUUAAUACUCCCUCCGUCUCACAAAUAAUGAUUUAGUUUAACUUGACACGAAAUUUAAAAAAAUAAAGAAGACUUUUGAAUCUUGUGGUCUUAAAUUAAAGUUAUGUCAAAUGUACAAAAUUACCUUUUAAUUUUGUGGCCUUAAACAUGCUACGUGGAAAGCUGAAAUUAAAAUGUUACCAAAAAAAGAAAUAGAUCAUUUUUUUUUGAAACAGAAUAAAAAGGAAAGAAAGUCAUUCUUUUUUAAAUGGAGGGAGUAAUUAUUAUAUCAAAACAUCACUUUGAAAUUAUUUUUAAAAAAAAGAGUCUAUUGGGAUAAUAUUUUCUUGGUUACUUACCAAACACUAGAAAAUAAGUAAGAUAACAUUUUCACCAAGCAUACUGUAAGUUAAUUAUUCCUUCAGUUAGACCAGAAAAUGAUUAUAACUUGAGUUAUCAAUAAUACUUUACGUUUUUUAAUUGUAUAAAAACAUAAUUACAGGAGCCAGAAGAUGUGGAACCAACAAUAUUAGUGGGAUAUUUCUUUUUAGGUUGGUUUGUACUAGCUGCCGUGUUAUCAAUUGCCCUUAAUCUCUAGAAAGAAAAUUAUAUAUGUUUAUCAUAUAAUAAGAUAUUCAUUUUCGUGUAACAUAUAUACACUUAAACCUUCAAUUGUUGCAUUUUUAUGAAAUUCUAUGUAAAUUUACCUUUUUUCUUCCAACGCACACCAGGGGAUUUUUCACAUUCUCUUUCUCCAGGGGAGUUCUAAUCUUCCAAUUAGGAUCCCCUCAUUGUUAGUAGUUUUAAAUUUAUACCUAUAGCUUAGUAGAUGGACUUAAUAUUUGGAAUAAGGCGAGAACUAAGUAGUAUGCAAUUAUUUACUAGUAUUAACUAUUAACUACUUAUUUCCAAAGAAAAGUGAAAGUUUGGGGGGGAUUUGAACGAUUUGUAGUAUCAAACUAUCAAUUAAUAACAUGUAACUUUCAACAAGGUUAAUUUAAACUGAUAAUUUAUAGAAAGAGAAAUCAAGAUUGUAUUCACCAAAAGAUUGUAUGAAUUAUGUUGGGUAAAUAGAAAAUCCCAUCUGGUAAUGCUAGUAUAUCAGCUUAUCAAUCUUAUACUACAUUUAAUCGUUUCUGAACCAAAUUGAAUGCAUGCCACUUUUAUUCUUUCGAAAGUGUUACCUCAAAUCAGUGACAUUUACUCAAAGUUGGUUAAUCAUAGGCAAGCUUUUAUAUCUCAAAUCUUCGUUACUAGCUCUUUUCCUAUGUUUUGCACAUUAUAACUCAAAUAAGUAAAAUUAAAGAUUCUAAUGUUUGCAACCAUUAGAAAUCAGUUAAGAUGAAAGAACUUAUAAUGUAUACAAUCAUAAUACAUGUUUUAUUUCGUAAAUAUCCUUUGUUUAGGUCAAGUCGUCAUGGAUUUCAAAACCCGAGGUUUAGCCAGUCACGCAAACUCUUGAUAAAACUUGUUCAAGUGUACAUUGUUCUUCACUAUAAACCAAGAUGAUAGUAGUAUUUAUAGUCCUGGAAAAUUUGGAAUUUAAAAUAAAAAAGCUGGUCCAUUGCUGACAGCUCAUCACAAGUGUGACGAUCCGCCGCUUACACUAUCAUCCCUUAACAAUAACUUGAUUAGAAUCUAUAUUAAAGUAUUAGAUUGUUUUACAUAGCUUACAUUGGAAGCUCUCUUGUUAACUUAUGGCACCAAUGCAUAGUGCAGUGUGGAGUAAUCAUCAGAUUUUAUUUGUUGUUGCAGAAAUGCAGAAUUUAUUUUGGCAUCAUACCAGUAUUUUUCAAUCUUUUCUCCUUCUCCUUUCUUUCUAAACUAGCAGAAUCAUAGGACAUCAAAAGGGGUUCAUGCGACCUGGUAUACAAGAGGCUGAACUAAGAAAUAUAGACGUAGAACAUAGAUAUAGAAUGACAUAUUUCAGCAGGAAUGAGCAGAUUUCUAGAACAGAGAUAAUAUUCCAUUCCAGUAUUGUUUCUAAUGAAGACAAUUAAACUCAACAACCAUACAAAGAAAUAGAAUCGUGACAAUGUUAUUCAGUUGAGGCUUUUGGAUAUCAAUGUUUAGAAUCACCUCAGCGGGUCUUGGUCUUCUGCUCGUGGACGUUGACAGCAGCACAUAUUUUCUUCCAGCAGUGGAUCACUAUGAGACUUGGUAUCCAAACCCAGAAAUGAUUUGCAAAGACAUAGUAAGCGUAGUAAUAGAAGGGGCUUGUAGAAAAAUUGUCGCCUUCCAAGACAGCUGUUAUGAAGUAUAUAGCCGUGCCAUAGAGCUGCCCCAAACAAAUGGAUAGUUGAAGUACGUGCCUGUAUGCCUUCUUAGUAGCUAUAGCAUACCUGCCAAUGCCAAAAGAACAAUGAGGUCAAACUUGAAUACAUCUUCCUGCCCCGUCCAUAUACUUUUACUAAUAAAGGAUUUAGUCAAAAUGAUCCCAGCAUCAAAUCCCGCAUACAAUAUUUGGUGGAUAGAGUUACCUGGUACAUGUGGUACAUGAGCUACUGAGAGGUAGCAGGUACCACAUGAAAUUAGUAAAGAUGCAUGCAAGUUGACUCGACCACCACAGUUAUCCAAGAAAAACAAUCCGCAUAAUUAAAUGCAGCAUUUGGAUGGUUGUAUAAGAACAAAUAAUCCCCAAUAAUCUAAUGUAGUGUUUGGUUGGCGCUAUAAAAAAAAUACCGACAUUAAAUUACACGAGAAUUAACAUGUUAUUUUAUGCGGGAUAAAGUGUGGAAUAAGAACAGUGGAUUAGCAUUACGAGGAGAGAAAUACCCUUAAAAUAAGUAACUGUUACAUUAUAUUCCUUGUAUUAUUACUUUAUCAAAAUUAUAUUCCCUGUAUAUUAUUAUUAGUCAAGUUAUUCCUUGUAUAAUUAAUACUCACUGCAAUACAAUCCUUCAUUUUUAUUUCCCGCAUAACAUACGGUACAUAACAAGUCCAUGCAUAACUAGAAUGUGAACAAGCAACCCCUUAGGAUAAGCACAUUGAUUCUGACAGUCUCAAGGUGCAUGACAAGUUAAUAUCGCUUGAGAAUGAUACUUACACUGCAAGAAGGCAUGCUGGCCCCUCUAUGACAGCUGUGACCCCUUCAACACUGAGAACUGCAGCAUCUCGGCCUACGUAUCUUGAAUCACCUUUGCUGUAUUCUUUCCCUGCAAUAUAUUGUUUGUGUUGGUACUUUUAUAGGCCAAAUUAGAAACAUAUCCUAAUACAAAUGAACUGUUCUUGUUUGUAAGAAGACUUUGCUAAAUUGAGACUUACAGACUUCAGCAAGGUAAACAGGACUAGUCUUUUGGUAGAAAUCUGGAGUAAAAACGAAAUAUCCCUCAAGGACCAUGUGGGUUAGGCCCGUGAAAAUCCACCAGCACAUGAGCACCCUGUCAGUCUUUGAUAAUUUAGGAACAAACCCUAGCAAGGAAAAGAAGGAGAAAUGAAGUUAGAGAACAAAACAUGGCCACAAUGGAGAAUGAAAAAGAUGGACUUUGCAUAUAGAAAUUUAUAACACUAAUGCAGCUGAAAAUUAUGUAGUAUAGAACUAGAUAGAAAAGACCAACAUGAUAGUAAUUUAUGUCCUCAUUUAUCAUUCACUACUAAACUUUGAGUACAUGAAACUAACACUUAGGGGCUGCAUGAGCUUAAUUGAGAAGUGAAAUAAUUGUCAAGACUGCUUGAAGUCCUGACUGAGGCAUAGGAUAAGCUGUACAACUCGACGUUUUAGGGUUCAAUAUCUUCUUUAAUCCCAUUCACAAGUCAGUAAAGUUGUGGGUUGACAUUAACAUCAAACUAGAUUCUCUUUUUUAGGGUCAAGACUGCCUGCAAUUACAACAACAUACCCAUCGUAAUCCCACAAGUGGGAUAUGGGGAAGGUAGGAUGUAAGAAGACCUUAUCCCUAUUGUAGGGUAGAGAUGCCGAUUCGGAUAGACCCUCGGCUCAAAAGAAGUGUAAUCAGGAUUGAAAGGAAAAUAAUGACAGCAAAAUAGCAAGACUAACAAAGCAAAUGAAGCAAUAGGUAGUAGUAAAAAUGAAGAAUAAGAUACUAAGCGAAUUACUAUAUAAGGAGAAGAUGAGAAGAGGAGAAUAAAUCAGUCAUGCAAUAAUCAUUGAAUAAUUACCUGAGAAUAUCCACAUGAACACCACAACCAGUAAGGAUGAGAUGCCAUAUACACCAACAAUUUCUGACUGUGAGAGGAAUAGGGGAACAAAACCAGGCAAUUUUAGAUCAUGCGGAACGUAGGGGUGAGCUUCUCCCUGGCUUGCCAUUUUUUCUCAGUGCCUGACUUAAGGACCCUUUCCUGUGAUCUGCAAUUCACAGAAAGAACAAAGUCCAUACAUUAGAGAAGGUGUUACUCAAUGAGCUACUCCACAAUUUUCACAUUCCCAUCUAACUUCACUUGUAAGUAUAAGUUAUACUCUAAUUUGACGAUCUAUCAAAAAUCAGACGGAAACUACCCUACAGCUAUUAAACUUUUUUUAAGGAAUCGGGGCACAAAAGGCAAAUACAAGAAUCAUAGUGAAAUCAGUGGAAGUGAUCAAUCAACUACGCCUCAACUACAAAAUAGUUGGACUUGACUAUGUGAAACCAUUGUAUCCGUUCCAUUCUUUUCAACUGCAUAUUAUUCUGAUGAACAAGUCAAAUUAGGGAUUCUCCAAUGUGUAUGGUAAAGGAAGAAAACAAUUUCCUAGAAAGUAUUUCACUAAAGAAGUUAUUGGGCAACACUUCUCAUGGAAAAAAUACCAUAAAAAAGAUUCACCUAUGGCAUAAAUAAAAUCAUCUUUUAACAAAUAUCGCAACUCUUAAUCCACAUACUUGCUACAAACAACACUUGAACAUUAUUUUCAAUAAUUAAGAAAUUUCAUCAAAUUCCCAAAACAAAACAUAAUUUAAUUGUCACAAUUAUAACAUGUUUGGCCAAACUUCAAAAUAACUUAUUUUGAAAAGUGUUUUCCAAGAAAAGUACUUUUGGUGAGGAACAAUUUGUGUUUGGCUAAUAAAAUUAAAAAACAUUUUUGAGCAACAAUUAGUGUUUGACCAAGUCAUCAGUUACUCCUCAAAAACACUUAUUUUCUCCCAAAAGCUUGGCCAAACACUUCACUUUUUUCAAAUAAACACUUAUGGUCUCCCAAAAACAUGGUCAAACAAGCUAUUAACAUCAAUGCUUAAUUAAUAUUUUCCACUCACCAACCAAGCAUCUGAAAAACUUUUCGAGGAAAUAAUUUUCAAAACAUUUCCCUUAAUACCAAACACAACUAGGUCUCUAAAUCAGGAAAACUAAUGCUGGUUAAAAAUUAAAAAGAAUGAGUAAAGUUUUCAAAACCCAUAGAAUCUAAAGAUGAAAAUUAAGGUCAAAAUCUCUAAAAUCACAAUUCCCACACAAUGACAGAAAACUAGAUCCCUUUUUCACUUUCAAGCAAAUGUAAGCAUAAAACAGAAGUACAAACAAAACAGACUAGUAAUUACCCUAAAGGAUGAGACUUUCACACUUCUCAGUCACUUUUAUUCACAUAUGAACAUUAUAAUAACUAUUAAAUCCAAAAUUUACAUAAUUCCUGAAACAUGCAUAUAAAGACAUGAACUUUAGCAUCCCAUUUGGUUAAAUCAUUUAAAUAGCUCAAAAAAUCCAUUAAAAUACAGAAAAUUACAAAAGGGUAACUCUUAAGAAUUUUUCAGAUCAGUGAGAGUUGACUUACCGGCGAUGAAGAAGAAAAGGGAGAGAGUAGAGAAGCUGAGAGAGUAGAGCACUGAAAUACAAAUAAGUAAAGAUUUGGAGUCACGUGAGAAAGGCACGUGACUCUCACAGUUCUGUUUGGAUGGUAAUGGGAAAUAAUUUUCUUUAGAAAUUUUUUAUAAAUUAUUUUUCUUUUUUUAUGGAAAUUAAUUUUAUAACAUCAUCUUGUUAUAACCGCUAAAAAAAUAGUAUUUGAACAAAUAAAAUUGUUAUAAAGAAGUUCUGCUGUAUAGUUUAAAGUUAUAUUGUUGUGAAAGUAAGAGAAUGGUUGGUGGGACAAGGGAGUGCAUACAAAGCCGAUUUUGGGACCAUUAUUACUUAAUUCACUUUUUAUAUUCGAAAUUUAAGCCUCGUUUUUUCAAUUUUUGCAAAAAAAAUUAAAAUCGUAACUAAAAUAUCAACGACAAAUUCUAUCGAAUUCAAUAAUUUUGAUUACUAUAUUAAAAAUUAUUAAAAUUCAUAAAUUUUAAAUUCUUAUUUCUCAUUCUAAGUCUACUAUCUGUGUGAUUUCUUACUAAGCAAUGUGUUUUGUUUAUGAUUUUCAAUAUCUAAAAGAAAAGUGAUAUGUGUGGGCAUGAUUUUUUAGACAUGUGUUAUUAUCACAUAGUUCAAUUAUUAUGUCUUUUUGACCACCCAAAGGAACUAGUAUUCUGACACUGGGGUGCUGCAUGUUGCAAAUGUGAUGAUAAAUUUUUUUUUGUGCUUAAUAUAUAUAUAUAUAUAUAUAUAUAUAUAUCUAGAAAGGGGUGCUAGCAACGGUUCAUUAAUUAAUUUAACUCAAAGUCUUUAUAUUAUUUUAUAUGUAGAAACAUGCUCAUAAUUGUUUAGAGAACGGCUGGCUAGGGUUAGAGGAAUUGUCUACAAAGAUAUCUAAAUUGUGAAAUUAAAGUAUUCAUCUGUUAUGUGAAGAUUUUGAUGAUCAAUAAUUCGAAUCAUGAUUACUGAAGAUCAAGGAGAAGAAGAUUACCAUAAGUUUCAAAUAAAAUUCAAAUAUUUGGAAUCUAUGGUCAAAUGCCUACUUAGACAAUGGGUUGAUGCAAAUUAUGUAUAUUCGAUGUCAAAAAAUAUCAAAUUUGAAUCUACAAUUUCAAAAGUAAAGUCCUUUUAAGUGCUAACAAUCUUAAAGGUCGAACUCAUUAAGUUUGAAUCUUGAAUGUUGAAUCUGGCUCAGAUUCUAUUUCAUAUAAUAAGUGAUGCACUAAUAAUUCAACAAGAUCUCAAUACCUCAAAAUCAACACAAGGAUACAUUUUCGUAGAAAUGUUCUUGUGACAUACUAAACACAGUAAAGAAAAACAAAGAAAUGGCAGUCAUCAACUUCGUACUUCAUACAUUUCUGAGAAACUACAUAAACUACGCGUUUGAAGUAUGCAGUUUUAACCAAACCAUUGUAAUUUACUAUAGUCACGAAGUAAAUAUCAGAUAUGAGUAAGUUCUAUCUUGUGUAGACUCGUAAAGGUAAGAGUUCUGUAAAUGGCACCACACUAGGACUGCUCAAACUUAUGAACUUCCACUCUGGAUUAGGGAAGAAUCAACCCUUGGAAAAUAAUAAUCCUAUUGUCCAGGAGCCCCAGAAUGAAAUUGCUAAUGUUGUACUCGUCUUUGUUCAGCAAAACAACUUUGUCACGUGUGAUCCUCUACCACAAUGUGUCUGGGCUCUUGUUGAGGACAAGUUAACAGCUGCAACUGCACAUUUUCACCAUUUCAGUCCUAAGAGUUCUAUAGACAGGCGAGAAGGGAACCACCAUGAUGAACAUGGAUAAAGUUUGCUGCUUCUCGCCUGCUGCAAACUGUUGACUAUAACAGGCCCACCAUCCCUCUCACUUAACAAACCUCGCUUGGAACUUUUGCUAACGAAUAAACCACUUUCAUCUCUUCCGUUUCUUCAAAAGUGAUGCAGCUUGCAGAAUAAUCUUAUCAACCUCAUCAAGACCUGGUGUGUCGACAUCUUUACCUGGUGAUUUCUCUUUCCUCAAGUUAGAAGAUAUUUGACGCAAAUGCUCCUCGAAAUCCUGUUCAUCUCCAUUACUUUGCACUGGAAACUUUUCAAACACAUCCAAAUAAAGUGGUUCUUCAGCCUUCUCUUCAUGCUCUUCCUCAGAAUCAGUCUCAAAAAUAUCUGAAAGAUCUUCAGAAUCUGAGCAUAUAUCUGUAUCUACCAUGGAAUCAUUUUCUUCACCCUGUUCUUCAUUUUCAACCAUUAUCCGUUUGAGCUUAUCAGAUGCCUCAAUUUGCUGAUCUGAACGGUGUUCAGGGUGAAAUUUCUCAAGGCCAACCUCUUGAUUUUUGUUAGGAGCAUCAGUUUCAUUUUCAGCUUGCAACCGAAGCAGCUCAAGAUCUUGCUCCAGACGUGGAAUGUAUCUCUCAACAGCUCUUAAGGAAUCUCUGUAUUUAGAUUUAUCCAAGGCCUGUGUAAAGGGGCAAUAACAAAAAUAAGAGCGCGAAAAAGUGGGGAUCCACAUAAUAGCAUACACAAAAGUUAGCAGACAGUAAGAGAACCUUUUUCCUGGAAAGAGUACUUCUUGGAGACAUUAUCUCAGUUGGUGGUUGAGAGUAAUUCUUUCCCCUGUACAUUAUAAUGGUGUCAUCAUCCUGGAUAUCAAGAACAAUUCCACCACUUAAUCUUGCAAGCUCUACAGCAAUUUCCUUAACCUCCUCAGGAGAAAACGUUUUCACCACCACUUUCAGAGUUUGGUGCUUCUUCCAAUGCAAAUGCAUAUUAAGGAUCACACCCUGGUAUAUCCCACGUCUUCCAACUGGUACAUAAUUCUUGCACUUCUCCCCCAUUUUCAGGAAGUAGAAGUGUUCUUCUGGUGUCAAUAUUUCUGGGUCAUGAGUAGCUUCCGAUAUCUCCUUAGGCUCAACCUUCCUAAGAGCUUCAACAAGCCUCUCCUCUUUCUUCCGUGCCUAGAAAGAUGAAAUUUUGCAAUCCCUAAAUACUUCAAUUGUAUUUGACAGUCAACAUAAAGUAGGUGGCGCAACCCAUCCAUAAUUGUGUUGGAUUCCAAAUAGCCAUUAAGUAAUAAUCCAAAGAGCAAUCUAUUCUUUAGCAUCUAUUGGCAAGUAAAUAAGUGAAGAAACUAAUGUCACAACUAUCAAUAAAAACAGUUCUAGAAUUGCAAAUGACACCACAAUCAGCACAACUGAAAUAUCAGUUUGAUAUGACUAGAUUGAUACCAACAGUCCAUUAAAUUAUUCAACCUCAACAAAGUCAUAUAUUAGGAACACAUAAUUUCUAGGUUCAGAAAUGGCAAAGGGUAAUACUUUCAGGAAACAAAAGAUUAGAACAGGCAUAUCUAGAUAAAUAGUCCUUUCCCAUAAACUUAAAUUAGAAUAAAGCAUAUAAACAAAAAGACCCACAAUCUCUAGGAAGAAAUGCAGAUUUAACAGAAAACAGGAAAAGGUAUAACCAAAGGAUCUAUAUUAAAGAUACCAAAUAGUUGGGAUCAAGACUUAUUUGUUCUUACACUUGCAUUAGAUCCAUAUUUGUUAAGACAUUCUUCUUAGGCACACUAUAGACUUGAAUGUCACUGCAGGGGAUAUUAAUAUUAUGAGUAUUGGAAUGAAAUGAUGCCAGAUACAGUGAAAUGGAUAUAGAAGAUUCAAAUAGCCGACCUUAAUUAGGUAGAGAUUGAGAUCUAGCUUACUGAUUCAUUCGAAGGAAAUACACAAGCUAAGACAAUUUCAAGAGUUGUCAAAUGCAAAAGAGUAUGGUAUUUCAAACAGAUUGAAGCUACCAAAACCCGUGCAGCAUAAGUAGUUCAAAGUUCAAAUAUCAUCUUUUUAUCUUUACAACCUCGGAGACAGGCCAGUUUGAGAAUACCUCAGCUGAUUCCACAAGUACCUGUGACCUCUCACCAGCAUAGGUACCGGUUUACUUCAAACAUCAUCUUACAAAACUUCCACUAGACUAAAUAACAUGCUACAAGAAAAGCAUUACCUUCCUCAAUUUAAAAAGGAUUCUUUCUUCAGCUGUCAUCCUUUGGAACUCUUUCUUCUUCUUCCACCUGAAGAACUUCAACCACUUCACAACCUGUCUUUUACCCUUCAGUUUCUUCCUCUUGAUUUUAUCUUCUUUAAACUCGCCGGAACUCUCAGCAACAACAUCAUUACCACCGCCAUUCGACGUUUCCCCUUCCCCAGCUUUGCCAGCCGUACAGUAAUACCGGCCCGAAUCUAUCAAUCCAAAAUCCCAUUUUUGUACGAUUAAGCGUGGCCCAACUAUGACUUCUCUUUCAAAAACCUUGCAUACUGCAUUAAAUACACUAAUAUAUCAUCAUGAGAUUAGCACAAUCACUUCAAAUUAAACAGUUAUCAGUGUAAGUGUAAAUGCAUGAUUUUUGCAGAAACAAAUUCAGAAUUUGAAGAAAUAGUACCUGGUUUGCUGGGGAACGGAAUGGGGUAAAACGGGUUGGAAGAUGAAACGGCAGCAUAAGAGAUGGUGUAGCUGCCGUGAUUUGCAGAGCGUCGCCGGAAAGAAGAAACCUCGCCGGAGCAUUUUUCACACUUUCUGGUGACCGACGGGGAACUAGUCUCCGGGAAUAGCUAAAUGGGUCUAAAUUGGAUACUUAGCAAAUGGACUUGGGCUAGUAUGGUCUAUUUUGAAGGCCCAAACCAUCACUCGUGAAUCUUUUAACAAAUAGCCACUUUUAGCUCGGAGCUUUAAAUUCCACGCGUGAAAUUCUAAGACAUUGUUAGGGUAUUUCACCUGUAAAACUUGAAACUACAUGGUCGGAAACUGGUAAAUACUACUUCUAAUAUUCUUUUACACAUAAUUUGCUUAUACUAAUGUUAGGUGUGCUAAAUUUAGCGCAUAAAAAUAUAACAUGUUCAUCUUGUUUAGAUGAUAUUUAUUAGCGAGUUAUUUUGAAUAUAGCUUAUCUAAAAGUUUAAGCUAAUUUGAAUGGCAUAUCUAUUCAUUAAAAAAAAACACAAAGUAAAUAAUCCAAGAUCAAAGAAAUAUAACUUGUAUUGCUUCUUUCAAAGGGUCACAUACAAAAAAAGGAUAUAUAUACACAAGUAUAUACCCUUUUCUUUUUCUUUCUUCCAAUAAAUUUCAUGUUAAUGAAAAUCCACCACCUUUCAUCAUUUGUCUAAAUUCUUUAAAAUCAACCAUCCCAUCACCAUCCACGUCGACUUUCAUGAUCAUCCUCUUACAAUCUUCCAAAGUUUUACCUUGUUUCAAUCCUAAUGAUCCCAAAACGGACCUUAAUUCUUCCACCGUUAUAUAUCCAUCACCAUUUUGAUCAAACACGUUGAACGCUUCUCUCAUAUCCUCCUCUUCGUCCUUCUCGUCCAUGAUUGACUUGUACAAUGUCCCGAAUUCAUCUAUAUCGAUAUAUCCAUCUCCGUUUACGUCUAUUUUUUCAAUCAUAUGAACAAGUUCUUGUUCCUCAAUGUGUAUUCCCAAGCUUUGUAACGAAUCGUUGAGCUCCUUUUUCGUUAUAGUUCCAUCUCCGUUACGAUCAAACAUUUGGAAAAUUCUAUUUAGCUCUACGGGGUCCAUUUCUUAGAUGAAAUUACAAAGAGAAUGAACCCUUUGAAGGUUUUAGUAUAAAAGGAUUUGGGUUUGGGAUUGAUGAUGUUAAAAGAAGCAUGAAAAUGCAUGUGAGAGAAAAUAACAAGGGAAAUAAUAUUUCUGAGAAGAUAGAAAUAAAUGGCUAAGGGGUUUAAAUGGUGGAGGAAAAAUUAAGGAGGGUGGUUUGAGGACACCCACUAAUUUCGUGGAAUCAAUGAUAUUCUUUUUAAGAUAUAAAAAUAGACACAAGAUUCAAGAAUAUCUAAUUCCACAUUUCUUGGUGACUUUAUUAAUUAUUCCGUAUCAAAUAUUUUAGUUAACAUAAAUUAGAUUUGAUUGAAACUAUUUGACGUUUUAAAAGAUACAUUUUGUUCAAAUCUAACUUUAUUGCUCCAAUUUAGUGGUGUAUUGAAUUUUUUGGAGAUAGAUAAAUGAUAGUCUAAGCAAUCGAGAAAUAGAUAAUAAUAGCACCUUAUAUUAUUUAUUGUACAUAGAUGUUGUUUUGUUGCCGUUUAUCUGUUAUUUUUGUUUUGAUUGUUAUUUCUUCUACUUCAGUUGCUUCUUCUUUUUUUAGAUAACUUUGAAUUGUUUUUCUUGAACCGAAGGUUUAUCAAAACAACCUAUCUAUCUCUUAGAUUGGAAUAAGAUUUGGGUACGUUUUACCAUCACUAUACCUCACUCUGUGAGACUAGUGUUUAUGUUGUUUUUUUAGUGAUAUGUUAUUCUCGUUUUAAUUUUUAAUUGCUUAGUUUGAUAUAAAUAUCGGGUAUGAGUAAGUAGUUACUCCGUUUGAGUAGGUGAGUUUGGACGUCAUCUCUUGAAAUAUGUCAUUGUGGAACUCAUGUCUGUAGACGUGAGGUAAAGGUUUAGGACCACGUAAAAUAUAGUGGUGUGUAUACUAUACAAGUACUAGUAUGCAUCCAGCUAAAUAUAGGUUGGAGAAAUUGAUAGAUUCAACAAUAUAAAGUCGUAAUAAGUGACCUUUCAUUCAUUGUAGGGACUCUUAAAUCUGAUUUUGAGUUACUCCGUGGUUCAUGGCGGAUGUGCUGCAAAGAUUAAGGGGACCAGAGAAUGCUGUCGAGGUGGCAAAAUUGGCCCAUGAAACAUGACCGGCCAAACUCAAACAAAAAACAAUGUUAGUUGUGUUGGUAGAUAUAGCAAAUUCCCAUUGAAUUAGUCGAGAUGUGUACAUGCUUGUAUGAGGGUGUGUUGCUCAUGCCUAACUGCUAAAGACAGCAAGAGGCCAUAAACCAAUUGUCUAUCCUGUUCAACAUGGGUUAAAGGAACAAAAACCAGAAGCAUCAAACUUGUUAAUCCAGAAAUUUUGGAAAUCUAAUUUCAUUAACUAACAGCUACUACAUUCUGCAUUCACCAUCCACUGCAUUUCACUUGGCGUGGAAGCCAUAAAUCUGAUAGAUAGGUUAGUUCCAAUAAUUAGGUCAUUGUUGACUUGUCUGCAAUGCAUACCGACUAAAAGAUCUAUCCAACUUUAUCAUAUUGGCUUCCCAAGUUCUAUCUUUUAAGAUCGUCUUUACAUACUGAAUGGGAGAGGAGAGGAGAGAGUGCACAACUGACCAUCAAUAAACAACUGGAAUUGACAACUGGUCUGUUGCACAAGGUAAUUCUUAUCGGAGAUAGGAAUGUGAUCAAACUGUGUGUCCUCCAAGAUCUCGUAACAGAAGUAUCUAAUUGUCAAGUAUAUAGGAAUUGAAAUCCCAUUGCUUGCGAAAACAAAGAUAUGAUUGGUUUUGGAUAGUGCUUGCUUACUCCAAGUAUUCAGAAACACGGAAAAGAAUAUAGCAGUACUGAUAUAUAUAAGCACAAGAACAAGAUGUCAACAAAAUGGGUGACUCAAUGAAAAAUAUACAAGCAUAAUGCAAGUUGUUAUGUUUAAAUGGGUCAUGAGAUGUGCCAGGAUCAUUGAGUUCACAAACUCCAGCCAAGAAGCUCACCUUUUUAUUUCCCAAUUCCACCUUUUUUAUCACCUAAUCCUUUAUACGCAUGUACUAUAAUUACUACUAAAGAGCUUUAUGUGAAAGAACACUAAAACGUGGAACUCUGAAGACUGUGGCUACUGAAAUCAAAUUAGCUAGUUCAAGCUUCUUGACUUUACCCGCUGAACUAUAAAGUUUACAUUCUUCCAAGUAAAUCUAAGUGCCUUUAUAUUCGUGAUCUGAAGAUAUGAAAAUCGAAGUUGUACCAUGAAAAUAUGGCUCAGUGAAAAGGAGGCUGGUCUGAUAGAAGUAAUAAAGUAACAUUUUGAAGGUAGAUAGACACAAGUACGAGUAAAGAAGGGGAUGGGUAGAAAUGUCUACAUUCAUUACAGAGAGAACUAUGUAGUGACAUAUGGCUAAAAGAACACAUGCAAUGGCAAUAGACAAUGAGUACAAGGAUAGAUAUGCUUAACGCAAUGAUAAAUAUAUUUUAAGGUUGAUGCGCUCAAGUAGUAAGGUCUGCGUACACCAGACUCCAAUUGUGGGAUUACACGGGGUAUGUGUUGUUGCUCUCAAGUAGUAUUUCAAGAAAGUAGGCAGACAGGCCAAAAUAUAUUAGUACUCUGAUUCAGGUUCAGAAAAAAGGGUGUUUAUAUUUUUUGCCCUUCACUUCAUAAAAUUUAUUAGUUUACCAAAACAAAAAACAAAAGAAAGUUCAGAAAGGAAAUUUGAUGCAUGACAUUUUUGUGACAGUACGACAAUAGAUGAAUGUCUAACAGCAGAAACAGAUACAGGUCUAAGCCUUAUUGCAGAAGUGAUGGGACUACUGGAGAAUAAUAGAAGAAAGCAUACAUCUAGAGCUAACACAUGACAAUGCUCAUAACCUCAAACAAACAGAAAGCUGGAAGAAUGUUAGGCAAGGUUAACAACUGAUUGGCUGCCUACUAUCCAGUUCUCAGAAUGAAUUUAGUAUGAGCAGUGAUACUCUGUUACUUUUCUUAAGCAUGUCGCAUAAAAUCUCUUUAGCUGGGAUAGUUCCUUGUGCCUAAGGUCCCGAUUAGAAUCCUAACCCUCCCAAUUACGAAAGGGUUUUUUAUUGAUCUCAGACAUAGCACCACAUGUUCUCCUGCUAUGGGGUGUGACAAGAAUCCUUGCAAACUGAAACAGGAGAAUUUCCUCACAAUAGAAUGAAUUUGUGUUGCUUUAGAAGGUCAGGGACAUAAUUUACUCAAUAGUAGAUUGUAAGUGCCUAUAACUAAACGUAAUGAAUUCUUGUUGCUUUAGAGGGUCAGGUACAUAAUCUACUCAGUAAAUACUAGCUUAUACACUACAACUAAAUAGAGGCACAUCCAGUAGCACCUGAUGUUUAGUUGCAGCUAACCGCGACAAUGCUCAAGAUUCUUGUUUCUUUAGAAGGUCAGGGACGUAGUAUACUCAGUAAAUAGCACUCUAGCUAAUACAUUACAAUUAGUUUUCUUUAUAGGCACAUCCAGUGGUAUGCAAUCUUUAGUUGCAGGUGGUCUGGCGACCAAUGGUCAAGAAAGGCUAUGAUGUUUUCCACCUCUCACCAAAUUUAGUCGUAGCCUUAUUUCUCAAGUCAGUAACACAUUUUUACAAAGGCAUAAACAUGAAUUUCAGACUAUGUGAUUGCAGAGGAAUUACAAGCUCACAACAACAAUUAUGCCUUAAUCACUAAUUAGUUGGGACUUGGGACCAGCAAUAUGAAUCUUUUAUAUCUACUCAACUCUAUCAAACCAAUUCCAUUCUAGUACCGGUAAAUUAAAGUGUCGUCAUACCACCAAAGACAGAUUGAUAUUAAAAUAACUCAUACAGGAAUUGGGAAAGUAUUCAUUUAAAACGAACAAAGUUGUCAACUUUCAGACAAUUUUGACAGAAAUUGCCUAUCAAGUACCAUAAGUUCCACAUUUUAUUAACUCAAAGCACUAAAAUUCCAGUUCACAGACAUAGAAAAAUAUUCAUUUCACCUUUUAUGGGAUAUCCCAUGGCUUAGGCUCAGGAAUUGCCACAACCAUUCCUUGAAGCUCCGGUGAGAGGACCACCUGACAACCCAACCUAGAAUGCUUGUUCAAAACCCUAGCCCUAGAGUUCCUCUUCAGCACAUACUGCUCAUCGUAAGAAGCUUUUGGAAGCUUCUCGAGCCAUUCUUGAGCAAUGUGCACCUCACACUCGGAGGAGCACGCAUCAAUGUCUUCAAGGCGAUGUGAAUCCGGGUCGAUUAACCCGUGGUUGGUUAGAGCUUUGAGCAGAGUUUGGCCCGAGAGUCCAAUAAUCUCCCGUUUACAGCCCUCAGGGUCAACGGCGAAGAGCUUGACGAUCCGAUCGGCGACUUUGGCGGAGCCGGUGCGGGAUGAACAUGAGGAUGCGGAGGAUCGAGUAAUUGAAAAAAUCGAAGGGUUUCGUGCGAUUCGUGAGGCGAAUCUCUGCAUAUUAGCAACGGCCAUCUUCGAAUGUUAACCAAUUUUGGGGGAAAUGAAUGCCCUAAACUCUCCACUAGUGUGGAAGGAGAAAACUAUAUUUUUAAAAAUAAUUGUCCGGUUUGGAUUCGUUUGUGUACACCUCGACUAAUAUCAUCCUAAAUAAUUAUAACUCACUGUCUAUCUAGGCUACAACAUAUGGAAAUAAAUCAUUUUUUUGUCUAGCCAUUUCAAUUUAUAUGACAAGUUUGAUUAAUUCAUAUAGCAGAAUUUGAUUAGAUACGAAUUCAAAGAAUCGAAGACGUUUGAAGUUUGUGAUUCAAAAAUCAUUUAUAAUUAUUUAUAUAGUUGUAAUUUGUAAAUAAUUUAAUUUCUCUAGUUCACUCAUCAAGAGUAUUUUCUAAGCAAUCAUGAACGUGGAGUAAAAAAAGUUGAAAUUGUUUAUUUAUCAAACCAAGGGAACAAACUCUUUUAUAGAAAUGAAAAAAAGGGUAAAAAAAUGUCUAAGUUUGAUCUAAAAAUAGUUUCGUCGUCAACAAUUUGGUUCAGAAAAUGCUUGUAGGCACCCCACCCCUCGACUCGAAAAUCACAAUGUAGAUAGAUUACUUUUAUAUAUUACUAGUACUAGUAUAUAAGAUGAAUACUGGAGAGAAAUUGAUGUGAGGAGAAAUUAUCAUUUCUAUUGCUGACAAGAAUAUAUAUCAUGAAAUAUCCCACUCCUUUCUUUUCUCUUUUAUAAAAUUUUCAUGCAGGAAACAAGCAAAAUCUAUCUUUUAUCUCUAAAAUCAUUCUUCAUUCUUCAUAUAAUCAAAUUUUCUUGCCCUGUAGCCAACUGUCGUAGAAAUACAACGACUCUUGUGGUUUGUACUCAGGCACGGUGUGUCCAGAUCCCUGAGGAUUUCGGAAAUCAAUCAAUUAAAUCAAAGAAAAAAUAGAAAACAAAAAAAAAACAUUUCUUGAUAAAAACAUACCUUAAUAGUCAGAAAUGUGAGGUUGUUGGCAUAACCUUGUGUGUAACUGCAGAAAAGAUUUAAGAUGAAUUUUACAGAAUUGCAACACAUUAGACAUGAAAAAGAUUUAGAAUUAGGUGAAAACGCGAACAUACCCUGCAACUUGUUGGGAACUGCAAAAAAGAUUUAAGCAUUUAGUAUGAAUUUUACAGAAUUGGAUCACAUUAGAGAAGUUAAACAUGAACAUGAUUUAGUAGGUGAAAAACACAAAUAUACCCUUGAAUUUUUUCUUUCGUAUACCAUGGCCUCCAUUCAUCCACGAUUGCAUAUCCAAGUGAACUUGUCCAUUUUUCUGAACCAGUGUAUGGUACACACAUAUCGUGAUCCCCACUGCAACAAACAAAUGUGUCUUAGUCGAUAGAAUAUACAGGAAAUACAUAUAGACGAUCAGUUUUCUUCUUUAUAUGUGUUUUACAUAAUAAUACCACGAGUAAUACAGAAGAAUGCAUGUUAAGAGACUCGGUAAUCUAUUGAACCUGUAUAUGAGUGCCCGAUAACCCUGAGUUGUAAGGUUUUUGUGAUACGGAAUCAUGCUUCCAGCAUCAUGAGUGAAGUUUAAGUGUUUGCAUAGCUCCCAAGGACCUGUCACAGUUGCCUGUUGUACCACAAGAUUGAACCAUAAAUCGAUCACCAAUUGGUAAAAGUAAAUCAUCAUGUUUAAAGUUAGUACAAGAUGAGUAAAUUGUAUCUUACUGGUUCAGCAUGAAUUGCUUUACGAACAUCUUCAUUGUUUAGCCACGCAGUAGCAACAGUAUCAUCCUGCAUAUUUCAUUUCAGAUUAUGUGUCUCUUGAAGAGAAUAAACAAAAGGAAAGAAAAAACCAAGAGUGACUUACAGUGCAAAAGACAUUAUUAUGAUCGAGAAGCUCUGGCCAAGAUGGGACAAGUCCCUCUCUUACUGGAGCAUUAAAAGGCCAAGCACGGCCAAACAUUCUGGUUCUAACAGGAAGAGGCCUUUCUGUCUCACCUAGUUUACGAAAGCUCAUUGGCAAUUCUGAGUUUUUGGUGCUAUAAGGGGUGUGGUAACACGGUUCUAGUAUGUCAUAAAUGUUUAGUCCCAUGACUUUCUGCAAUAGGCGGAAAAGAUGAAUUUGGACCAAUACAGAACAAUGAAUUGUUGUCACGACAAAAUAAAUCAAGCAUCACAGAGUAACACCUUACCUGACUAAUUUUUAAUAGUAAUAAUGUACAGUUCUGACUGCUUGAGAUGUAGAAGUCUCCUUUGCAUGCAGCAGUUGCAUCCUGAGCAUGAAAAAGAAUAAUCAGAGACCAGUUGCUAAUAUAUUGGAGUGGUAAAUGUAUAAACAUACAUUAACAUUUGCUUUGUAACAUAUUUUUUGACAGACUACAAUUCUAAAUAAGUUCAAGAGUCAAAUGAUUCAAGCACAAGAAGAAGCAAAUACCUCGAAUAAUUUAUCUGAAAUGAGGCCCAUACCAUGUUGAAAUGGAACAAUAGCAUUACCGUCUAUCUUCUCAUCUGUCACGCCAUUUCCCACCAUAUAACCCUGUGCAAUAGAACAUAAAGAGUUUACAACCCAGACAACUAGUUAAAAUCUUGAAAUGUAUAUACCUUAAACAUGGACAGAGUCAGUCCUGACCUUAAAGUUGAUGACGGGCGUUACUUUAGCAUCGAUACCUGAAAAAACAUAAGCAGCAGAAGGUUAGUUUGUGUAUCCCCUGCCUAGCAGUAGCACCAACCAAUACAUGAUUACCUUUUACUACUUCAGAAGCCAGAGUUGGCACGUAUAUUCCAGCAUAAGACUCUCCAGAUAUGUAGAAUGGGUUCGUGAGGAACUCCGGGUAGAUCUCAAACCACUAGCAAGAGCAUCAGUUAGUAGAAACCAUAAACGAGCUUAGACAGAUCUAGCGUAAAACUAGUAAAUUUAUGUAAUGUUACCUUGAGGAGAAACGCAUGGGUUUCGGUUGCAGUUUUUAAGUCUCCUGUAUUAUAGUCAGCUUUAUUUUUCGAGUAAGAUAAUCCAACACCAACAGGAGAGUCCAGAUAUAUUAUAUUGGAAACCUGGAAGAAUCAAAUAAUAAUGAGUGGCUAAUGAAAUGUAAGCAUAUGAUAAAAGUAGAAUUAACACAAAUAAUAACCUUUGACCAACUGUAUGGAUUGUUAUGCAGAAUAGGCAAGCUACCAUUUGCCUUCCCCAACUCAAAAUUAAAAGGUCCUGCAAUGUAUAGAACACAAGACUCAACUGUUACACUAUGCAUUACAAAAUAUAGGCAUUUGUUAAAAAAUCAAGUCUUUUGUCUAAUCGAGUAUAUCGAUUAGAGUAUUAUCAUCUACGAUCAAAAUAUUUUAACCCGCUCAAAUUCAACUCAACCAGUAAAAUUAAGAAUUAAAGUUGUUACCAUGCUCAUAGACAAAUCCAUCAAAGCUUGAACAGCCAGGUCCACCAUUAAGCCAAAGAACAACUGGAUCCUUUGAUGGAUUUCUUUCAGAUUCAAUAAAGUAGUAAUACAUAUUCUUGCCAUGGCUUUCAUCUAAAUUAACAUACCUGAAAACCCAUUUCAAAUAAUAUUCAAAAAAAAGGUACAAAAAUCAAAAUAAAGUUUAUUACAUCUUUUUAUCAAAAAACACAAAAAGAAUCCAUACCCAGCAUAAUGUUUUGACAGCAAUUUGCCAGUGAAGCCAGGGAUUUGAGUUACCAGUGCACCCUGAGGUGCCCCUUCUGUUACCAAAAAACAAAAUGCCAACAAUGUUAACACUAUAGUAUACUCUAAAAUAAUGUUUUUUCUAGCCAUGUUUGGUGUAUCAAAAUUCAGAAUUAUUUGAUGUUUCCCCUAAAAGAACACAAAUGAUGGGGCUUUUAUAGUGUGAGAAAAUGAAGUGUGACAUCAUUAUAAUAACUAUUCCAUUAAUAUUUGGAUUAAUACAAUCUAACUUAGUCUUAAUAUAGUAAAAAGUUAAUUAUGAAUUUAUGAUUUAUAUUUUUGAAUAGUUUGACUGAGAAAAUAACAAAAAAAUAAAGUCUUAUACAUUUAAGGAAUAUUCAUCAAUUUAUUUAUGUAUUUGGAUUUUUGGGAUGUUGGACGGACAAAAUGACAAAGUAGAAGUCUCUUAUAUUUAUGAAUGAAAUACAAUAAUACUAUCUAUAUCAUAUUAACUAAUUCUAUAUUUAUUUUCAAAUUAUUACAGAUAUUUUCAUUAAUUAAGAAUUUUGUAUCAUAUUUUAAGUUGGAUACAUUGAGAUGCAACAUUCUCUGAAAAGUAGCCCAAAUUAGGAUAAUUGAAUAUCUGAAUAAGUUUUGUAUCCGACUCCUCUCCAUUUUCCUCAAGUUUCUAUUUGGAUUAGUGAUGCAUAACAUAAGUUAAUUUAAGUGGUUAAGAUUUAACUUCCCAAAAUAAAUUUCUAACCAUGAUUUAAAUAAUAAAUAUAUUGUAUAAUUUGUUUUAAAAAUGAUUAUAAUCCCAAAUCUUUGCAAUAUAUUAAUUAUUAUCUUGUUAAUAAUUAUAGAAAAACAAGUUUUCUUCUUAAAAUUUUUAUGCAGGAUCUUUCUUUUAUUUUCUUGUUAAAUUAAUCUUUUUAUUACAUAACAUACCAAUUAAUUAAGAUACACCACAUAUCUGUUAGAACUCAAAUACAAAUAUAUGGUGUAUAAAAGCAAAAAGCUUAUUUGCUGUUUAGAUUAUAAAUUUAUUCCAAGUCUAAUAAAGGGGUGACUUACAUACAAGUACAUCAAUGAAUUUCUAAUGUUUUUUUUUAUAUAAUUAUGUAAUAAUAUAAAUGUAUAUUAAAUAUUUACUAUUGAUGAUGUUUAAUCAGCUAUUGGUAAAAAUUGUGAAAUCAUUUAGCUUUUUGAUUUUCGUUUACACCUACUUAAUCAACACAACAACAAUAAUAUCAUACCCAAUGUAAUUCCUUAAAGACUUAGUAAUCUAUUAUGAACCUGUAUAUGAUUGUUUGAUAUCCCGAGCUGUGAGAUUUUUGUGAUACGGAAUCACACUUCUAAAAUCAUACAAAAAUGCAUCCCAACCGCCAAUAAUUUGGUAAAAAAAAGUUAAUUGGCACCCCUGGCUCGAAAAUUACAAUGUAUAUAGUGUGGGAGAUGAAUAUUGGAGAGAAAUUGAUAUGAACAUGCUUUAACAGAGAAAUUAUCAUUUUUAUUGCUGAUAGGAAUAUAUAUCUUCAAAUACAUUGUAAAAUUCCAAUAUCCCCUCUCUUUUAUAAAAUUUUCCUGUAGAAAAUAAGAAAAAUCUAUCUUUUAUAAAUAAUUGAAGUUAAUGUCUACUAAUUAAGUCUUCAUUCUUCAUAUUAUCAUAUCUUCUUGCCCUCUAGCCAACGUUCAUAGAACUCCAACGCCUCUAGUGGUUUGUACUCAGGCACGGUGUGUCCAGCUCCCUGAAGAUAUCCGAAAUCAAUCAAUUAAACAAAAGGGAAAAAAAAAAUAGAAAACGAAAAAAUAUUUCUUGAUAUACACAUACCUUAAUAGUCAGAAAAGUGAGGUUGUUGGCAUAACCUUGUGUGUAACUGCAGAAAAGAUUUAAGAUGAAUUUUACAGAAUUGCAACACAUUAGAGAUGAACAAGAUUUAGAAGGUGAAAACGCGAACAUACCCUGCAACUUGUACGUAUCUGCAAAAAAGAUUUAAGCAUUUAGAAUGAAUUUUACAGAAUUGAAUCACAUUAGAGAAGUUAAACAUGAACAUGAUUUAGUAAGUGAAAAACACGAACAUACCCUUGAAUUUCUUCUUUUGUAUACCAAGGCCUCCAUUCAUCCACGAUUGCAUAUCCAAGUGAACUUGUCCAUUUUUCUGAACCAGUGUAUGGUACACACAUAUCGUGAUCCCCACUGCAACACACAAAUAUGUGUCUUAGUCAAUGUCUAUCCGUGUUUUACAUAAUAAUACCACGAGUAAUACAGAAGAAUGCAUGUUAAGAGACUCAGUAAUCUAUUGGACCUGUAUAUGAGUGCCCUAUAUCCCCAAGCUGUGAGGUUUUUGUGAUAUGGAAUCAUGCUUCCAGUAUCAUGAGUGAAGAUUAGUUUGUUUGAGCAAAGCCGCCAGCGACCUAUCACAGUUAUCUGUUGUAUAACCAUAAAUCGAUCACCAAUUAUAUUGUCUUUUUUGAGUGAAGGUAAAUCAUCAUGUUUAAAGUUAGUACAACAUGAGUAAAUUGUAUCUUACUGGUUCAGCAUGAAUUGCUUUACGAACAUCUUCAUUAUUUAGCCACACUGUAGCAAUACGAUCACUCUGCAUAUUUCAUUUCAGAUUAGAUGUCUCUUAAAGAGAAUAAACAAAAGGAAAGAAUAAAUCAAGAGCGACUUACAAUGCAAGGGACGUAGUUUGUAUGUUUGAGAAUCUCCGGCCAAGAUGGGACAAGUCCCUCUCUUACUGGAGCAUUAUAAGGCCAAGCACGGCCAAACAUUCUUUUUCUGACAGGAAAAGGCCUUUUUGUCUCACCUAGUUUUCGAAAACUCAUUGGUAAUCUUGAGUUAUCAGUGGUUACAUCAGGUACAGUGUUGUGGUAACACGGUUCUAGAAUGUCAUACGUGUUUAGAUCGUCAACAUUCUGCAAUAGGCAGAAAAGGUGAAUGUGGAUCGAUAAACCAGAACAAUGGAUUGUUUGAAUCAAACAUGACAAAAUAACACCUUACCCGAUUAAUUUUACCUUGCAUGUCUUUACAAUGCUGACUCGUUUCAUUGUAGAAGUUUCCUUGGCAUGCAGCAUUUGCUUCCUGAGCAUGAAAAAGAAUAAUCAGAGACCAGUUCCUAAUAUAUUGAAGUAGUAAAUGUAUAAACAUACAUUAACAUUUGCUUUGUAACAUAUUUUUUGACAGACUAGAAUUCUAAAAUUAGUUCAGAAGUCGAAUGAUUCAAGCACUAGAAAAUUAAACAAGAAGAAGCAAAUACCUCGAAUAUUUUAUCUGAAAUAAGGCCCAUACCAUGUUGAAAUGGAACAAGAGCAUUAGCGUCUAUUAUAUCAUCUGUCACGCCAUUUCCCACCAUGUAACCCUGUGCAAUAGAACAUAAAGAGUUUACAGCCCAGACAACUAGUUAAAAUCUUGAAGUGUAUAUACCUUAAACAUGAACGGUUCAAUGUAAUCAGUGACCUAAAGUCAGCCAUUAAGUAAAUGUCUGAAGUAUAUUGAAUAAAAUUAGCCCUGACCUUAAAGUUGAUGGCGGGCUUUACUCCAGCAUCAAUACCUAAAAAACAUAAGCAGAAGAAGGUUAGUUUCUUAAUCCCCUGAACACCACCAAUCAAUACAUGUUCAUUUAAGAUCCAGAUUACCUUUUGCUAUAUCAGAAGCCAGAGUUGGUACGUAUAUUCCAGCAUAAGACUCUCCAGAUAUGUAAAAUUGGUUCGUGAGGAACUCCGGGUAAAUCUCAAACCACUAGCAAGAGCAUCAGUUAGUAGAAACCAUAAACGAGCUAGGACAUAGCUAGUAUAAAACUACAUUACAAAAGAAAGUGUGAAUUACAUGAGGAUUUUCCUAGGGAUUAGUAUGAAAAUCCGCAGGAAACUUAUUUUCCUACAAAUUUUAAUACUAAUCCCCAAGAAAAUCCCCAUGUAAUUCGCACUUUUCUUGUAGUGAUAGCUAGUAAUUAAAUUUAUGUAAUGUUACCUUGAGGAGAAACGAAUGGGUAUCGGAUGCAGUCUUUAAGUCCCCUGUGUUAUAGUCAGCUUUAUCGUUCGAGUAAGAUAAUCCAACACCAACAGGAGCAUCCAGAUAUAUUAUAUUGGAAACCUAGAAGAAUCAAAUCAUAAUGAGUGAGUACUAAUAAAAUGUAAGCAUAUGAUAAAAGUAGAAUUAACACAAAUAAUAACCUUAGACCAACUGUAUGGAUUGUUAUGCAGAAUGGGCAGGCUAUCAUUUGUCUUUCCCGCCUCAAAAUUAAAAGGUCCUGCAAUGUAUACAACACAAGAAUCAACUGUUACUUGAAUUGUUAACAUUAUUCUUUAUAAAAUAUAGACAUUUGUAAAAGAAUCAAGUCCUUUAUCUGAUUGAAUAUUUCGAUUAGAAUAUUAUCAUGAGUCUUAACCAUCAGAAUGACUAUUCAAGUUUAAGACUAUUAUGUUGGUUCAAUUCUUUAUUUUAAAAAAUAUAUAAAUUAGACCUUAAUUGAUCUACGACAACAUCAAUAUGCAUAUCUUUUUAUAAGUAAAUUCUUAUUAAUAGAAAUUAUCUACAAAUAAUACAUCAUACUAAUUUUGAUGAGAGAACAAUAGUGAUACUACUUGUGAGAUUCAUUCCAUAAGUUGUACACACACGUUAACAAAUUUUGGGGCCCUUUUUCUAGAUCAAAUCGUUAUCUAACAAAAUUUCUUUCCUUUUAUUGUAAAAAAAUAAUUUCUUUUAAAAAUAUAUUUAAAUAUAAGAAAAAUAUACAAAUUUAUUGAUAAAAAGUGGGAGCCAAAAGCUAGGCUUUACCCAAAAGCCGGCUCCUUGUAUAUACAACAAGAACAACAACAACAACAACAACAUAAAUUUCACAAGUCAAAUCUAGAGAGGGCUGAUUAAAACUCGUUCAUUUAUUAGUUCAAUCCGUUUCAAUCCAUCAAAAUUUAGACUGAUAUCUAUCCCUGAUAAUCUAUAAAAAAUCUAGUCAAAAUAUUUUAAUCCGCCCAAAUUCAGCCCAACGCAUAAGUAGAAGUAGAGUUGUUACCAUGCUCAUAGACAAAGCCAUCAAAGCUUGAACAGCCAGGUCCACCAUUAAGCCAAAGAACAACUGGAUCCUUUGAUGGAUUUCUUUCAGAUUCAACAAAGUAGUAAUACAAAUUCUUGCCAUGACUCUCAUCUAUAUUAACAUACCUGAAAAUCCCAUUUCAAGAAACAUUCAAAAAAAAAGGAAGAAAAAUCAAGAUAAAGUUUACAUCUUUUUAUUAAAAAAAAACACAAAAAGAAUACAUACCCAGCAUAGUGUUUUGAGUUAAAAGUGCCAUUGAAUCCAGGGAGUUGAGUGACCAGUGCACUCUGAGGUACCCCUUCUGUUACCAAAAACAAAAAUGCCAAGAAUGUUAAGACUAUAUUAUACUGUAAAAAAAUGUUUAUUCUUGCCAUUUUUGGUGUAUCAAAAUUCAGAAUUCUUUAAUAUUUUCCCUAAAACAACACAAAUGAUGGGGUUUUAUAGUUUGAGAAAAUGAAAUGUGAUAUCAUUAUAAUAACUUUUCCAUCAAUUUUUGCUUUUGACCAAGAUUAAUGUAAUCUAUUUUGGUCUUCCAAAUAUAAAUAUGUCAUUUAUUUAUAUUUUUUUCCUAAUAAAGAAUAGAUUUGUCAAAACAGGUCAGCCUAGCCCCAUCCCGUCUAAGUUUCACGGGCCAAAAAAAUUGAUGGGUUAAGACAGGCUGACGGGCCUUGAAGUGGCGAACCCCAGCCAAUCCUAAAAAAGGCCAUGGGUUGGAGCGGGUUAGCCCUCUUCAUUUUUUUACGAUUUUUUUUCCAAUCAAAAUUUAACCUUAAAAUUCUGCCAAUAUAUUAAAUUCUUUUAAGGGAAAAUUAUGUGAAAUGACAAACAUUUAGAUUAUUAUGUAAUAUAUCUAUAGUUUCGAUUACUUUUAAUCCGUGGCCACACUUUCGCGAAAUUUUGCUAUUCGGUUUUCUUAUUGUAUAAAUCCAGAAUUUUUCUAAUUCGAUCCCUGAUUGUAUAAAUCCAGAAUUUAUAUAAUUCAGUUUCUAAUGGUAUAAAUUCAGAAUUUGUAUAUGCUUACACUAGCUAUUUGUAUACGAUUUAAGAAAAAUCAUUAUAAAUUACCAUGUUUGUAUAUUGGCAAGCGAAAUAUACAUACGAAAUUCUGAAAAUUUUCUAAAUGUAUAAAUACAAAAUUUGUAUAUAUUUACCAUGUUUGUAUAUUCGAAAGCAAAACAUACACACGGGCAAGCGAAGUAUACAAAAUGCAAUCCCCGUUUGUAUAUACUUAUCCUGUUUGUAUAUUUCCAAGUGAAAUAUACAAACGGACAAGCUAAAUAUACAAACCGCAAUCUCCACAGUAAACAAAACCAUAUUGUAACAUCCGGUAAUUUGAAAUAUCUAUGAAGAGGCUUAAAAAUCGAAAAUAGUCACUUUUGGAAUAAAAUUGAAAAUCUGGAAAUUUGGCCAAGUGUGGAAAUCAGUGAGUUUUUGGCCAACUUUGAGCGGUCAUAACUCCUAGCUCAGAAUGAGUUAGGAGUAGUUACAGUUAUGUUUGGAAAGCCCUUGGAAUGAUCUUUCCAACGCCACCGAGUUUGCUCAAUUCCGAGUUCGUAUGAGCGAGUUAUGCCCUUUGAAAGUUGGGCAGUGGGCAGGGAAUCCGUCCGGAAAUUUAAGGGCAUUUUGGUCUUUUCCCUAGCCAUUUCUUUUGGGAUUAUAUUGUUGUGUUAGGCUGAUAUUUGGAUCAUUUUGGUUCCAUUUUAAAGAGUGAAAGCUAGGGCUUGAGAGAAGAAGAAGAGAAAUAGAAGAGCAAGCAAGGAGAUCAAGCAAAGAUCGUCGUGGAAAUCGUCGGGGGUGAUCCCUACUAGGUAUGUGAGUUCUUUGUGUGGGUUGAUCCUUUCCCCCACACACCAAGCUCAUUUUUAUGAUUUGAGAAAAGAUUGGAUUUGUUGUUGAAGUUGUGGAAGUUGUUGAAGUUGUUAGUUGUUGUUGUUGAAAUUAUUGUUGGUUGUGGGACGUGAUUGGGUUGUGUAUUUGAGUUGUAAUCUAUUGUAUGUUGAGAGAUUGAGGAUCCUUAGUGUUUGGGGUUAGGUCCAUUGAAGUAAGGAUGGUUUAGAGUUGAAGAAAAGAGGGANNNNNNNNNNNNNNNNNNNNNNNNNNNNNNNNNNNNNNNNNNNNNNNNNNNNNNNNNNNNNNNNNNNNNNNNNNNNNNNNNNNNNNNNNNNNNNNNNNNNNNNNNNNNNNNNNNNNNNNNNNNNNNNNNNNNNNNNNNNNNNNNNNNNNNNNNNNNNNNNNNNNNNNNNNNNNNNNNNNNNNNNNNNNNNNNNNNNNNNNNNNNNNNNNNNNNNNNNNNNNNNNNNNNNNNNNNNNNNNNNNNNNNNNNNNNNNNNNNNNNNNNNNNNNNNNNNNNNNNNNNNNNNNNNNNNNNNNNNNNNNNNNNNNNNNNNNNNNNNNNNNNNNNNNNNNNNNNNNNNNNNNNNNNNNNNNNNNNNNNNNNNNNNNNNNNNNNNNNNNNNNNNNNNNNNNNNNNNNNNNNNNNNNNNNNNNNNNNNNNNNNNNNNNNNNNNNNNNNNNNNNNNNNNNNNNNNNNNNNNNNNNNNNNNNNNNNNNNNNNNNNNNNNNNNNNNNNNNNNNNNNNNNNNNNNNNNNNNNNNNNNNNNNNNNNNNNNNNNNNNNNNNNNNNNNNNNNNNNNNNNNNNNNNNNNNNNNNNNNNNNNNNNNNNNNNNNNNNNNNNNNNNNNNNNNNNNNNNNNNNNNNNNNNNNNNNNNNNNNNNNNNNNNNNNNNNNNNNNNNNNNNNNNNNNNNNNNNNNNNNNNNNNNNNNNNNNNNNNNNNNNNNNNNNNNNNNNNNNNNNNNNNNNNNNNNNNNNNNNNNNNNNNNNNNNNNNNNNNNNNNNNNNNNNNNNNNNNNNNNNNNNNNNNNNNNNNNNNNNNNNNNNNNNNNNNNNNNNNNNNNNNNNNNNNNNNNNNNNNNNNNNNNNNNNNNNNNNNNNNNNNNNNNNNNNNNNNNNNNNNNNNNNNNNNNNNNNNNNNNNNNNNNNNNNNNNNNNNNNNNNNNNNNNNNNNNNNNNNNNNNNNNNNNNNNNNNNNNNNNNNNNNNNNNNNNNNNNNNNNNNNNNNNNNNNNNNNNNNNNNNNNNNNNNNNNNNNNNNNNNNNNNNNNNNNNNNNNNNNNNNNNNNNNNNNNNNNNNNNNNNNNNNNNNNNNNNNNNNNNNNNNNNNNNNNNNNNNNNNNNNNNNNNNNNNNNNNNNNNNNNNNNNNNNNNNNNNNNNNNNNNNNNNNNNNNNNNNNNNNNNNNNNNNNNNNNNNNNNNNNNNNNNNNNNNNNNNNNNNNNNNNNNNNNNNNNNNNNNNNNNNNNNNNNNNNNNNNNNNNNNNNNNNNNNNNNNNNNNNNNNNNNNNNNNNNNNNNNNNNNNNNNNNUUAUUAGGAUGUUGCGGGGUCUGUCCCAACAUCCAUCUCAAUAUGUUAGAGGCUUCAUAGACAGUCAGUCAGUUAGUAUUGAGUUUCUCAUCUAUGUAUAUAUGUAAAUAUUCUAUUUUGAGACUCGAGUUGCCCUUUUGGGCCAGAUUUCAUCAGUUAAGUUGUUUUAUGUCUUUGCAUGACAUUAAGUUAUUCUGUUGAGUUAGGUUUCCGCUGAGUUAAGAAAGCCGGGCCAAGGGUUCGCUUGGGGCCAGCGAUGGUCUCCGAGUGCCGGUCCCGCCCAGGGUGUAGGCUCGGGGCGUGACACAUAUAGAGCACAAUUACUAAAACUAUAAAUAUAGAGCCUUAUUAUAUCUAUUAUCUUUGUUAUUUCUGAAAAUUUCUCAAUUUUUAAUAUGUCUAACAAAAUUAUAUGAAAAAAAUACAUAAUAAUUACUAUUAUAACAUUCAUUAUACAUAUGAUUAGUGAUGCUUCAAAUUAUAAUCUAACAUCAAAAAAUGAGAAGAUUUGCAUAACAAAUGUGGCAAAUAGUGACGUUGUUUCAAUAAUUCUAAAUAAAAAUCUAACAAAAAAUAUUAAAAUAGUAAUCUUUUUUCACAAAUAAAUAAAUACGAAAAAAUUGAAAUAACAAAUUUGGAAACUAAAGAACAAUUACAACCUAAAAAAUUAUACUUUUUUUAAUACAAAUUAAAUAUACUUUUAGCCCAUUGACAGUUCUAGUAAAAAGUCAAUUAUGAACUUAUGAUUUAGAUUUUUGUAAUGCUUGAUUGAGAAAUUGCCUAAAAAGGUCUCUUAUGUUUGAGGGGUAUUUUAUCAACUUGUGUACUUAGAUUUUGUAAUGUUUAACUGGGAAAAUGACUAAGUGAAAGUCUUACAUUUGAAAACAAGUUUAUGGUACUUCAAUUAUGCAUUUUAGUUACAUUACUUAAUUAACCACACUAUGUGGCUUAAAUAUAUCUCGAGUCGAUAUAUACGUCUGGAUUUCGAUAGAAAUACUAAUAUUGAAAAGGGAAAAGGGUUAAAAAUGCCCCUAACGUAUUACAAAUGGUUUAAAAAUGCCCUUCUUCCACCUAUUGGAUCAAAUUUGCCCUUAACGUUUUUUUUAGGUUUAAAAAUGCGCUCUUUUGACAGAAUUAUGACAUGGCAUUAGUGGGUCAAAUAAUUAAACAAUUGGCAUUAAUUUAUUGAUCCAUAUGAAUUUUUAACCCACUCACAUAAGUCAUAACCGACCCGUCCAUAGUGAACCAAGCUAGCAAACCCCAAAACAGUCUAUCCCGUCAAUUCCUAUUUUACACCUCCAUUUUCAGAUUUGUUCCCAAUAUCUCUGUAUGCUAAAAAAGAAGAAGGUUUCUUUGGGUUUUGAUCUUAGAAUGUGAUGAUGGUAAGAAGGGAAUAUAUGACUUAAUAAGAUGUGUUCUUAAGCUUUGAAAAUAACUUUGAUAAGAGGAAGACUGAAACUUCAAUUUUUAUACUUGGCAUUUUAAGGUUAAUUUACUAGAAGUAUAUUGGUUGUAAUUUAUAAUGAAUAUAAAUGGGUCUCAUCAAAGGUCAAAUAAGUUCAUGAACGAUUGAAGAGGAACUUUCACAGUAGUAUCAGUAUGAGCUGAUAUGGUAUAUGAAUCUAUCCUCUAUUUAUACCAUUGAUUUUUUUUCAUAAGAUUGAUUCAUUGGUUCGACGUAUUUGGCCUUAUUACCAUUGAAUUUUACUUCAAUGAUUUUGUGAGAUAUGUUUUAGAGUCCAAUAAAAGGAUCUAUCCAAAGGAUUGUAGAUUUAUACUGAAAAUUUCAGUAUGAGCAACAGAUUUGAAAAUAGGCGUAAAAUGAUAAUGAAUUGAUGGGUUAGAUUGUUUUGGGGUUUGCUAGCUUGGUUCAUUAUGGACGGGUCGGUUAUGACCUAUGUGGGUGGGUUAAAAAUUCAUGUGGACCAAUAAAUUAAUGCCACUUGUUUAAUUAUUUGACCCACUAAUGCCAUGUCAUAAUUCUGUCAAAAGAGGGCAUUUUUAAACCUAAAAAAAACGUUAAGGGCAAUUUUGAUCCAAUAGAUGGAAGGAGGGCAUUUUAAAACUAUUUUCAAUACGUUAAGGGAGUUUUUAACCCUUUUCCCUAUUGAAAAUAAACUUUGAGAGAUUUGCUUUGAUCCUUUAAAUUUGUCGCAAAUUAACAAAAAUGGUCUCUUAUAUUUGAGAAAAGGUUCAAAAUAAUUACUUCAAAUUAAUAAUUUUGAUCCUUCAAAUUUAUCAUAAAUUAACAAAAAAUAUAUUCGAAGAUACAAAAUAGUACUUCUCCGGCCACAAAAAUCUCAUGGAAUAUGACAUACCAAUAUAAAAAAAAAACCCCUUUUUUUGUGUCUAAUUAAAUUAGGUCGCAGAGAUCGCAUUUUAAGCUUUGUUUGUAAUUGGUAAAAUCAUUUAGCUUUUUGGUUUUUUUUCACACCUACUUAAAUCAACAAGAUAACAACAAUAUCAUACCCAGGGUAAUCCCUUAAGUGGGGUUUGAAGAGGGUAGAAUGUAUGUAAAUCUUACUUCUACCUUUGUGGGAUAGAAAUAUUGUUUUCGAUGGAUCUCAGCUCAAAAAAAGUGACGAUCAAAGCAGCAUAAUAGUGUAAAAAGGUAUCAUGCAAUUGGACAAAGCAAAUGUUUUAAUUUCUUAUUGCAGACUGGAAUAUUACAUGGUAAAAAUCCAAUAUCAUUCUCCCUUCUUUUCUCCUGUUAAGGGAGAAAUAAAAAUCUCUGAAAUAAUUGGACUUAACAAUGUCUACUAAUUUAGUCUUCAUUAUCAUAUCUUCUUGCUCUCUAGCCACCGGGCGUAGAACGCCAACGCCUCUUGUGGUUUGUACUCAGGCACGGUGUGUCCAGAUCCCUGAAGAUUUCGUAAAUCAAUCAAUUAAAUCAAAGGGAAAAAAAAUAUAAUAUGAAAAAUAUUUCUUUGAUAUGAAUAUACCUUAAUAGUCAGAAAACUGAGGUUGUUUGCAUAACCUUGUGUGUAACUGCACAAAAGAUUUCAGCAUUUAAAAUGAAUUGCAACACAUUAUAGAAGUUAAAAAAACAUGAAGAGGAUUUAGAAGGUGAAACGCGAACAUACCCUGCAACUUGUUCGUUCACAUACCAAGGCCUCCAUUUAUCCACGAUUGGAUAUCCAAGUGAACUUGUCCAUUUUUCUGAACCAGUGUGUGGUACACACAUAUCGUGAUCCCCACUGCAACAAACAAAUAUGUGUCUUAGUCAAUGUCUAUUCGUGUUUUACACGAGUAAUACAGGAGGAUGGAAAAAUGAAUAGAAAGAAGUUGAGAUCACUCAGUAAUCUAGUGGUACCUGUAUAUGAGUGCUCGAUAUCCAUGAGCUGUGAGGUUUUUGUGAUACGGAAUCAUGCUUCCAGCAUCGUGACUGAAAGUUAUGCUGUCCGUGCAUAGCUCCCAGGGACCUAUAACCGUUGUCUGUUGGACCAUAGGAUUGAACCAUAAAUCACCAACUUUAUUUUUUUGUUUUGGUUUUUGCACUUAUAUCUUAAAGUUAGUACAAGAUGAGAAAAUUAUAUCUUACUUGUUCAGCAUGAAUUGCUUUACGAACAUCUUCAUUGUUUAGCCACACACUAGAAACACGAUCGUCCUGCAUAUUUCAUUUCAGAUUAUGUGUCUGUUAAAGAGAACAAACAAAAAAUGAAGAGCGAGUGACUUACAGUGCAAGGGACGGUUAACUCAUUGAGAAGCUCCGGCCAAGUUGGGACAAGUCCGUCUCUUACUGGAGCUUUAAAAGGCCAAGCACGGCCAAACAUUCUCUUUCUGAUAGGAAGAGGCCUUUCUGUCUCACCUAGUUUACGAAAGCUCAUUGGCAAUCUUGAGUUAUCAUUGGUGAUUGCACUAGGUUCGGUGUUGUGGUAACAUGGUUCUAGAACGUCAUACACGUUUAGAUCAUUAACUUCCUGCAAUAGGCGAAAAAGGUGCAUUUGGACCAAUAAACCAGAACAAUGAAUUGCUUAUUGUUCAUGUCGCCACAAAAUGAAUCAAGUAUCACAGAAUAACACCUAACCUGAUCAAUUUCAUUAAGCUUGUCUUUACAAUUCUGACUCCCUGGUUCAUAGAAAUUUCCAUGGCACGCGACAGUGACUUCCUGAGAAUGAAAAGGAAUAAUCAGGGACCAGUUGCUAUUAUAUUGGAGUGGUAAAUGUAUAAACAUAGCUUAUUUAGUAACAUCUUUUUUUGUGGAUUUUUGAAUUCUAAAAAAGUUCAGAAGUCAAAUGAUUCAAGCACAAGAAGAACCAAAUACCUCGAAUAAUUUAUCUGAAAUGAGGCCCAUACCAUGUUGAAAUGGAACAAGAGCAUUACCGUCUAUUUUCUCAUCUGUCACGCCAUUUCCCACCAUGUAACCCUGUGCAAUAGAACAUAAAGAUCAGUUUACAGCCCAGACAACUGGUUAACGCGUGAAAAUCUUGAAACGUAUAUACCUUGAAGUUGAUUGCAGGCUUUACUCCAGCAUCAAUACCUAUAAAACAUAAGCCGCAGAAGGUUAGUUUGUUUAUCCCCUGCCUAGCACCAACCAAUACAUGUUCAUUUAAGAUCCAGAUUACCUUUUGCUACUUCAGAAGCCAGAGUUGGCACAUAUAUUCCAGCAUAAGACUCUCCAGUUAUGUAAAAUGGAUUCAUGAGGAACUCCGGGUAGAUCUCAAACCACUAUCAAAAGCAUCAUUUAGCAGAACAACAAAUGAGUCAGGACAUAACUAGCGUAAAACUAGUAAAUUUAUAUAGUUUUACCUUGAGGAGAAACGAAUGGGUAUCUGAUGCAGUCUUUAAAUCUCCUGUCUCAUAGUCGGAUUUAUUUUUCGAGUAAGAUAAUCCAACACCAACAGGAGAGUCCAGAUAUAUUAUAUUGGAAACCUGGAAGAAUCAAAUCAUAAUGAGUGGCUAAUGAAAUGUAAGUAUAUGCUAAAAGUACAAUUAACACAAAUAAUAACCUUAGACCAACUGUAUGGAUUGUUAUGCAGAAUAGGCAAGCUACCAUUUGUCUUUCCCAACUCAAAAUUGAAAGGUCCUGCAAUGUAUAGAACAAAAGAAUGAGCUGUUACAUGAACUGUUAACAUUAAUCCGCCCAAAUUCAGCCCAACGCGUAAGUAGAAUCAGAGUUGUUACCAUGCUCAUAGACAAAGCCAUCAAAGCUUGAACAGCCAGGUCCACCAUUAAGCCAAAGAACAACUGGAUCCUUGGAUGGGUUUUUUUCAGAUUCAACAAAGUAGUAAUACAUAUUCUUGCCAUGACUUUCAUCUAUAUUAACAUACCUGAAAACCCAUUUCAAGAUAUAUUAAAAAAAAAGGUACAAAAAUCAAGAUAAAGUUUAUAUCUUUUUAUCAAAAAAACACAGAAAAAUAAAAAAUACAAACCCAGCAUAAUGUUUUGACUGAAAUUUGCCAGUGAAGCCAGGGAGUUGAGUUACCAGUGCACUCUGAGGUGCUCCUUCUGUUAACAAAAACAAAAAUACCAAGAAUGUUAAAACUAUAUAACACUGUAAAAAAUUGAUUUUUAUUGCCAUGUUUGGUGUAUCAAGAUUCUUAAGAGAAGAAUUCUUUGAUGGGGUUUUUAUAGUUUCAGAAAAUGAAGUGAAACAUCAUUAUAAUAACUACUCAAUCAAUUUUUGCUUUUAAGUCAAGAUUAAUUUACUCUAGUUUUUAAUAUACAGUUAAAAGUCAAAUUAUAGAGGAAAUUGGUUAUUAUCUAAUACUUAUAUUGUUUAAUGUUCUUUAAUAUCUGAUGAGUUUGUAUUUUAUCAACUUAUGAUCUUAGAUCUUUGUAAUGUUUGACUGAUAAAAUUACAAAAAAAAAGUCUCUUAUAUUCAAGAGAGGGGUAAAAUAGUCCAUUGAAUAUAUAAACUUAACAGUUUUUGUCAAAUUUAUGAUUUGAAGUUUACGAACGUGAGAUACAACCGAAUCUAUUGAUCUAUGAAUUACCGGAUUUCAAAUUUAAAAUUCAUACAUAUUUAGUAGAUUUCUUUAACACGUAGAAAUUGAUAUGAACAUGCUUUAACAGUCAGAAGAUAAAUUGGAUAAACAGAGAAAUUAUCAUUUCUUAUUGGAUAAAUAUAUAUAUUCAAAUACAUGGUAAAAAUCCAAUAUUCUUCUCCCUUGUUUUCUCUUUUAUAAAAUUCUCCUGUUAAGAGUACUCACAAGGAAAAAGAAAAAAAUCUCUUUUGAAUCUCAGAAAUAAUUGGACUUGAUGUCUACUAAUUCAGUCUUCAUAUCAUCAUAUGUUCUUGCCCUCUAGCCAGCGGGAAUAGAAUGCCAACGCCUCUCGUGGUUUGUACUCAGGCACAGUGUGUCCAGAUCCCUGAAUAUAUCGGAAAUCAAUGAUAGAAUCAAAGAGAAAAAAUAGAAAAAUGAAUUUUUUUUCUUAAUAUGAACAUACCUUAAUAGUUAUAAAAAUGAGGUUGUUGUCAUAACCUUGUAUGUAACUGCAGAAAAGAUUUAACCAUUUAAAAUGGAUUUUACAGAGUUGCAAUACAUUAGAGAAGUUAAACAUGAACAUGAUUUAGAAGGUGAAAACACGAACAUACCCUGCAACUUGUUCAUUCACAUACCAAGACCUCCAUUUAUCCACGAUUGGAUAUCCAAGUGAUCUUGUCCAUUUUUCUGAACCAGUGAAUGGUACACACAUAUCGUGAUCCCCACUGCAACAAACAAAAAGAUUAACAUAAUCGUUCUGGUUAUAGCAUAAAAAAAGAUCUCGGAUAAUUUGUGUGUGAUCAGGUACAUGCUCACUAUCAACAUUUACCUUAGGCAGCCUACUACAUGAGAUUAGUGGAAGAACAUGUUAUAGUAAUGGUUUAAAUUGUUGGAAAUCUUACGGAAAAUACCUUUUUACAUAAAAAGUUAGUUUCAUAGGGAAAACAUCGAAUCAACAUUCAAAGUAGUAUAUAGAAAAUCAUGUCAAACAUUUUAAGACGUCACCAAAAUGGAAAGAGUGUCAUAUAAGAUGGGACAUAGGAGUAACUGCUACAGAUCUACUAGUAGCACAUAUGUAGUCACUCGUCUUAGUUUCAUAGGGAAAACAUCGAAUCAACAUUCAAAGUAGUAUAUAGAAAAUCAUGUCAAACAUUUUAAGACGUCACCAAAAUGGAAAGAGUGUCAUAUAAGAUGGGACAUAGGAGUAACUGCUACAGAUCUACUAGUAGCGCAUAUGUAGACACUCGUCUCUUUUUUGAGGACUAGUGUACCAUGCUAAUCAUUGACAAGUCAAAACAUUUACACAACGCAUUUAAAUUGGAGCAUGAGAAACCAUAGAUGAGGUCAGAUUUGUAUCAGUUGUAUCGUUGUUUUCACAUCUCCACAGUAUGUAAUAUCAACCUGCUAUCUGGUAAGAGAUAGUUGCAAAACUUCAACCAUUGUUUUUAUUUCAUGAGUAGUGUGUACUUAACAUGGGGGGCUAUCGUAUUCGAGAAACCAAGUAGUUUUAUAAUCCCAAUAAGUAUGUGCUUUAGGCAUUUAGACAACAGAAUAUACAUGAAAUGCACAGGACAACCAGUUUUCUCUCUGUAGGUGUUUUACAUAAUAUUACAUGAGUAAUUCAAAAGAAAGAAAAAAAAUGCAUAGAGAGCAGUUAGAGACUUAGUAAUCUAUUGAACCUGUAUAUGAGUGCCCGAUAUCCCCGAGCUGUGAGGUUUUUGUGAUACGGAAUCAUGCUUCCAGAAUCAUGACUUAGACCUAUUUUGGCUGUGCAUAGCUCCCAGGGACCUAUCACCGUUGUCUGUUGGAUCAUAGGAUUGAACUAUAAAUCACCAACUUUAUUUUUUUGUUUUGGUUUUUGCAGUAAAGGUAAAUCAUCAUCUUUAAAGCUAGUACAAGACGAGAAAAUUGUAUCUUACUUGUUCAGCAUGAAUUGCUUUACGAACAUCUUCAUUGUUUAGCCACGCAGUAGCAACACGAUCAUCCUGCAUAUUUCAUUUCAGAUUAUGUGUCUGUUGAAGAUUAAACCGCCAUGAUGCUAAAAGAGUCAGAGGUAAGGAAAUCCACUCCAUUAAAGAGGUCAUGAAAGGAUAAGUGAGGGUUCCAAAAUAAGAAAGUCCUUGAGAAGCUUCAAAAGCAAGAAAUGAAUUCCUCAAAGAGGGAACAAAACAAGUUUGAAAGAAGUUAAAAUUUACAACAGUUGGACAAUAGAAUAAGUGCAUAAGAAUGCUUAAAAGAUAAAAAGGAUGCAUAGCUAGAGUAAUUGACAUGUUUUGUUAUAAAAUUAGUUAAGUUGGGAAUUCAAUGGAGAGCCAUUAUUAGAGAACAAACAAAAGGAAACACAAAAUCAAGAGUGACUUACAGUACAAGGGACAUCUAAACCAUUGAGAAUUUCCGGCCAAGUUGGGACAUGUCCCGCUCUUACUGGAGCUUUAAAAGGCCAUGCACGGCCAAACAUUCUUUUUCUGACAGGAAGAGGCCUUUCUGUCUCACCUAGUUUACGAAAGCUCAUGGGCAAUUUUGAGUUACCAGUGGUAAUUACACUAGGUUCUUUGCUGUGGUAGCACGGUUCUAGAAUGUCAUAGAUGUUUAGAUCAUUAACUACCUGCAAUAGGCGAAAAGGUAAAUUUGGGUCAAUAAAGCAGUGCAACGAAUUGCUGUCUCGACGAAAUGUGUCAAGUAUGACAGAAUAACACCUUACCUGAUCAAUUCUAUUAAGCUUGUCUGAACAAUUACUACCCGCUGGUUCGUAGAAAUUUCCAUGGCAUGCAACAGUAGCUUCCUGAGCAUGAAAAAGAAUAAUCAGAGACCAGUUGCUAAUAGACAACGAGGCAAUGAUUAUGUUUUUGCUGAUAUAUUGGAGUGGUAGAUGUAUACACAUAGCUUGACAUUUGUUUUGUAACAUCUUUUUUGGCGGAUUAAAACUGAUCACUAUCUUCUGGCAAUUUCAUCUAUGUUUGACAAACCUUCUCAUAUAUACCAGAAGCUAGUAAGGCUCCAAUGUGUUAUGCUACAAUAAUUUGGAACAUGUCCUAAUUAAAAGCAUUUGAGGCUUCAAACAUCAUCUUUUGCCAGCUAUGACUUCCAGAAAUCUAAAACAGUUCAGAAGUCAAUGAUUCAAGCACUAAAAAAUCAAAGAAGAAGAAGUAAUUACCUCGUAUAAGUCAUCUGAAAUGAGGCCCAUACCAUGUUGAAAUGGAACAAGAGCAUUAGCGUCUAUUAUCUCAUCUGUCACACCAUUUCCCACCAUGUAACCCUGUGUGCAAUAGAACGUUAAGAGUUUACAGCCCAGACAACUAGUUAACACGUGAAAAUCUUGAAAUAAUAUAUACCUUAAAGUUGAUAGCGGGCGUUACUCCAGCAUCAAUACCUAAAAGACAUAAGCAGAAGAAAGUUAGUUUGUUUAGCCCACCACAUCAACCAAUACAUGUUCAUUUAAGAUCCACAUUACCUUUUACUACUUCGUAAGACAAAGUUGGCACAUAUAUUCCUGCAUAAGACUCUCCAGAUAUGUAAAAUGGGUUCGUGAGGAACUCCGGGUAGAUCUCAAACCACUAGAAAGAGCAUCAAUUAGUAGAACAACAAAUGAGUUAGGACAUAGUUAGCAUAAAAACUAGUAAAUUUAACUAUCAACCCAAGUUUAUGUAAUAUUACCUUGAGAAGAAACGAAUGGGUAUCAAAUGCAGUCUUUAAGUCUCCUGUCACGUAGUCAGAUUUAUUUUUCGAGUAAGAUAAUCCAACACCAACGGGAGAAUCCAGAUAUAUUACACUGGAAACCUGGAAGAAUCAAAUCAUAAUGAGUGGCUAAUGAAAUGUAAGCAUAUGAUAAAAGUAGAAUUAACACAAAUAAUAACCUUGGACCAACUGUAUGGAUUGUUAUGCAGAGAAGGCAGGCUAGUACUUGGCUUUCCCAACUCAAAAUUAAAGGGCCCUGCAAUGUAAAGAAAUACCCUUUCUUACUAUAAAAAAACAACAAAAAGAUAUGUAAAAGAAAUCCUUUGUUUAUGAUGAAUAAGAAUAGCAACUGCAUCUCUAUGGACUACAUUUCCAACUAACAUCUUUUACUUGAGCUGGUUAAAAGAAUUUUCAAAUCUGUCAAGGAAGAAAUCAACAUUUUUAUGUCAAUUGCAGAGACUGUCAAAAACACAGUUUUGGUUGACCUAUUAUCUAUGUAAAAUAUUAAAAAGUUUUCAACUUUUAUACAUUGAAUGUGUCAAAAAAAGCAUUUUCACACUAGCAGAUCACUUAAAAGAUAACUACAAGUAUGAGUUAAUAACUAUCAAAUGACAAUAAAAAAGGGCAAUUCGGUGCACGAAACAUCCCACUUUAGCGGGGUUUGUACUCUAAUGCAAGCAUUAGUGGUUGCUUCCAUAAAAAGCGAGACUACUAACAUAAAGAAUAAGAGAGGUUAUCAACUACAACAUGUGAAAAUACACUGAUAAUGUAAAGACUCUUUACCCUAAAGAUAAACCAAACGUGCUAUUAGUCCCUUGUACAACUAUAAAAACAAAAGGAGAUCUACAUCUACUAUAAAAAAAAGUACAACCUAGUACAUAUAAUGUAAUUUUCCGACAGAAGGGUUGUUACCAUGCUCAUAGACAAAGCCAUCAAAGCUUGAACAGCCAGGUCCACCAUUAAGCCAAAGAACAACUGGAUCCUUUGAUGGAUUUCUUUCAGAUUCAACAAAAUAGUAAUACAAAUUCUUUCCAUGACUUUCAUCUAUGUUAACAUACCUGAAAACCCAUUUUUCAAGAAACAUUCAGAAAAGUUCAAAAAUCAAGAUAAAGUUGAGACCUUUUUAUCAAAAAACACAAAAAGAACACAAACCCAGCAUAAUGUUUUGAGUGAAAAGUGCCAUUGAAGCCAGGGAUUUGAGUUACCAAUGCACUCUGAGGUGCCCCUUCUGUUACCAAAAACAAAAAUGUCAAGAAACUAGUAAUUAACAGUAUAUUACAAUGUAAAAUAAAGUUUUUUCUUGCCAUGUUUAAUUUGGUAUAUCAAGAUUCUGAAUUUUUUGAUGGGUUGUUAUAGUUUGAGAAAAUAAUUAUACUGUAUCUAAAAAGUAGUCCAUCAAUUUUUUUGCUUUUAAGGCAAGAUUGGGAGAAACUGACAGAAUAUAAGGUUUUCAAAAUACAGUAAAUUAGUUAUUAUAUGGUUGUUAUUUAAUAGUACCAAAUUGGUAUAUUAUAAUUGAAUUAUCUUACCAAGAAAAAAGAUAAUGCUAUAAAUGAACUCACAUGCUUAUGCUGGUAUGACUUUUCUAACGGAAAAUACUCUGUUAUUUAAUCAUUGUUUUUGUUGAAACUUUUAUGGCAUUUGUUAUUCUAUAGCUUCCUAUCUACUCUUAAGUCCUACAGAAUUUUAAGUUUAUAAGUUUUGAAUUUUAGAAAAAACAAUUAUUAAAUAAAUUAUACAUAUAUAUAGUAUGGAUAGUAAGUUCCUAAUCUAUAAGAAAAAUGGUAAUUCCGUUCAUAUUAUUUUAUUUAUUGGCUCUAUAAACAUAGUUAAAACUAAUAGUAAACACAUUUUAUAUUUAAUUAUAAUUUUUUUUACCAUUUUAUUUUAAUCUUAAUAUCUUUUUAAAAAAUCUCAUAAUAUCUUUAAUAUCACAAAUAAAAAAACUAUAUUUAUAUAUUUUGUGUCUAAUUAAAUUGCAAUUAUUGAUGCUAUACAUUUUCAUAUAAUAAAAACUCCCACCUACUAUCCUUUUUUUCCUUUUUAAAGCAAAAAGCUCAUUUUGCUGUUAGAUUAUAAAUUUAUUCAAAGUCUGAUAAGAAGGGUGACUGUACAUACCACAUCAUACUAUUUUAUUUUAUUUUUCAUUUUCUUUGUAACAAUUCCACUAAACAAAAUAUUUUAAAGUUCAUUGAUACUCAGCUUCAUAUAUAGUAGUUAUGUCAUAUAUGAUGCAGUGUUGUCAAAUUGGUUAGAUCAUUAUUUAUAUGAAGAUAUUAUUAUUAUAGAUAUUUGACCUAAUCAAGGUAGUAUGAAUCAUCUCAGCUUCGAUUAUGAUGGGUGACUAUGGGAAAUCAGUUUCAAGCCACUGCUUAUGAAAGAAUUUCGACUAUGCCUGACCAUCAUAAUAUUCAUAAUCGAGAUUGAUGAUGAAUAGAGGAGUCCAACCACAAUCAUUAUUGGUUCGCCUUACAAUUUUUUCAAAAGUUUUGAAAAUAUUUUGAAUCAUUAUUUUUGUUCAUUUGUAGUACGUAAAUAACAGGAAUUUCAGAGCAGAAAGAAAAGUUGAUUAAAGACUGUUAUAACAAUAAUAUCCAUUAUACAACUAUUUUUGUGUAAUUCAUAACAACCAGAGGACGAUGUGACACGCCUAUUUUAAUUUUGGUACUUAGAAUUAAUCACAACAACAAAUCCUAUCUUUAUUUGUAGAUAUUUUUUCUAGCAUAAUAGGAACAAUCUCUUCACGCUGAGCAUGCGAAAUCAUUUAGCUUUUUGGUUUUAGUUCACCCCUACUUAUUCAACAUGACAACGACAACAACAUGAUACUCAAUUAAAUUUCAUAAAUGAUGUUCGAGGAGGAAAAAUAUAAUAAAUCUUUCCUCUGUAAUUUUUAUGGGUAGAAAUGUUGUUUUCGAUUAACGAUGUGUUCAAAUAGUUGUUGAUGAGCUUAAGUAAGUGUGGGAGAUGAAUACUGGAGUGAAAUACUAAUUAAUAUGAGCAUGCAUGCCUCAACAGUCACAAGGUACAUUGGAUAACAUACAAAUACUUAUUUCUUAUUGCAGACUGAAAUACAUGAUAAAAAUCCAAUAUUAUCUCAGAAAUAAUUGGACUUAAUGUCUACAAAUUCAUAUUAUUCUUGCCCUCAAGCCACCGGGCAUGUCUUCCAAUUCAAUCUUCAUUAUUCAUAUUAUCAUAUCUUCUUGCCCUCUAGCCAGCGGGUGUAGAACGCCAACGCCUCUUGUGGUUUGUACUCUGGCACGGUGUGUCCAGCUCCCUGAAGAUAUCGGAAAUCAAUUUAGAUCAAAGAAAGGGAAAAAACAGAAAAAUGAAAGUUUUUCUUGAUAUGAACAUGAUACCUUAAUAGUCAUAAAAAUGAGGUUGUUGUCAUAACCUUGUAUGAAACUGCACAAAAGAUUAAAGCAUUUGAAAUGGAUUUAGAAUUGCAACACAUUAUAGAAGUAAAACAACAUGAAGAGGAUUUAGAAGGUGAAAACGCUAAUUAACAUACCCUGCAACUUGUUCAUUCACAUACCAAGGCCUCCAUUCAUCCACGAUCGGAUAUCCAAGAGAUCUUGUCCAUACUGCUGAACCAGUGAAUGGAACACACAUAUCGUGAUCCCCACUGCAAAAAACCAAAAAAAUGAACAAAAUCGUUCUGGUUAUAGCAUCAAAAAAGAUCUCAGAUAAUUAGCGUGUGAUCAGGUACAUGCUCACUAAACAUACGAGUAAUUAAAAAGGACAAAAAAAAAUGCAUAGAGAAAAGUUAGAAACUUAGUAAUCUAUUGAACCUGAAUAUGAUUGCCCGAUAGCCCCGAGCUGUGAGAUUUUUGUGAUACGAAUCAUGCUUCCAGAAUCAUGAUAAAGAUAUAUUUUGUCUGUGCAUAGCUCCCAGGGACCUAUCACAGUUGCCUGUUGUUGUACCAUAGGAUUUUUAUCUAACUCUAUAUAUAUAUUUUUUUUAUUAAAGGUAAAGAUGAGAAAAUUGUAUCUUACUGGUUCAGCAUGAAUAGCUUUACGAACAUCUGCAUUGUUGAGCCACAGAGUAGCAACACGAUCAUCCUGCAUAUUUCAUUUCAGUUAAACCGGCAUGAUGCUAAAAGAAUUAGAGUUAAGGAAAUUCACUCCAUUAAAGAGCUAGGUCACAAUAGGAUAAAGGGAGGGUUCCAAAAUAAGAAAGUCCUAAAAAGCAAAAAAUGAAUUCCUCAAAGAGAGAACAAAAUAAGCAGAACUUAAAAUUUACAACAGUUGGACAAUAGAAUAAGUGCAUAAGAAUAUUUAAAAGAUAAACAGGAUGCAUAGCUAGAGCAAUCGACAUGUUUUGAUAUAAAAUUAGUUAAGUUGGGAAUUCAACGGAGAACGAUUAGAGAACAAACAAAAAAUGAAGAGUGAGUGACUUACAGUGCAAGGGACUUCUACACUAUUGAGAAUCUCCGGCCAAGUUGGGACAUGUCCGGCUCUUACUGGAGCUUUAUAAGGCCAUGCACGGCCAAACAUUCUUUUUCUGACAGGAAGAGGCCUUUCUGUCUCACCUAGUUUACGAAAGCUCAUAGGCAAUCUUGAGUUAGCAGUGGUAAUUACACUAGGUUCUUUGCUGUGGUAACAUGGUUCUAGAAUGUCAUAAACGUUUAGAUCAUAAACUACCUGCAAUAGGCAAAAAGGUGAAUUUGGGUUAAUAAAGCAUAGCAAUGAAAUGCUGUUCAAGUAUGACAGAAUAAUUAACACCUUAAUUACCUGAUCAAUUUUAUUAAGCACUUCUGAACAAUUACUAUCCGCUGGUUUGUAGAAAUUUCCAUGGCAUGCAACAAUAGCUUCCUGAGAAUGAAAAAGAAUAAUCAGAGACCAGAUGCUAAUAGACAACGAGGCAAUGAUUACGUUUUUGCUGAUAUAUAUAUUGGAGUGGUAGAUGUAUACACAUAGCUUAACAUUAACAUCUUUUUGGCGGAUUAGAAUUGAUCACUAUCUUCUUACAGUUUCAUCUAUGUUUGACAGAUGUAUUCCAGAAGCUUUUAAGGCUCCAAUAUGUGCUAUGCUACAAUAAUUUGGAACAUGUCCUAAUUAAAAGCAUUAGAGACUUCAAAGCAUCAUCUUUUGCCAGCUAUAUAUGACUUCCAGAAAUCAAAAACAGUUUGGGAAGUCAAAUGAUUCAUGCACUAAAAAUUCAUACAAACAACAAGAAGAAAAUACCUCAUAUAAGUCAUCUGAAAUGAGGCCCAUACCAUGUUGAAAUGGAACAAGAGCAUUAGCGUCUAUUAUCUCAUCUGUCACGCCAUUUCCCACCAUGUAACCCUGUGUGUAAUAGAAUGUUAAGAGUUUACAGCCCAGACAACUAGUUAACACGUGAAAAUCUUGAAAUGUAUUAUACCUUAAAGUUGAUAGCAGGAGUUACUCCAGCAUCAAUACCUAAAAGACAGAGGUAGCAGAAUGUUAGUUUGUUUAUCCCCUGCCUAGCACCAACCAAUACAUGAUUACCUUUUACUACUUCAGAAGCCAGAGUUGGCACGUAUAUUCCAGCAUAAGACUCUCCAGAUAUGUAGAAUGGGUUCGUGAGGAACUCCGGGUAGAUCUCAAACCACUAGAAAGAGAGAGAGAGAGAGUAUCAUUUAGUUGAACCAUGAACGAGUUAGAAGGACAAAGAAAUAAAUGAAUUUUAUUAUACGGAACAACUAUAUAACUUAGAACUCCACCGGUGUAAGCUGCUCACAUUGCAGUAGGCUGAUUGCUAGCGUAAAACUAGUAAAUUUAAGUAUUGAAUCAAGUUUAUGUAGUUACCUUGAGGAGAAAUGAGUGGCUAUCAGAUGCAGUCUUUAAGUCUCGUGUCACAUAGUCAGAUUUAUUGUUCGAGUAAGACAAUCCAACGCCAACAGGAGAGUCCAGAUAUAUUAUAUUGGAAACCUGGAAGAAUCAAAUAAUAAUGAGUGGCUAAUGAAAUGUAAGCAUAUGAUAAAAGUAGAAUUAACACAAAUAAUAACCUUAGACCAACUGUAUGGAUUGUUAUGCAGAGAAGGCAGGCUACCACUUGGCUUUCCAAAAUCAAAAUUAAAAGGCCCUGCAUUGUAAAGAAAUACCCUUCCUUAUUAUAAGUAAAAAACAAGAAAUAUGAUGAAUAAGAAUAGCAACUGCAUCUCUAUGGACUACAUUUCCACAUCCCCAUGUUAGCAGGGUUCCGGAAAGGGUCUCACCCCAGCCUAAGGGAUGCGAUGUAGACAAUCUACUCUUUAAGUCUAAUACAAACACUAGUGUCUGCUUCCACAAAAAAAUGGAACUACUAACAUGAAGAAUAAGGAAGGUUAUCGACUACAAUAUGUGAAAAUACACUUAUAAUGUAAAGAUUAACCAAACGCGCUAUUAGUCCCUCACUCUAUGUUUGCAACAACAGUAAAAACAGUGGUGGAGACAGAAUUUUCACAAAAGGGGAUCUUCAUCUACUAUAUGUACGCAAAUAGAAUUCAACCUCGUACAUAUAAUAUAAUUUUCCAACAAAGGGGUUGUUACGUUGCGUACCAUGCUCAUAGACAAAGCCAUCAAAGCUUGAACAACCAGGUCCUCCAUUAAGCCAAAGAACAACUGGAUCAUUUGAUGGGUCUCUUUCAGAUUCAACAAAGUAGUAAUACAAAUUCUUGCCAUGACUUUCAUCUAUAUUAACAUACCUGAAAACCCAUUUCAAGAAACAUUCAGAAAAAUACAAAAAUCAAGAUAAAGUUUACAUCUUUUUAUCAAAAAACACAAAAAGAAUACAAACCCAGCAUAAUGUUUUGAGUUAAAAGUGCCAUUGAAGCCAGGGAGUUGAGUUACCAGUGCACUCUGAGAUGCCCCUUCUGUUACCAAAAACAAUAAUGCCAACAAACUAAUUAACAGUAUAUUAUAGUGUAAAACAAAGUUUUUUUUGGCCAUGUUUGGUAAUAUCAAGAUUUUGAAUUCUUUCAUGGGUUUUUAUAGCAUCAUACUAAUAACUAGUCCAUCAACUUUUGCUUAUAAGGCAAGAUUAGGAGAAAGUGACAGAAGAUAAGGUUUUCAAAAUAUAGUUAGACUCUGUUUGCAAUGCUUGUGAGGCGAAAAACACUUAUUUUGAAAAAAAAACAUUUUUUAAAAUUGUUUUUAAUUGAAAGAUAAUUAUUAUUAUUCAAGACCAAGUAUCUCUUCUAUAUAUAAAUAUUUAUUAAUAUAUCUCUUUUUAAUUAAUUAGCAUAUCCUCGUGUGUUAUUGUACAGCUUCCUGUAUAUUCUUUGAUUCGAAAGGAAAAGCAGAAUUAGAAUUUUAAGUUUAUAAGUUUUGAAUUUCAAAAAAGAUAAUAUAUUGAAUGAAACAUGUAGAUUUAGUGAUUUUUAAAGAUAAAUAUAAAGUAGGAACCAAACCUAAUUAACAUAUAAGCAAAAUUGUAAUUCCAUCCCUAUUUUUCUCCAUUCAAUAUUUAGUAUUACAUCACUCACUUCAUUUCAUUUACGUGGUACUAUUAUUUAUCGACUUUAUUGGCGCAUUUCAAUAUAAUAAUAAACAUGUUUUAUAUUUGACGAUGUUUCAAUUAUUGGAUGUCCCAAUUGAACUCAGAAUAUCAUUCCGACUCUUUUCCAUAAAAAAUUAAUUCGAUUGGUCGCAUGCAUCGAUAUAGAUACAAACAAGCAAAUAAAAAUGAUUCAAGUCGUUAGUGCUAAACAGAAAAACAAAACAAAAAUGGUUCAAGUCGUUAGUGCUCGAAAAAAAAAAAAAAGGGUCCAAGUCUUACGAAAGUGCUCAAAAAGAAAACAAAGAUGGUCCAAAUCGUAAGUGCUCAAACCAAAACAAAAAUGGCCCCAGUCGUUAGUGCUAAACAGAAAAACAAAAUAAAAAUGAUCCAAGUCGUAAGUGCUCGAAAAAAAAAAAAAAGGGUCCAAGUCUUACGAAAGUGCUCAAAAAGAAAACAAAGAUGGUCCAAAUCGUAAGUGCUCAAACAAACAAAAAAUAAAAAUAAAAAUA
Molecule: long non-coding RNA, 105248 nt
Filed under: Solanum tuberosum (potato)
Lineage: Eukaryota; Viridiplantae; Streptophyta; Magnoliopsida; Solanales; Solanaceae
Description: long non-coding RNA (STUB_LNC006885)
Source: RNAcentral